AAGUUAAGGUGAGGAUUAGCCGUAGGUAAUCGGGAGAUUGAGUAGCGGAGGAGAUCCAUGAGGUGCCUCAAUUACAAGAAAGAUGGUUUUGGAUUUUAUUUUGCCUUUAAUUGGUGCCCCGCCGGUGAUGUACAACACCUGAUGCCCGCGUUAGUUGAAUUAUUGGCGGAGGUUUACUCAGGAUAGGAGUCGCAGCUCGGGCGAGGACGGCCAGUUUGUGUCUGUUGGUUGGUGUCCGGACUUUUUCAGACUUCAAUAAAUCUAAAGCAUUUUUUGGCUUUUGCAUUCGAGUAAUUCAAUGGUUUGGAUCGGUGUACAGUUUAAACCAAGGGUCUGUUUUGUACCCUUGUUUUUGUCCAUUUUAGACAAAAGAUCCGUGUUGCUUAGGUGUUUUUGGACACGAGAGCAGAUCCUCCGUCCAAUUUUUUGUGUCCAAUUUCCUGUCCAAUGUGAAACUACGUAGUUUCAUUUAUUACAUCUAUUGGUGUGGCAACUAAAAAUAGGUGGCUGUUUGGCUGCCUUAUAUUUCUUUUUCUUUCUAACGGCCCUAUCAAAUAAUUUCCAUUCACCGUGAAUUCCUCCAAAGCAAAACCACUACAUAUUUCUUGUUGCCAACGUCACCACUACAUGAAAGCGAAGUUUGUUCGACUAACAUCAAUCUUUAGUGUAUGAUGGGGGAUGAACGUUGAUUGCAUCUAAAAAUUCUCACCGUGAGUGUUUCAAUGUCCUAAUGCAUUCCAUUUCUUCCUUGUUAAAAAUUGCUUUGUUGAAGAACUUCCUUCGUCUUCUAGGCGGAAAAUGGUGGCAACAGGUUUUGGGAAUUAUAACAGUAGCAAUAGGAUUUUGGGAAUUGUAACAAAGUUAUGUAAACAAAGGAAAUCCAAAAAAGAAGAAAGAAAAAGAAGUAUAAGGCAACCAAACAGCCAUCUAUUUUUAGUUGCCACAUCAGCAGAUGUAAUAAGUGAAACUACGUAGUUUCACAUUGGACAGGAAAUUGGAAGAGUUGAGGGACUUUGCAUCCACAUCUUUGCAUCAUGUAGGAGAGUCACGCCGACUUGCAUUUUGCCCUCCACACGUACCACAGGAAAUUCCACUAUAUGCUGAUUCAUGUCGUGUUCAGCGAGCUCCAAGAAAUACCCACGGAAGUCAGCAUAGCGGUGGACGACGUCGUAGACUCCGAUCACCAGAACCCGCCAUACAAACUGGAUUCCAUGGAUGUUCGAUGGCUACUGAGGACCAAACUGGCACAUCUACUUUUGUCACACCUCAGACUGAAGUUAUGCAUGAGAGAGGUGUAUCGAUUGGGCAUUCUAGGUCCCCUGUGACUUUUCCAGAGUUUACGACCGAUAGGGACUUACAUCGGUAUACUUCUGAGUAAUGUGAAGGAGGUGAAAGCACAAGCACUCAAAUUCAAGAUGCUACACUGUUGACACAUAUUACUCAAGUUCAUACAAUAGUGCCAAACCAACCACAUCAAAAUCAAAGAAUACCCAAACCAACAACAUGUGGUACUCAUGAAAAAUUUGGGCAGCAUUAAUGGCACGCUACUUAUAUCGUUAUUGUAUAAAUAACCUAACUUAUGGAUUGCAUACUUUUUUUGUGACAUUUUGUAUAUAUUCUAAAAUUUCACGAAUAUGAGUGGAACAAUGCCAUCACGCGUAUCUUAUUUCUCACUUUAUAUGAGUACUCUUUUAAACAAAACAAAAAAAAAUGGCUACAUAUGUAAACCAAAAAAGGUAAACUAUACUAACCUCUCCUCUAGUUCAUACACAGUAAGUUAGUUACAUGUCGAAACUUCUCGUUAAAAAAAUUAAACAUACUAUUUAUAAUAUAUUUAUAAAUUGUUAUUUUUUACCUUUUGUUAUUCAUAGUUUGUUUCCCCAUUAAAUAUAGGGAACAAACUUUAAUAUUCUCAUAUGGGCAAGUUAAAAAUAAGAUUCCAAUUUUGUUCAUGAAAAUUAAGCCCUAACUUAUUAACAAUUUAAUUUAAUUUUAUAUUGACCUUGAAAAUAAAGAAGCAAGAUGUGUAGUUAUUUCGUUUGAGGAACAAGUGUAAAAAGGGAGGUUUUCUUACCAAAUUGUGCUUUAAGUGUUUAGAAAUCCCAAGCAUACAUACAAUAUUGCAUUUUCAGUAUAUUCAAGUGAGUUUUGGUGAUAACAUGUUUAUACAUGCUAAUGGACUCAUUUGAUGUGCAUGUAAUUUCCAAAAGUGCCAUUUUUGUGUAAAAAUGUAAAAAUGAUCAAAGAACCUCACCCUUCGAUUUGCAAUGUAGAUGUGUGUUUGAUGUGUUUUAAGAGAUUGGAUAUUGUACUUUUGGUAUAUUACAUGUGCAUGGAAGGUUAGAAUUCAUAAAACGUUUUUCCAACGCGUGUUUUGGAAUUGGCCAGAAAAAGGGAGAAAAAAUUUAAAAAAUUGCAGUUUCUGCAAUUAGUGCAGAGAAAUACAGAUCCGAGCUCGGAUCAUAAGUGCCCAGACGGAUCCGACCGCGGAUCCAUUGAUCCGAGCUCGGAUCCAAAAAUUUUCAUAUAUAUCCGAGGGCUCGUCUGUGCUUCUGGCGGUGCGGAUCCGAACUAUGUCGCAUACGAGGGCUUUCAGUAACGAGCCGAGCUCGGGUCGGUUCGCGGAUAUAACAGAAACGAAGCAUCGUUUCUGCACUUUUCAAAAUUUUCUUCCCUCUUUUCACCGAACCCUAAUCCUCUCGCUCUAAUCUUCCAUUUCAUCCAUUCAUUCCCUAAUCUUUCACCUCAAAAUCAUUUUCCAACAUCUUGUGAUCAUAAACCCUCAAAGAUUUCAUUUGAAAAACAUCAAUUUUGGGGGAUUUCAAGUGUUAAAACUGAAAGGAGGGCCGAACUGAAAUCUUCAAAUUUGGAGCGAAUUUGGACUGUUUUCGUCCUCAUUUUUGCAACAAUAUCUUCUUCUAUCAUCACUCUACACAUUUGAGGUAACAAUUUGCAACUUCUUUUGAGAUUUUAUAUUUCCUAUUUUUGCAUUUUUCUAGUUUUUGGGGAUAUUGUGAUAAAUGCAUAUUUGUUGAAAUUUCUUGUUAUAAAUGUGCUACAUUGUACUAGAAUAUGUUGUUACUACUAUUUUUAUACUUAGUAUGGAAAAAAUUGUGGAUUUGGUGAUAUUUUUGGUAUUUUUUUUAAUUUAUUAGGCUAAUGGCAAUUUGGUUCUUUAGGCUUGUGAAUGUUGGUUUCCAUUGAAUAUAUAAACUUGUUUUGAGGAGUAUAAGUCACUAUUGUACUAAUUAAAAAUGAUAUGCGAUUAAUAGAAUCAAUUCCAUUGGGUAAAAGAGUGUGUUUAUGAUUAAGUUUAGCACAUUCAAUUUUUUUUUUUUACUUGAAAUCUCUUAUCUCUUUGAGUUCAAUUGUAAUUGUUUUGGUAAAUUUGGAGCUCAUUCGUAUGCACUUUAUUAAGAAUGGGUAUAGCCAAUUGUGGUGUGAUUCGUGGAUAAAGUUAUGAAUAUAUCGGCAUGUUCAUUCUUGAAAUAAUGGUUGAAGUUCAAAUGAUCGAACUCUUUGAUAAGAUUCUACCUGAAAAUAUGCAAUUGAGUUUGAAAUGAGUUAAGUAGAAUUUUUGGUUGUUUUUUUGGUACAUGUUGGCAGGGAGUUUAGCCAUUUUAUAAGGGGAAACUCUGCUGUAUUUUCUUAAAUUCUAUGUGAGCAAGUUUAUAUUGUUCUAAUGAACGUUCAUCUUGUUUUUAUAUAGGAACUAUGGCUCGCACAAGGUGGGCUCGUAUUCAUACUCCUACACCAUCUUCAAGCGAGAAACGCACUCCCUCACAUGAAGAGUCGUCUGAGGCAGAAUCUCCUUCGCCUGAGCCACCACCUCGAUCUCGCCGGAAGACCGCAUCCACUAGCCGCGACGAGACGCUUCCAAAUUAUGACACCACUGGAUUCACGUCACUCGAGAAUCAACAGUGGUACGAACCAGGCUUAGAUAAGGAAAUUAUCAUUGAAAAGCACCUGGCACCAGAGGUGGAUGCGCACUACCACAUCUCUAUGGCAUUCAAGAGACUCGGAUGGGAGAACAUCCUUCAAUUGCCCAAUCACUACUACCCCAACCUGGUCCGGGAGUUCUACGCCAAUGUAGAAAAUAAACAGAGUCACAAUGGCAACCUCAUCGUCUCUUGGGUUCGAGAAAAGAGAUUGGCUCUUAACCGGGAUACAGUCGCCAAAAUCAUCAAAUUCGAAGACGAAUGAGUGGAUGUUAAAUUGACUAAGGAAUUCACGGCACGCGACCCUUGGCAGGUGGGAGAAGCGGUAGCAUGUCUAAAGGGUCAAUAUAGGGAGCGAAAAAGUUCAAAGAAGCUCACCGUAUAUGCUGACUCCUUCGAGCAUAGGUACCACUUGAUCUUCUAUCUCUUCGCCUUCAAUGUGGUACCCAAGAGGAGUGAAAAACGAGAGCUCCGCAAUAGUGACAUCUACUUCUUGGAUAAGAUGAUGCAUGGUAUGGGUGAGCAGUUGACUGGUAUUCCUUUGCCCAGCAUCAUCAUCAGUUACAUGCGGACCACAGCUCGCAUGAGGGCUGGCGAGACUUGCUUUGGAUUCCCUCGACUGCUAUCCCUCAUUUUUUAGAAGCUCAAGGUUCUUCUUGGAACCGAGCGAGCCAUUGUCACUAGGUCCGCCGACGAGGUUAGUGCCUCGAUACUCAAAUCCUUGAGUAUCUUUACAGAUUUUGGAGCUACUCUGGUUCGAGACACUGGAGAAGUUUCAACUUCUGCUCAGCCCCCACCUCACACUCAACAGGAACCAGAAGCUCAAGAGACAGGGGCACAGCAGACUCUUCCUCCACCUGUUUCACGACCACCACCUCCGCCGCGAUCCAAGUGGCAAGAGCUCCUCAAUGCCAUCUGCUGUAUGGAGACACGAGUCGUCGAGCGCAUUGACCAGACCGAGAGGAUGAUGACAGAGCGACUCGACAGACAUGAUCGCCGUUUUCGUGCGAUCGAGGAUCAUUUCCAUAUCCGCCGGUCACCUACUCCGACGCCUCAGCAGGAGGAGGGGCAUAUUGGUACAUCACAGGGUCCUCAUGGAAAUGAGGAGGCAGUAGACCCUCGUUCUGGGCAGCCAUGAAGAUCUUUAACUGAUUAUAUCUUUUGUUGCUAUAUUUUUCUUUUAUUGUGUUCGGUUUAAACUUUGUAGUUUUCAUAUUGGAUUCUCUUGUGCUACUCAUGGUUUUUUGUACUCUUUUGUUUCAUUGUGAAGAGAAUUUGGAUGAUCGUGAGGAUUAAUGGAUUCAAAUUGAAUCACCACUUAUUUUGAGAGAAGUUUCAGUUUCUAUUACCUUCUUCACAAUGAGGACAUUGUUAAAUUUAAGUGUGGGGGAGGGAUUACUUUAUCUUAUGGGGAUUAUGUCUUGAAAUGCAUGAUUUGAGUUGUCUAUGGCUUAAAAAUGUUGGAAUUUUAUUUGAAAAUGUUGUUUUGUGGUUAAUUUUCUUGAAAUUGAGGUUGUUGACUGGGAGUUUUGUCCAUUUUUAUGGGAAAACUCUGUAAAAAAUUUUUAAAAUAUUUUCCAAUAUUUCAAGUUAAUGGCCAAAAUGUUCAAUUCUGUGAAAUUGUGAGUGGAUUAAUGAGUGAAUUAAAUGAGUGGAUUAAUGCAUUAAUUUUAUGAAAUUGUGACGGAUAUCGAUAUAUGAAAUUCAUGCACGAGCUGAAAGAAGUGUAAGGAUUGUCCAGAGGAUAAAGUACAUAAGAAAUUAGGAGCAAAAAUGAAGGAAAAAGGAAAGAAACGAAAAAACUGAAAAUUUAAUGGCACGGAUCCGAGCUCGGAUCCGUGAGACCAAAGAGAGAUCCGAUCCCUCAUCUGUACUUCUGGAGGAGUGUAUCAGAGGUCAGAAGAUCCGACCCCGGAUCCAUCAUGGGAAGUCCUCGGAUCCUAAAGAUCCGAGCUCGGAUCUAUAUUCAACCCUCGAAUCUGAGGCUCGGAUCUGUCUCUCUCUUCAGUAAGUGGCACAGUCGUUUUCCUUUACCUUUCUCACAACUUUUCCAACUAUUUUGAGGGACAGAAAUCGGUGGGACAUGCUUCUGCAACAAAAGAGAAGAUCAAAUGAAUUGUAGGCAAAAGAAAACAUCAUAUCUUUGGUUCAGCUACUGACUACAUUAGAGAUAGCACUCAGGGUUUGAAGCUUUUAGGAUUCAGGGUUUUAGGGUUUUAGAGAUCAAGAUUUAGUGUUUUAGGAGAAUAGCACUUUCGGGUUUAGGGUUGUAGGAUUUUACUUUGACAAUAGUGUGCCUUCAUUAGGACUUUAGAUUUUUAAUUAAAAUAGUAAUCCUAUCGUGCCAUUAAAAUAUUUUUUAAUGGAUUUUAAUAAACCCAACAACCUUGAUUUAAUGUUUUAGGGUUUACAAGGAUUUGGUUUCUAAGAUUUACGAUUUAGUGUUUUACGGCUUUAGCACUUAGGGUUUUAGGAUUUUUGCAUGACAAUAAAUUUGCCUUGAUUAUCGCUUUAUUUUUUUAAUCAAAAUAGUAAUCCUGCCAAUAACUGUAAAAGGUAAAACACGCAAGAUUUAAUCGCUAGAUAUUUGAUUUAAUUUUUUUUCUUUUCCUUUUCAACUACUAAACAAAUAACAUGCACUUCAUAAAAAUAACUUAUAUAAUUUUUUUAAAUAACAUUGCGUUAUGAAAUUUCUAAAAUUACAGUUGAAAUUGUAACAGAUAUUAAUGACUAUUAACUAUUAUAUUCUUAUAACUAAUAUUCAUCGGUGUCAACAAAUAAAUACGAUUCAUUAAUAACAAAGGAAAAUUAGAAUUUGAUAAAAAAAAUUUAUUUGAUAAAAAAGGAAAAAAAGUAGAGCUCAAUAAGUAGAGCUCGCAUUCCGCUAAUGCGAGCUCAAUAGAGCUCUCUGCUGAGCUCGCAUUCGGGAAAUGCGAAGACCCCCCUACGAAAUACCUCACCAAAAUCACCCCUUUUGUAGAAUUUUUUUAAAAUUUAUCACAAAUUUGGAAAUUUCUCCGCUUUUGCUACAUACAAAUUCAUAAUGCAGAUUAACGACUUCAAUAAAAUGUUAUAAGCUUUCCCCUACGAACAAAGAUUCUUGAAUUGGAUUUUGAGUUCCGUCAACUUCCUUGCUUUGUUAAUGGGAAUAUGCUUAAACUACCUUACUUUCCCCAUACUCCAACUUUUCUUUGCAAGAAUGCGUGAAUUGCUGGGCUAGUCUUCUCAGUUCCUACGGAAAUUUUUACUUCUGUUGCGUCCGAAAAUGUUCAAGUGUUGCUCACGUUGAAUUUUCAUAUAACUUAAUUUAACCGUUCAUGUCCUUCACCAUCUUUUGUACGUCUACUCGUGGGCAAGCAUCUCUUAAAGGUGUUCCUUGCAUUUUUGUAAUGUGGUUAAGGUCACAUAUUUCUUCCCUUCCUUUCAAGACCCUUUUUGCAUGGAAUGCAGAUUUUUCUUCAUAAAUGGUCUUCAAGCUUAGCCAUUUUCACAGUUUUAAGCGCUCAAGUGCUUUCUUCAUCAUUCUUUUGAAGUUAAUAAAGAAAUUACAAAUCGUCAAGUCAGAAAAAAAAAAAAGAUAGAGGGUGUAAGAUGAAGCUUAUUUUUACUAAAUCAUUCGGAUGUGGAAGAGCAUUGCAGAGGCCGGUUGGGCUUAUAGUCAGAAAUUGGCACAAAGAACCAGUUCUGGUGGCAUGGAAGAAACCAGAGAUUGGCUGGACUAAGUUAAAAUUAAGUGGCACUGAAUUUUUUAGACAAAAUUUGUUCUAAAAAAUAAGUGAUAAGUUAUUCACUUAUCACUUAAUGUGAUACAUGUACACUCAAAAUGCAUCACAUUUAGUACUUAACAAUUCAAUAACAGAAUAAAUUCAGAUUUCAGAUACCAAUUUCAGUUUUGUCAAACGUACCCUAAAACCUUCUCGACUAGCUUAAUCAUUAUUAAGAUGCUCUAAGCACUUGUUUAAAUGUGUAUGUGCUCGCCUGCACUCCACAAGGAAUUAACUAUUGUCAUACAAGAAACUAUUUCUUUUGGCAUAUAGGGAGCUGCGACUUCAGCGCAACAUUAUCCAGAUUUUAAUUAGAAAAAAGAAACCAUUAUACUUUUCAAAUUUGUUACGGAGAAAGAGGCGGAAUUCUCAAUUAUUGAGGGCAGUAAUGCAUUAUAUUUUCCAACGUCUAAUCUGUACCUAAAAGUGUUACCAGCGGAUGGACACGGGAUCUUUGCUUCUUUCUUGAUACAUUAAUCCCAUCUGAUCAAUCAUGCCAACUUGGAUUUGCUUCAUAUACAUGGAUACAUAUGUAUGUUGGUACUCACGAAAUCACUCAGAUUUAGGUAUAAUCGAAAAUAAUAGACUAAUGAUAUCAAAGCUAUUUAUAUAAAUAUGUAGAAAUUUUUCAUACUUAACCAGAUUUAAGGCUUAAUUUUGGGCUAUAAUUUCUGUGAUAUGAGGUUCCGUUGACAUCUUUACAAUAAUAAAACCUGUGUAUCUUUUUCAAAUUUACCCUUAUUUCUAUUAUUCAUUAACUCUUACUUCUAUUAUCCAUUAAUCUUUUAUCUCUAUUAUCAACUGACACACAGACCUACUGAAGCAAAAUUAUCUCCCUCCCAUUCUCACGUAACGGUUCUUUUACUUCCAAUUGUACAUAUUUUCGGUACAAUACACUUGCACUAUUUUUGUGACUCUUUCAAUUAAAAAUAAUUUUUGACAAAUUGCACACGCAUAGAAUCGAAUGGUGUCUCAAUAGCUAGUUUCCUACAUACGGGGAAGAAUUUGUAAGACUGCUGCUAGGUGAAACUAUGGUAGUGGUUGGAAGGUCAUCAUCACAUUGGUCUGAAAUUAAGUUAGGACUUUGAGUGGAUAAAUGUUAAAAGGCCUUCAUUUUCAUGCCCGGUUUUGGUCGGUGACAAUCCCUAUCAAGAAAAUGACCUCAAGCAGCCGAAGACACGGCUCCAGCAAUAAAGACGAACAACUACACCAAAGCAAACAAACGUUCGAGGAAAAUUUGUAGGACCAAGAAAUCAACUUAAGGACUAAGGUUGUUAACCCAAUUUCCUUGCAUUAUUUGCAAUUUUCAAUCAUGCACAUCUUGUGGGGGUCAAGCACUACUAGUGGAUCUCGGACACCAAAGAAUUAGCAGUUCAUUAUUUUGUGCUUGUUUUUUUUAUUUUUUUUUAUGGUAGUUUUGAGUUUGAAUUUCGAUUCGAUUAGACUUAAAGAUGAAAAGGAAAACCUUUUUAAGCUCUCGGUUGCCAUUCUAAGCUGGACCUAGCUUGGUUGCCAGUUUUUCUAUCACUUCCAAGCAAAGCAAGGGCAAGAAGGCGAGGUUGGGAAUCGCAGAGAAGCUCACGAACCAAUCAAUGCUCUUUGUGAACUUACAUGUAGUUUAGAUUGAAUAAUGUUCCUAAGUAUUUGACAGUACAAAAGAUGAGUGAAUUUAAAAUAGGUUUCAUCCUCAAAUACCUCCCUCUAAUGUUAUUUUAGUGGUAAAUUACCCUCCGUGUUCACGAAUUACACAAAAUAUCCACUCUAAAUUAUGAAAAGAUAGCGAUGCCCUUAUACACUUUUUUUUUUUUUUGACAAUUUUAACCUUUUAACACACAAAAAAAAAACUAAAUUUCUAUAUCAAAUUUAACAUUUUGGCUCCAAAAAGGAUGUACUACUUUUUCAUUUACAGAAAAACUGUUAUAUCAACAGAGGUAAAGUUUCACGAAUGAUUAAGUUAAAUGUGAAAAAUAGCUUAUAGUUUUUUUGGUUAAAAAAAUAAAGCAUCUAGUUUUAAUCUUAACAAAAAUUGUCUAUUUCUUCCUCAUACUCGAAACUCAAGAAAAAGCAUGAAAAUUCAUUGAAAAAAAAUAAAACUCAAAAUUUACAAAAUAUUAAAAUUUUAACUGGAAAAUGUUUCUUUUAGUUUUUCCUUCUCUUUCCUUCUUUUUUUCCCUUUACGUCUCCAAAAAAAAAAAGAAUUAUAAGCUGUUUUUGGCAUCUAACUGUAUCGUUCAUAAGGUUCUAUCCCUAUUAAUACAAAAAUUCUUCGUAAAAAAUGAACAUAAUUUUGGAGCCAAAGGGUUGAAUUUGAUAUACGAAUUUCGUUUUUGGCUGCCUAAAGGUCAAAACUAUCAAAAGAAUAAGUGUUUAAAGUCAUGAAUAUCUUUUCAUAAUUUAGAGGGAACAAUUUAUAAGCUCAAAAAGAAUUGCAAUAAAGUGGCAAACCUAAAUUAACGGGUUCUGCAAGCCUCAUUUGUUUUUCAUCAUUAUAUAGAGAAUCAAUUUUAUGACCUAUUAUUGGUUAAAUUAAUUUUAAGAAAAAAGUGCUAAUAACUUUUUCAAAUAGAACAUUUGGAAAUUUUAGCUCUUCAAUGGAAUUUUGCUCUAGUUUUGCUCUUACUAACAAUAACAACAGAUCUUCUCCGGCCAAACAAAAUAUAAUUAGAACGAAAAUGGGCCUAGUGGCCCCGUUAUAUACUCUCGCUAAAACAAGUGGCCAUGGGCCUUCCCCUCGAAAAAGAAUAAAUAGCAGAAAGACAGGACAUGGCCCCAUAAUCCGCUAACAAACUGCAGAGGAUAAAAGCAACAGAAAUUUUGUCCCACCACAGGUCCGCAGGAGAAAGUAUCACUAGGCCCAGUUGAGCAAGGCCAUCUGAUCCCCUCUAAGGAGCUGGUAAUUCUCUGUUAACUGAGUUGGUCAGAUAUGAAGGCCUUAAUUUUAAGUUUUAAGGGCGUAAAGUCCCAAAUAGUUCAGAUUAGACACAUAAGAGUUAUACGCUUGGUAAGUAAGACCUUUGGUGAGGAAGUUCCAGCAGGUUUCUGUUUACGACGCCUAAGGUCCAUAAGUUUAUGAAUAUUGGUGAGCUACUUUUACCGCAGAGCCCAAGUCUAGUGCCCGAACAAGGCCCAAUUUCAUUCCCCUAUAGUGUCAUCCAUAUGAGUUGCAUGAAUAAUUAAUUUUACAUAUUAUUGAUUAUUAUCAACUUAUUUUUAAGCAUUAAGGAUCCACCAAUAAUGUGAGUUUAUUUUUUCGGACAUGCUAUCCCAGGAUCUACAGAGGUUACGUAGAGCCUUGAGGAGUUGAAUAUUAGUAUCGAUAAUGUAAGCUAAUUAGUAAUCUAAGCGUGAUUUGUUUUUAAUUAGUUUUAAAAAGACUCUAAAUCUUAUAGUGGAAAAAAGCAAAGUGGAUGGCAGAAUACUUUGAACUCCACAAGUUAGGUGGUUCUAAUGACUCUUGUGUGCAAUUACACCACUAUAGAGAAUUUCCCAUCUAAUUCCUAAUUGGGCAUAAACAGGACAUCUAACCAUUGGAUUACGGUUAGGGAGGGACUUAAGACUCUCCUGGUGUAAUUAAGCAGAGGGUCCUACAUCACUUGGGAUUCUCGAUGACAUGUUUUCUAUGCUAAUUCAAUGCCACUUAUAGUAUUACGCCAAGUGUCAUGUUAUUAUUUACACUUGUGUUAAACCAAACCAAGUUGAAUUAUUAGAAAAUUAAAGUGUAAAUAAUAAUAAGACACUUGGUGCAAUACUUUAGGUGACAUUGAAUUGACAUAGAAAACAUGUCACCGAAGUGGGAUCCUGAGUCUAGGAAAACAAAAACUACCAUUCCGCAUUGGAACAUGGCGAGCAGAGACGCAAGUGAACAUGUUAACAAAAUAAGAGCCGUCAGUCUGAUGCGAAUGAUUUGCUUUUGAUACGAAGAAUAUGAGCCAACUUUCCUUCCUUGCGUGAACAAUAACUCUUCUAAUACGUAUCUCAAAUACAAGUUCAACUUCCUCCAGUCCAUCUCAAGAAAAAAUAUACUGCAGAGAAAGGACACUAUGGCUAGCAGUAUUAAAUUAGGAUCCUAACAUCAUAUCUUAGACUAUGGCUUGGAAAAGUUAAUCCUUAUUCGUUUACAUUACUGUCAUAGAAUUUUCAGUAAGCACUUACACUAACCCUUUCACUCUCGUACUUAAAAAAAAACUUAGUUAAGCAUCAUAUCUUAGACACUCAUUGGACAAUUAUAUAUGGUUAGUAGUAUUAAAUUAGGAUCCUAACAUCAUAUCUUAGACUAUGGCGUUGAAAAGUUAAUCCUUAUCUUAAAGCCUAUAUUAUGGCUAGCAGUAUUAAAUUAGGAUCCUAGCAUCAAGUCUUAGACUAUGGAUAGAAUUUUCAGUAAGCACUUACACUAACCCUUUCACUCUUGUACUUAAAAAAAAAAGCUUAGUUAAGCAUCAUAAUUGUAGGUUCCUCCAAAUAAAUUUGGUGCGUAAUUUUUCUUUCUGUGCAUACAAUGGUAGGCACAAAUUAACUUAUAUUUAUAAUAAUAUAAAUUGUAGAUUCCUCCGGUUGCUAAUAAACAUGUUCCAACGCAAUAGGAUCGAUUAUUUCGUACGUUACUUCUUUACAAAUUUGGAUUCCCAUUUUUUCGCGCGGAGAAGUCCAAGAGUCUUACGCAACAAAAUUCCUUUUUUCUUUUUUUUUUUUUAACUAAUAAAGAUUCGUUCAUAUAUAGCUCUGUCUGGCAUUCGAUCACCGUUAAUUGGUCAAAUAGAUACUAACAGAUUCUGAAGAAAGAAGUGAAUCUUUUUUCCGUGUGUAUUCAAUUCCCUUUUCAUACUCAGCAGUCAAUACAAUAGAGAGAAGAAGAUAAAUAGUGUGCCAUCAUCAUUCUCCUCUCAAGUCUCAAAAGGCAGGCAAUCUCAGCUGACCAUCUUCUGGCUCUGUUCGUAAGCUUUCAGGUGACAAAACUUCAUGCAUUGUCAGUUCUUUCAUGGGUUUUGGUUACUAUUUUUGUCAGUUUUGUUUGCUGAUUGUUUUUGUCUGGUGUAAGGACACCGAUAUCCCUUUGUGGUGAAAGUGUCUUAAGAAAGCGAUUUCGUGUUUUAUGCGAUGGAUGUGUCUGUUUCCUUGAAUAUUUUAGAAUCCCAAUACUUCCAUGACAAUGGUUUUUAUUUAAUAUAAAAAUUGUCAGAAAAAAACACUGAAGUUAUCAAGUUACCGUCUGCAGUAGAGCAGCCAUAACAAUGGCGGAUAUGAACGGCUCUCCAACGCCUGCCAGGCUCGAGGUUUGUUCUCUUAUUCUACUUCUUCUUCGUCGGCAUUUUUUUUAACAGGCAUUGAGAUUUUAUUAUGUUUUCUCAGAGUGCCAAUUUUCUUGAAAUUUGGCUUUAAUUUCAGGGGAAGUUGACUGCAAUUGUGGUGUGUUGGGUUCUUGGAUUGGGAACCCUUGUUGCUUGGAAUACUAUGCUGACCGUUGGAGACUAUUAUUAUGCAUUAUUCCCGGUAAGUAGUAUCUCCGGCAUUGUUUUUUUUUCGAAUCAUUCUAUAUAAAUUCGUGGUUUGAUUAUGAGAUGAAUUCAUGGUUUCUUCCUUGAGCAAAUUGAUAUAUGUUUCUGCAAUUUCUCGGCCUUUUAAUUUUCAAAGCUGGCCUUGCCUUUCAGAGGACUGUGUUUAUGGGUAGAUCAGAUCGAACUUUCUUAAUGAACCAUUGAGCCCUAAAAGUUGCAGAGACCUUUCAACUUCUCCAAGGAACACAUGAAUACAAAAAUGGCCACUAUUAUCAUGAAACUUUCCCGUGUUUAUUUUCUAUGACUGAUUCUCCCGUGAACGGAAAAAUGGCCACUGGAGGCUGAAAAUUACUACUGCUAUCUGAUUUUCUUAUUUUACUAUUCUUUUCCCUUAUUUUCAGCGGUAUCAUCCUGCAAGGGUACUUACCCUUGUUUAUGAACCAUUUGCCCUUGGAACGAUUGCAAUACUUGCAUAUAAAGAAGCUAAGAUUGAUACAAGGAAGCGUAACUUGGCCGGGUUUACUCUUUUCUUCCUGAGCACAUUCGCCCUCCUUAUUGUAAGUUUGCCAUUUUGCAAAAAUUGCAGUUCUUAUUUCACGUUUCUUUUUCUCAGCUAUUUCUCUUUAAUCCUGGCUUUAAAUGUUUUCACUUUUGGCAGCUAAGAUUAGCCACCUCAGGAAAAGAGGAAUCGGAAAUUACAUUGGUAUAUGCAUCAUUGUUGCUGUUUUUGGCACAGCAGAUGCCCAUAUUGAAGGUGGAAUGGUUGGAGAUCUCUCCCUCAUGUGUCCCGAGUUCAUCCAAGUAAAAGAUUGCUGCAUACCAAGUUCCUUCUACCUUUCUACUAAACAUGUUCAUGAAGUUAACUAUCAUUCGUUGUUCUUGGAAUUACCUUGCAGUCAUUCUUUGCUGGUCUAGCUGCCUCAGGGGCUUUAACAUCCGCAUUAAGAAUGAUGACAAAAGCAGCCUUUGAUAAAACAAAUCAGGGUCUCCGCAAAGGCGUCAGUAUGUUCUCUUCUUUCCAACUACAUAGAUUUAGAAAAUGUUGUCAUGUGUUUUUGUAUUUUUGACCUCCUUACUUUUUCCACUAUCUGGAUUUAGACCUCCCUUUCUCGGAUUUGGGAGGGUGGGAGGGAGGGAGGGGACUGAGAAUACAGGGAUAUAUGUUCACAUUAAGUUGGUCCAAAUGGGAUAAUUCAUGCAAAUUCCAGUGAUAGAUAAUACCCAGAUAUGGUCACAUUAACUUAUCGAACACAGGAUGAUUCGUUUAAGUAUCAAUAUAGAUGGAGACUAUGUGGAUUUGGCAGUCUCUCUGCAGAGUUGGUCCUAGCAUAAUUAGGUACAGCAUCACAGGCCAAAUCAGAUUCCAAAGCUCUGCUGUUCCUAUAAUUGAAAAGACACUGCACAACUGUUGGCCUUCUGAAGUUGUAAAUGAUCAGCUUUAGUUAGCCUAGUUUUUCGAGUCUCUGAUUAUGCUUAUUUUUAUGAAACCUGCAUACUAAUCAUUAGUCCCUGUUUGUACACAAGAACUUCAAUUUGAUCAAGAUCUGUUGGACAAUUCUUCAAAUUUCUAAGAUAUAUAUCAGUGUGUGUGUGUGUGUGUGUGUGUGUGUGUGUGUAUGAUGUUUCUAAUAUUCUGGCUUUGAUGCUUGUGCAGUUCUAUUUCUGGCCAUCUCCACAUUCAUUGAGCUUCUGUGUAUUUUCCUCUAUGCAUUCGUCUUUCCUAAACUACCUAUUGUGAAGCAUUUCCGUGCAAAAGCUGCAUCGGAAGGAUCAAAAACAGUUACUGCUGAUCUUGCAGCUGCUGGAAUCCAGACACAGGCAAGUCAGGAGUACAAGUAAUUUUUGGAUCUAAUACUUGAACUUUUACUGUCUAGCUUGUAAUGCUGAGAAAAUCUUUUGUUGUCUGUGAAGGGUGAUAAUGAUGAUAAACAGUUGAACCGGCUGAGCAACAAACAGUUAUUUUUUCAAAACAUUGAUUACGCAUUGGGCGUGUUUCUUACAUAUGUCCUCACUUUGUCUAUCUUCCCUGGAUUUUUGUACGAAAACACUGGGAAUCACAAAUUGGGAUCAUGGUAAGUGCUCAUUUGUCAAUGAACUAUGAUUUAUGUUCUAUGAAGUUUUUGAACCAGCCAUGGAGUUAGAUUGCUGUGUACAAAUUUUGAAUAGGCAUUGCUGAUAGGUGUUCACGUCUCUGUAGUAGUUACUAUCAUUAUCAUUUUUGUUGGUCUUAGGAUUUUGUUGCUUGAUGCGUUGUUUUUCUGUAGAUAAGGAGUCUCUUUGCUAUACAAAAAACGUAUUUAUAUUGAAGUUGAACGCAUGAAGAUUCACCACAGUUCUUGAAAUACUCAUCUACAGCAGAUAAAGCCUGCAAAAUACUUAAGCUUAGGAAAAACAACAUCAGCAGAAGAUUUAUAUGCUCUUUCCUUUCCUAAAGAAAAUGAAAUUACCUACAGAGAAAAGAAACUGAAAUCAGUUUGGAAAAGGAAAAGAAAGGAAAAGUAACUUUUGGAUACUUUCUGAAAACAAAACCCUUAUGACAGAUUAAUCAUCUGCUAACAUCGAGUUCCACCAAAAUUAUUCUGCUGCAGGUAUGCUAUCGUUUUGAUUGCAAUGUACAAUGUGUGGGAUCUUAUCGCUAGAUAUAUUCCUCUAAUUGAAUGCCUCAAGAUAGAAUCAAGGAAAGGCCUUAUGGUGGCAAUAAUAUCUCGUUUGCUGUUCAUCCCUGCAUUCUACUUCACUGCAAAAUAUGGUGAUCAAGGAUGGAUGAUAAUGCUCACAUCCUUACUGGGAUUAACCAAUGGCUAUCUUACAGUCUGUGUCUUCACAGCAGCCCCUAAAGGUUACAAGGUUAGUGCAACUAUAACUGAAUUAAUUCAUUCGUUUUGAUACUGUUUAUCAUCUAACAUGCUUAAAAUGCAUAAACUUUGUUGUUUCAUAUAGGGUCCAGAGCAAAACGCAUUAGGGAACUUGCUAGUACUAUUCCUUCUUGGAGGUAUAUUUGCAGGUGUAGCCCUGGAUUGGUUGUGGCUUAUUGGCAAUGGAAGUUUCUGAAGGUGCAACACUUGUAUUCAUCCCUGCAUUCGAAGUGACACUUCCCAAUUUCGAAUAAUGAUGCAUACGUUGCUGAGAUAGGAAGUGGAAUGAAGAUAGUCGAUUGUUACCAAAUGUUAGAUGAUAGAUGUUUUAUUUAUAGAAUCUGUUGUUCAAGGUUUUGGAAAGGCAUCAUUUCUUUUCGUCACAUGGUUGAAUUCUUGAAAAAAAAAAAACCCGGAUAGUUAGUACUUUGAUAAAUAUAUUUUACCAAUGAAGAAUUGUACAUAGAAUUGAAGUACUAGUUCAUUCUGUUCUUUCAUUCGACUUGCUCCAAAAAUAUGAGAAUUUCUUUUUUAUGAUGAUUAGGUCUUCUCUCACUUGCUAAGCUUGAUGCUUUACAUUUGUACUACAAAGAUUAAAAGGAAGAGACCAAAAAAAAAAAAAAAAAAAAAAGAGGAUAGAGACAGAGAGAGAAUGAGGAAACAACUCGUAGAGCUGUUAAUCGAGCCGAGUAUUUGGCUGCCGAGCUCGACUCGAGUUUAAUUCGAGCCGAGUUCGACUCGAGCUCGUUAAGAAAACGAGUUUUAAAAUGUGUUCGAACUCGGCUCGUUAAAUAUACAUGUGGCUCGAGCUCGAGCUCGAGCUCGACUCGUUUGUGAUAAACGAGUCGAGCUUCACGAGCUCGAGCUCGAGCUCGUGCAAAUUAACAUUAAUAAAAAUUUAUAAUUUUUAAUUUAUAUAAUUUUGAUUUCUAAAAUGACAAAUAUGCCCUUCAUUAACGAGCUCUAACGAGCUACUCGAGUAUCAAACGAGCCGAGCUUACUCGGCUCGUUAACUAAACGAGCAUGUUUCGAGCUCGAGCUCGACUCGUUAACCAAAAUUAACGAGCCGAGCUCGAGCCUUAACGAGUCGAACUCGAGCCUUAACGAGCCGAGCUCUAACGAGCUUUCGAGUUACUUGAUUGGCUUAACAGCUCUAGAAACAAGGGAUGAGUAGAGAGUCGCAAAAAUUUUUCAAAUGAAUUUUGAUACAAGGCUAAAAAACAGAAUAAAAACAUCCAAAGUUCAUCCCUUUAUACAUUUUUAAUCAAAGGUCUACAUUGCUGCUGUCGAACUACGUUGCUUUCAUCUCUUUAUUUAUAAUCUUAAUAAGCAAGAUGGUCUAAUGCUACAAUGUUUAAAUAGAAAAUAAAAAAUGUAGAAAGUUAUCCUCUCCCUGUCAUUAUUGUCGUUUUUAUCCAUUUUGUGUCAGCAAUAGGACCCUCAACCCACUUGCUUGAUUUACACUAACCAAAGAUUUUCUCGACAAAUGAAAGAUUUUCUCGACAAAUGGUAGAUUAUCUAUUCCUACUUCAUUGCACACUUUGUAGUAAUAUGUCAUAAUUAUCUAUUCCUACAGUCCUUAAAUUUCGUGCAAUUAGUAAUCACACGCUACAAAGUCAUCGAACACCUUCAGUCAACCGAUACACGUCACAUUCCACACAAGAAAACUUCAACAAAUAAGUAGAGAUUCUUCCCUUCCUUUACGGAAAGGAAAAGAUUGAAGAUUCUUUCCAUGGGAACAGCACUCAAAAAAGAUUCUUAGCAUUUCGACUCCCCCGUGCCCUUCCAAGAACGCAGUCACAAAAGAUUCCUAAAAGUUCACAAAAUGCCACUCUUUUAAAAGUAUUCAACCUUUUAUCAGUCUACUUCAGUGUUUUCAGAUUUUGCAUUGGAGUCAACAAUAAACUUCCAACAAUCAUUUGCAACUUGCAAUACCAGAAAAGAACCAGACUAAGGAGUCACGUAGCUCCCGGCUUUUAAUCUUCAAACAAUUGAUAAGGUUUCUCUUUUUAUUUUUUUAUUUUUUCUGAUUUUUCAUAAUAUUUAGUGUAUAAAUGUUUGAGCUACAGUAGUGUUGCUUACAUGUGGAGCUGGGCCUGCUGUCUUCUUCACGGUCAUUUUUCCUCUGCCUGGUUUUUCUUCCUUUAGAUAUUAGUACUAAUGUUAGUUAUUGCUUUCUGAAGCUGCCAAUUCUACUGGACCAUCAUUUCCAACAAGAAAGGCUCCAAUAGUCUCUCUAAUAUAUCGAACCAAUAAACAGGUUUGAAGUACGAUUCAGUUUUCCAGUAUUAUCACUUGUCAAGGUUUUUCUCUCUGAAGCUUUUCUGUAAUAUGUCCUUUAAUGCAGUGCCAAAAUGUCUUGAUUUAGACACACAACUAUGAAUCUGAGAUUUCUUAUUCGGCCCUUUUCUUCAAAGGGAUUGAAGAUAAGGAGUCUUACUUUUAGUGUUAUGCUAGUUGCAGGCUGAAUUAAUUCUUCGAAAGUUAGCUGCCUGCUAAGAGACGAACAGCUAUGACUGAAGCUGGCUCAAGUGGGUCUCCCACUCCAGGCAGGCUUGAGGUUCAUCCCAACAUUGUGCAUUAGAAAUGGAAUGGUAUUAAUUGCCAAUUAAUUCUUGACUGGAAUUGUUUGAUGAUUGGCAUCAGGGAAAACGUGCUGCGAUGGUAGUGUGUUGGUUUCUUGGACUGGGAUCACUGGUCUCAUGGAAUAGUAUGCUGACUAUUGGAGACUACUAUUAUGCCUUGUUUCCUGUAAGUACUCCUAUGUGCUCUGUAAUCCUUUUUGAUACAAAACACCACUUUUUGGUCUGGCAUGUAUGUUAUUCUGCGCAGUCUUUAGUUCCAAAAUCAAUGAGCUAGGAAUUCUGUGUAGACUUUCAAUUUGAAUUUUCUGAGGUGACUUAAUUUAGAAGUUGCACAACUUGGCCUACUUUUGUUGAAAAAUGAUGAUGCAAUGAGACAUCAACAUGACGAAAUGCCUAAACUGUUGCGCUGAUGGAUUUUUCUGUACUGGAUGUUGGCCCUGCCAUGAAUAAUCUCUCUGCCAGCCUUGAGUUACUACUAGCUAGCAAAACUUGUGGCACAUAAACUGUUGCAGAUGGAUACAUAAUAAAAGAACAUUCAUGAUAAUCUAAUCUGUACUGGUAGGCAAACACUUUAAUUUCCCAUCAAUGAUAACCAAUUUCUAAUUCCCAAUUUUUUCUGGGCCUCAAGGCGAACUGAUCAUAUCUUCAAUAUUUUGCCAUCAAGUUAGUUCAUCUAGAAUGAGUUGCAUUUGGAAGAACUUAACAUUGGUUUUCUCCGUUUCUGUUUGAAGCACUAUCAUCCUUCAAGGGUACUCACCCUAGUUUAUCAACCAUUUGCCGUUGGAACAGUUGCAACACUUGCAUAUAAUGAGGCAAGAAUUGAUACCAGAAAAAGAAAUUUAGCAGGAUAUACUUUGUUCUUUCUGAGCACAUUAGCGCUCCUACUGGUAAGUUUUCAUUUCAGCAAUGUUUAGUAUUCAAUGUCUGAGUUAUUUAUUAUGCAUUUAUUUUGAUGUUAAACUCCGCAGCUAGAUUUAGGCACAUCAGGAAAAGGAGGACUAGGAAAUUAUAUUGGCAUAUGUAUACUUGUUGCUGCUUUUGGAGUUGCUGAUGCCCAUGUCCAAGGAGGAAUGGUUGGAGACCUAUCCUUGAUGUGCCCUGAGUUCAUCCAAGUCAGUCUUAAAAUCAGAUGUUCCAUUUACUCUCUAAGAUUGUAUUUCUUUCAUAUUGUUUAGAAGUACUAUUCAUAGCACACGCGUUUUCAUUUUAAUCUUAUCAUAUGUAACUAUGCAGUCCUUCUUAGCUGGUCUUGCUGCAUCAGGGGCACUCACAUCUGCUUUACGGCUAAUGACAAAAGCAGCCUUUGAAAAUUCUAAUAACGGCCUUCGCAAGGGAGUUAGUACGUAAUUUUCUCUUCGUGCUUUGUGAACUUCCAGGCACUUACAUGUCGUCUCGUUCCUGAAUGAUAUGGAAUUCUGUUUCUCCAAUUUGCAGUUCUAUUUCUUGCCAUCUCGAUAUUCUUCGAAUUCCUAUGCAUUCUGCUGUAUGCAUUCAUCUUUCCUAAACUGCCAAUUGUAAAGCAUUAUCGUGCAAAAGCAGCUUCAGAAGGAUCAAAAACUGUCUCAGCUGAUUUAGCCGCUGCUGGCAUCCAGACCGAGGCAAAUGAAACAGUACGAAAGUUUCUUUUGAUCUAUAUGUCCAAGUUUCUGAUGAACUGUUCAUUUGACACCUUAAGACAGCUUUUGCCAUCCAUGCAGGUCGAUGAUGAUAAAUAUCCUGAGCGCCUGAGCACCAAACAAUUACUCUUUCAGAACUUUGAUUAUGCUUUGGACCUCUAUCUGAUUUAUGUCCUAACUUUAUCUAUCUUUCCUGGCUUCUUAUAUGAAAAUACUGGACACCACAAGUUAGGCUCCUGGUAAGUGAUAAAAUUCUUUCGUGAUUCAACCUGUUAGGUGGUUACCUUUAUCUUAUGUCAAGUAGGAUGAACUGAUCAAUAGUUUUGGAGAAUCAAAUACAGCUAUCCUAUACAUUCAAACACUAAAAAAAAUGCUAUUUAUUCAUCGCUUUGAUAAGUUUUUCGACUUAGACACCUCCAUUUUUUGGUUAUCCAUUAUUACUACUAAAAGUUUAAUUGCUUUCAUUUUACUAUCACUUAGUCCCCUAUUUUUAGCAUGCUGCUCAUACAAAUCCAUGUACAGGCUGUCCAAUUAGCCAUUUCUUGAAUUAAGUUCCCAUCAACCUUAUUUAUUUGAAAGAUUUGAAUAGGGUGGCCCCGGCCCGAUGUAGUAACUAUAUUCACUUCAUUGAUGGUCAUCCCAUCCCAGGUAUGCUGUUGUUUUGAUCGCAAUGUACAAUGGGUGGGAUCUCGUAUCAAGAUACAUUCCACUCAUGGAAUGCCUCAAGUUAAAAUCAAGAAAGGGCCUCAUGCUGGCAACAUUAUCUCGUUUCUUUCUCAUCCCUUGUUUCUAUUUCACUGCAAAAUAUGGUGAUCAGGGAUGGAUGAUAUUUCUCACGUCCUUCUUGGGACUGACCAAUGGUUAUCUCACAGUAUGCGUCCUCACUGCAGCUCCAAAAGGGUACAAGGUUGGUGAAAUGUAGAUCAUCAUGAAUGAGUCUCAAUUUCGUCUUAAUUGCUUGGUUUUAUCAUUGAGUUAAUUGCUUUGGUUUUCCUCUGAGCAAGAAAAUUUUACCAUUUUCUGGUACUGCAGGGACCAGAACAGAAUGCACUUGGAAACUUGUUAGUAGUAUUUCUCCUUGGUGGCAUAUUUUCUGGCGUAGCCCUGGAUUGGUUAUGGCUUAUUGGCAAUGGGAAAUUCUGAGGAGGCAAUAUUUUGAUGAUAUUUUUCCACGAAGCAUCUGUAGGUGAGUGUUGAAUAUUGAUGCAUGGAUAGUCGCCAGGAUGUCUGUUAGGGGAUGUCAAAUUGUAUUUACAAAUUGCUAUAUAUGCUGAAUUCACAACUGAAAUUGUUACGUGUUUUGUAAAUCAAAAACCAAAACUCAAUUCUUCGUGCCUUUCAUACAUAUGUUUAUUUUGGGCUAGGAAAUUAAAUGUGCCUGCUCCAAAAGAUUAUAGUUGGAAUUAUGGUACGGUUAAUUGCACUGAACCAACUCAACUAUUACCUAAAUUGCACUUUACUCCCCUUGAUGAUUUUUAUUGGCACUUAAUUCCCUUUUUUUUAUAUAUUUUAAAGAUAAAACUAUCUGUGCUAUUCUAUUUCUUUCAGUUUUUCUUUUACUCUUUCAAUUUUUUUCAUUUUUUUCUUUUCUUAUUUUUCCCCUUCUUUUCAUGCCACUUGCCACCUCUUUCCCUCUACUACUAUUAGAGUGCUUACACUAGAAUUUUUAAUUUCUUUUACUCAUUCCUUUAUUAUGAUUGAAUAGAUUGUUUAUUUGUUAAACUUCAUUUGUUUUUAUUAUUUAAUAUAGGGGAGGGUUGGGUUGGGUUGGGUGGUAAGAUGGGAGGAAUUGUAAAUACAAGAUCUUGACUUCAAGAUUUCCCACUUACCAAACAAAAAAAGUCUUUAACUUACCAAACAAAAAAAGUCUUUACCAUAAGCUCUAUUCUACCGCACAAUAUAUGUUCAUAUCAUAAGCACAUUUAAUCAAGUUAUUCAAUAAUUUAUUUACACGUAAACUAAUUAGAGUAAACAAUUGCUCAAUCAUUAAUAGUAAAACCAACAUAUUAAUAGCGCAUGCAAGAAUUAAUUGUUAACAAAUUAUUAAUUUUGAAUGCAUUAAAAAUGAACAAAAACAGUACUAACUGAUUUGUGUGCUUACAAUUUUUAUUGUAAUUUAUUCAUCGUUUAUAAGCUGAACUUUCUAUCUGGGAGAGGGUUGGCUUGGUUGAUAAGGGAGGAAGUAUUGCAAGUAGGAGAUCUUGGAUUCAAACACUACCACUUACAGGAAAAAAAAAAAGGCUGUGCUUUGUAUUUAUUUGUUUAAAUAAUUCACUAUCUUAGACUACAUAGGCUUUGCAACGUAAGAAACAUAGAUAAUGUUAUGAUAUAGAUUUUGUUAUUAAUUGUUAAUAAUGAAAAAGGGAAAACUAAAAGACAAGAAAAAAAAGGAAGGAUGAGAAAACAAAAAACGAAUAGGUGAAUAAGAACGAGAAAAGCAAUUAAUGUAGCAAAGAUAAUUUUGUCUAAGAAUGUCAUAAAGGGGCUAAAUUGCCUAUAUAAAAACUUUAGGAGGGUAAAUUACAAUCCGAGGUAUAAUUGAGGAGGAUUUAGUGCAUUUUACCGCAAAUGGCCAGCAUCGUCUUGUUUAGAGCUUUAGACGUAGUUUUACAAAAAUUUAAAAUGUCAGCAAUGAGUUUAAAACUCAGAAAAUCGGAAAGUUAUUUUCUCUAACACAAUUAAGUCUUCACUGAACGUUGAAAUACGAAAUAUUCCUUUUUUCGGACUCCAAAUAUUGCAUCCUGAACAAAAAUGUAACAUCACAGCCCAAAUAUUUUUGCGUGAAACAGUGAAAGAAAAAAACUCAAAAUCUUUUUGGAUAGACAAAUUAAUUUCCAUUUUUUGUGCUAUACUACUAAUUAGUUAAUAAAGUAACUUAGUGGUCUUCUUUGAUCUAAGCUGAAAGACCGAAACAGGUACAAUUGAAGGUCAAUGGUCACCAUCAUGGCUAGCAAUAUCGGCCGAUACCGAUAUGUAUCAGCCUGAGUCGUAACCGGAACGGAGGGGAUCGGUACGAUACCGAGCUCUGACUCAACCGAUAUUGGCCGAUUUGAAUCCGUAAUGUAUGGUAUCAGCCGAUAUAUUGGAGUCACUCGAAUAUUUUUCAAAUUGUGUCUUUUUGGUAUUUUCUAAUUUUAGUAAUUUUUUUAGAUUUUUUGAAAACUUUCAUGUGCUAUAAUGUGCGUAUCAUCCGAUAUUCAACCGAUAUGCCGCGACGGAUAUAGAAUAACCGAGACCGCGACGAGACUGCAACCCGCGAUGGCAAACCGUGGUCACCAUUUGAUAAAAAACUAGUCCACUAAUAUUAUCCAUGCAUGCCCAUGCCCAAUUUUGGUACGUGGCUUUCACGCUUUUGCUACUUACAAAUUCAUAAUGCAGAUUAACGACUUCAAUAAAAUGUUAUAAGCUUUCCCCUACGAACAAAGAUUCUUGAAUUGGAUUUUGAGUUCCGUCAACUUCCUUGCUUUGUUAAUGGGAAUAUGCUUAAACUACCUUACUUUCCCCAUACUCCAACUUUUCUUUGCAAGAAUGCGUGAAUUGCUGGGCUAGUCUUCUCAGUUCCUACGGAAAUUUUUACUUCUGUUGCGUCCGAAAAUGUUCAAGUGUUGCUCACGUUGAAUUUUCAUAUAACUUAAUUAAACCGUUCAUGUCCUUCACCAUCUUUUGUACGUCUACUCGUGGGCAAGCAUCUCUUAAAGGUGUUCCUUGCAUUUUUGUAAUGUGGUUAAGGUCACAUAUUUCUUCCCUUCCUUUCAAGACCCUUUUUGCAUGUAAUGCAGAUUCUUCUUCAUAAAUGGUCUUCAAGCUUAGCCAUUUUCACAGUUUUAAGCGCUCAAGUUCUUUCUUCAUCAUUCUUUUGAAGUUAAUAAAGAAAUUACAAAUCGUUAAGCCAGAAAAAAAAAGAUAGAGGGUAGAAGAUGAAGCUUAUUUUUACUAAAUCAUUCGGAUGUGGAAGAGCAUUGCAGAGGCCGGUUGGGCUUAUAGUCAGAAAUUGGCACAAAGAACCAGUUCUCGUGGCAUGGAAGAAACCAGAGAUUGGCUGGACUAAGUUAAACUUUGAUGGUUCUUGCAAGUGCAGGACAGGGAAAGCAAGCAUUGGAGGCGUUCUCAGAAACCAUGAGGCUGAAUUCUUGCUUGGAUAUUCUGAAUUUAUUGGUCAAAAGAACAGCACGAUUGCAGAAUUGGUCGCCCUUGAGAGAGGCCUGGAGCUUGUCCUGGAGGAUGGUUGGAGCGAUGUUUGGGUUGAAGGAGACUCCAAGUUCUUAGUUGACAUCAUUGCUAAAAAGCGACGAGUUAGUUGUGCGGAAGUACAAAAAUACGUUGGCCAUAUAAACUCAAUUAUUCCAGCACUCAAUAAUUGCAUGUUGACACAUAUUUAUAGGGAAGGAAAUAGGGCUGCUGAUAAAUUUGCCCAGAUGGGCUAUCAUUUUGAAAAACCUCAAGUUUGGCGCCAUAGUCCUCCGAAGGAAGUGCUGCGCAUCGUACAGGAAGAUGCGCAAGGUAAGAAGUUUAUCAGAAGAAGAAGAAGAUGAAGUGGAUCUCACAUGCUAGAAUUUCUUUCUUUUCGUACAGAAGAUUAGUCAGUAAUAUUUAGAUUUAAGUGAUCUAAAUUUCUCUCCGUGGAAAGUGAUCACCACUGUAUGCAAAGGGAUACCACAAAAACAAAGGAAAUGUAAAGUCUUUCAAUUCAAAGGAAAUGUAACAUUGUUGCAUUUCUCACUACUGAAGAAAUUCUCUAUCAGCACACAGACAGCAAGUAACGGUGGUCCAAUCUCUCCCAAUCUUUUUCAUAGAAAACCUGAAUUUUUUAUUCCAGAUUUCAAAUCCUUCUCAUCCAAAUACAUAGACAAGCACAAGAAUAGAACAAAGAACUCCCUGAUGGCCUGACUGAAGCAUGUCAAGGUGAUGAUGCCUUCCCUCCCUCCCUCAGAUGUAGAAGCCAAAGAGUUUAAGUGACCACGUCCCUCUAACCAUCCAUCACACGCAACAUGCAAAAGAUAGCAUAUAACCAAUGGUUAACUGGGAAAAAUUAAUACUGCAACCAGUGUUAAAAGCUGAUCUUUGACAGUAUAAAUUAUCAGAACUGAUAAAUCUGACUUCCACAUGAUCGAAGACAUAAUUGCCAAUGUUGCUAAAUCACCUUUUCUUUUGACUCGCAAUUUUUUUUUUUUUCCACAGUUUCUUUCAAAGUCAUCUCUACAAGAUAGAUAAUUUUGCAAGUUGACAAGUUCGACACACAUUAUUUUCCCUUUUUCAGCAUUCUCGUUAAGAACCAACAAAUCAACAUAUCCAAAGAGCACAACUCUUACUACAUCUGAAAGCUCAGCCUUGCCGGAUGCAACACAAUGCUUACUGGCCUGUUAACUUACUCACUGCCUUUGAAAUACUACCAAAACCAAAAAUCACCAAUUAGGAAUCAUGUUAUGCAGAGGAUACAAACAAUAUCAAACUUCGAACACGUAUAGCAUGUCUAUGAGAAGCAGCAUGAAUAUGCAGAUAUCUGUUAUUAAUAGAUGAUGCAUUAGCUGCACUAGAUUUACGUAUAUUAUCUCUACAACCUGCACCAACAUGCAAAAUUGGCAGGCACUCACUUAUUUCAGUUUGAAAAUCUGUUCCAUUGAAAAUUAAAACAAGAAAAUAAAGGAAUAGUGCAUUAGCCCAGAACAUAACCGAGAAAAGCAGUGAACUGGUGACUGGAUAGAGGCAACACAAAGAAAAAGUGAAGGAAUAUCGAUUAACAUACUAAUCUAUGUCAGAAAAGAACAAACUAAUUCCAGCCAUAUAAGUCGAGCAAGAUGAAUAACCACAACAAGCACAAAGAAAGAACCACAGAAAAAACUACACAAGGACAUAGAUGUACCAUACACAUGGUGUCACAACCUGAACCGAAAAUACUCAUCCUGCAUUUAUUUCCAAGUCCACAAAAUCUCCUGCUAUGAUUACACUGAAAACAGUAAAAGAAUCAGAAAAUGCCAAAUACAGUGAAAAAUGAAGUGUGCAGUUAAAUAAUAAAAAAAAUAAAAAUAAAAACAUGCAUAGAGGGGCAGCAAUGCCGAGCAGCAGAGUCUCGUAACUAUUAAAUGAUAGCUGCAGUUGUGCAACUCAAGUGCAUAUUAUAUGGUUGAAAAGCCGCAAACUUUCAGAAUUGUUAGCAAGCAGGAGAAUACAAUUCUAGGAAAGAAGCAUCAGGUUACAUAUAUGAUGCGACAAUAAUCCAAGAUAAUAAACGCAUUAGGAGUCCGUUGUUACGGAUUAAAAAUGUUUCCAUAAAAAUAUUUCCUAAUUUUCCGGUUUUAUAUGGCACAAAAGUUACUGAACAAUUUCGCUAUAUAAAAUAUUCACUCAUCUUAUGGAAAACAACUUCCCUCCAAACUUACGAUUUCCGCAAAUCGCCCUCGUAGUAUGUUCCAAACUUAAGGAAAACAUCUUGUAGUAAUGUUUUUUUUUUUUAGUGUAAACAGGAGGACUCGAAUCCAAGACCUCUUCCUUACACUCCCUCCCCCGUACCACCCAACCCAACCCAACCCUCCCCCUAGUAUAUUCAAAAUAAAAAAAAAAACUCAUCCUGCUCAUCCUAUACUAGUAAUUAAUUAUGUAUAAUAGGGACAUUCUUUUCUAGAGAAACUUUCAACAGUGAGAGUGCAAGAUAUAUGUCACAAUAAGCAUUGCAUGUGAUUGAUAUUUGACACUAAGUGGCCAGCAAUUUAUUUAAUGCUUAAGGAGAUAUUUUUUAUUCAUAUAUACAUUUCUCCAAGAUUUUUUAAAGUUAAACAAUGAGAUAAAUUUUUUUAUUUUGCAUGGGAAGAAAUAUGUAGUUAUAAUUUGUAAAAAGUAAAUAUAGAGAUAAAAGUGAAAAUAUUUCAAAAGUUAAACAAACACCAGAAAAAUGAAGUAAGAAAAUAUUUUCAAUAAGCUAACCAAACACCUGAAAAUGAUGAAAGGGAAAUGAUUUUCAUGAAAAAUUACUUCCACGGAAAAUAUUUUUCCAAGGAAAACAUUUUACUUCCAACCAAACAGACCCUUAGUAUAACAUACAUCAUGAUAUGUCUGUAAACACACACCCAAACAACUUUGUGUGUGUGCUUUUAAAUGGAUAAGGCAAUACUUAAAUGGAACUUAUGCAUGUACACCUGCAUUGGAACUUAUAUGCAUGCAACUGUGAUGUACAAAGCACAAGCACAUUGCAAGUAAAAUAUCAUUUCAUAUUUGAUAACUAAACCCUUUUUUUAAAAACACUAGCAUUAGGAUAUACUCCAACAACUAACCUGGAAAUAAAUACAGUGGUGAAUGGUGCAGAUACCGUGGAGCGGAGGAGAAAGGCACCUCUAUUACAACCAAAAUUAGCUUUACUGGUUCCAGUCCAGCCAUAUGAAUCAAAGAAGAUUUAAUACCACUACAAGCACAAAGACGAACAAAGAAAACACCAUAUGUAAGGACAUUAGUGCUCCCUUAGAACUGGAGACACAACCAGGACUGAAAAAUCCUAGUAUUCAAGUUCAAGUUAUCAAAAGAAUAGCCCAUAACUGAAUGCUAAAUGUCUGUCCGCCUAUGUUUACAAGCAAAAAAUUGAGAAACAAAGGUGUGAAGCCUGAAAGCAGCAGCAAAUCAGCUUACUUGUUUCACCACAAAUAAUGAAGCAGCAUUUGAUAUAUGAAGAAAACUAACAUUCUGAAUAUGCAACAGAGAUACAAAAGAAUCAGAUCCAUAAAGAGUGAAACCUCACCAGUAUAAUCUCCAGCUCUCUCUCUUUAGCCAAGUAAAGAAUAAACUGUAAACAAGCACAGAAACAUCCAAAAACCUCACCAUUCAGAAAAGAAAGAAAAGACCAAUCAACAUCCCAUGAUACAAGUAAUAGCAUGAUCUUGACUUACUAUGCUGGACAUAUUUCACAAAGACUAGAGCAAAGAUGAACCCGCUUCUUCCACAACUAAGAGAACCACCAAAUGUAAACUGACAAAAACCUUGUUAAUUGGCACACAUAACAUUUCUUUUUCCCAAUAUUAAACCAAACUGUUGUCUAGCACCAAAGCAACUCAAACCAUAUAAUAUGCACAUAUUACUCGAAAGCUAAUCCCGGAAGCAGGAGAAAAAAAAAAUUGCAAGUCCACUUAAAUGAAAGAGAAAAAAGUUGCAAGUCACUUAAAUGAAAAACCAUUAAGAAAAAAUUCCAAAAUAUGCAGGCAAGAAAACCUCUAGGGUUUGUAAGUAGGCAUCAGUUUAUAUUGUAAAAGAAAUCAGGCUCACUAUUUAACAGCUCUUUAGUCCACAACUCUGCUUUCAUAGAGCAAAAAACAAACAAAGCCUCGAUGCAGGGGAAAAAUGUACAAGUGAACUUUUGAUAGUGCUUCUGAAUACAACAAAAAAAUCCACUUUACCAGGUACUGACUGGUGAAGCAAACCUAAAAUUUUGUUUAAUCUUCAUAGACAAGUCAAAUGCCAUAAACCAAACCAACAUUAAGCGUUUCGACUUCUUUUAAAUCUUGCAAGGGCUCCAAGGUGACCUUCAUCCUCAUCUUUUCCUGCUGCAGCAUCAUCACCAUUUUCAGGGUUAUCAGUCUCUUCUCUUUUCCGGAUCAGACCUCCAAAUACAGCAUUAGGAACAUCUUUUUGUGCUAUCUCAACCUUGUCAUCAUCUUCAGAGUCACUUUCCUCGGGUAGUUCAAUAUCCUCCUUAUUUUCUGUAUCCUUAGGUGCUCCAUCACCCACAGACUGUACACCAGCACUUACAAAGCCAAGCACGCGAUUGGAAUCUUUAGUUACAGCAUCAUUAGCAGAUGGCAACAACUUCUUUUCUAGAGCUGCCAUUUGAUCAUCAGCAACCCCAGCCUUCUUUAGCACAUCUUUUGCUUCCUCAAGAGUCUGCAUCUGAUCCUUUUGCAUCAAGUACUCAGGAAGAAUAAAGUGAGUCUGGAUAGAAGAACCAAAGUGGAUUAGCACCUAUGGAUUUUUUUUUUUUGGGGGGAGGGGGUUGUUGGGGUGCAGCAGUUUAUACUAGAGAAACCAUAAAGCUUUAAAUGUAACAUCACAACAUCUCAGAGGAUCCAAAAUUUUUGUACAAAAGAAUAGAACCAAAACUGACUUAGAAGAGGAAAAGAAAAACCAGAAUCUCCCUAGAAGCAUAAUAAGGAAGUAACUUCUCUUCCCAAGUCUUAUGGUUGCCAACCACAAAAACAGGAAAUAAGAAGUUCUUAUGUUGUAGUUGAUAUGAGUAAUUAUAGAAGCAAUAUUUUCCCAAUAGCAUCUAAAGAAAAGGAAAAUAACUCGAACAGGUUGCACUCCAUUGAGAUUCACCAGCAGGGACAGAAUGUUUCACCAAACUUUGAAAAAAAAAAUCAGUAAAGACAAAACACACCUGGCUAUAGCUUGCAGAAACGCUCCUUUUAACACGAAGCAUCUCACGGAAGGUGUCUUCGUUACCAUGCUGCACUUCAAACUCAUGCCACUUCGACCAGAAGUCAGGGUCAGAUCUUGGGUCAGCAAACUGCGAUGCAUGCUUGUAUAGUGCACGAGCACGAUCAACUUCUCCAAGGCUCUUCUCAAGCUCAGCAUACCUCAGGCACAUGACCUUCACAUCCUUGUCAGGUAGACCAGAUUCAAUUGCCUGUUCAUAUAUUUCCCUUGUUUUCGGAACACCAAAAAUUUCAGCUGCACGAGCUAUGUAGAUUUCAUACAUGCUUAAUUUCUCAGCUGCUGGAACAGCCUUUGUAGCUUGAUCGUAAACCCUCAUGGCUCUCUUUGCAAGACCACAGUCCUCUUCCAACUUGGCAUAUUGUAGAUAUAAUGGCUUUACAACCUCCGCAGGGGCCUAAAUAAAAAUAGUAUUAAUAUCUUCACUUGAUGCUUCAGCAGCAGUCCCAAGAUCAUCGAAACCACAAGAGACAAUAAAGCAAUCAUAUCAAAGAUAAACCAUAAACUAUUUAAAUGCAUACUCUACUGGUAUGAAAAGUCACAAAAAGUAGAAGUUCUUGCUGGUACAAUGUUCAUGGACAGCUGCUUAAUAUGGAUAGAUAUAAAGAAAGUUUCAGGUGGUCAGCACUGCAGAAAAUAUUAUGGUCUUCUAUAGGACAAUUUGCAGCAUCAUAUUUCCAGUAAGGAUCCCUACACUAAAUACUUCAAUGGAAGAAUCCUUAAAAUCAUACAAGUGACUUUUACUGACUGCUACUUGCGCAAUGACUUAGCAAUGGUAUAUGAGUACUGGAUUAAUCAAAUUAACUACAAAACAAAAACCAAUACCAACAAUGAAACCCAUGCAAACAAUAGAAAGAGACAACUGUUCUAGACUUUAUUUUACAGGAUGUCACUACUAAUAGACAAAAAAAAAGAACUGAAAAUUUAAAAACAAAUGUUGUGUGUUAGUUUUGGACAUAAUCUUCAUACACACUCUUUAAAUUUGCCUUCUGUUUUCUUCUAAAGCUUGUUUCUUUUAUAUUAGAAUGCCCCUAGAAGAAAGAAAAGUGAAUUAAGAUCAAUACAAGUAAUCACAGGCAUGAAGCAUACACCAGAAUGCAAGAUUCUGGAGAAUGAGACAAAUACUUCCAUACCACUUCAACCGCAUGCUCAAACAAUUCUCGAGCUCGUUCUAGUUUUGACUUUCCAUAUCUCUUCACAAAUUUGGAUAGGUAAGUAGCCCAUAUAUCCUUUGCAUGUGGAUAUUUGAAAAUCUUCACACCUCUUAUGGGUGUUAAUCUUGAAUUCGUGCUCUAAAGUUAUGAACAGAAAAGCAAAGUUUUAAGUGGGUUAAAAUGAAAAAAAAAAAGUAAGUUAAAACAUGUGUUUAUGACAUAGGUAGAAUAAUAUUUGAGAUAAUUUUCUAUCCAAGAAUUCAAUUGCAGCCAAGAAGGGACAGACACAUAUUUCUAAGCUUCCCUUCUCUAUUUACCGGUAAACAUUUUCUUGGUUGCCCCCUGUCUGAACUUUGAUGUUGUUCGAAGCUACAAGCCUACAACAAAUUAAUUGUCUGGUUGCUGGCCUAUUCCCAAUCAAAAUUACAUAGAGGCUGGUGCAUUCUUGGCAUCCCCCAUGCUUGAUAUCUCGUAGUAUAAAAAUGCUUCAACGGAUAACAAGAAGAUGAUUAGGGCAAAAUCUUUACAUGACGAAGUCAACUGCUGAGGCACCCACCAUCAUGUGGCAAAGUCAACUAUUGUUUUUAAAACCCUAUGUUCCAUUUUGACGGACCAUCCCCUGAUUAAACCCCAUAGCCUUCCGGAAACUUGGGCCGACCACAUGCCAUCAUCCUUUUUUGGUAGAAACCAUCAAGUACUCAAAUACUUUUCUUUAAAUUCCGGUGGCUGCUUUUUUUUUUUUUGUCUGACGUCAUAUAAAUACAGGCUCUCUCAUUGUAUAUUUUUUUUCUCAGUGAUUAGGGAUUUUCCUUCUUUUCUUCCCCACCUGAUUGCUUUAGUCCUCGGUUUUUGAACAACAUGUUCAGACUUCAUAAGCAUUCAGUCUGAUGCUCGGGACCAUUGCCAAAAAUUCAAGUCAUGUGCAUUAUUAGGUCCGGACCCGUUGCCAGCUGAGCUUUUUCUCAUUGCUCCUCCGUUCACAUAAUCCAAAUUCUUCACUGCCUAAUAAACCUUGCUGAUAACUAAUAAUAUAUGGUCUGAUUCAAGAUUCUUGAACCUUAGUGUCCUUAUUCAGUCAUUAGACAUCCCUAGUCUGUUAAAUAAGCUUUUUUCCGCCUUUAUGGCUAAAUGGUUUACAAAUAAAACACUACUGCUAAUUUCUAGCUAGUGACGUGCUAUAAUUUUGUAUCUGCAUCAAGAAUGGUCAGAAGAGUUGAAUAUAAGCUUGUAGCCAAUGAACAAAUGUGAAUGUUGUAGGCCUUAUCUUUUUUUCUAUUUUUGCAAGUCAAGGGUUUGCAACGAAAGAAGAUAAUUCUCAAAAUACCGUGACAUCACAUAUUUGAAAUGCGACUACUCUUUCAUAUUGGCCAUAAAAUUUUUCAAGUAUUUUUUAGUAAUAAGGUGGCAUUCCAAUAUUGGAUUUGUAAGAUCUUCCAAAUGCUUUUUUUAUCCAUAGUAUCUAUCCAUGUCUGUGUCAUUACCAAAAGAGGCGAAGAAAAAUUGGGAUUAUAACAAAAGAUUACCUGUCAAUAUUAGAGCUGAUUCAACAUUUGACAAAUUAAUCUAGGGUGAUUGAGCUUUACCAUUUAAUUUAGGAUAAUUGCAUAAACCUCCCCUAACAUGAACUUAGGCCUAUAAUUGACAUAAAAUAGGGUAAAUUUACUUCCAUACCCUAUGAGGUUAAGGUUGUUAGUAAACAAAUUUAGAGCAAAAAAUUUAGGUUAACUAAUUAAACAAGUUAAUGGUUAUUUCUUACCUGAUUAGGCAUUGUAAGUGCACUUACAAAAUGGCACCACAAAAUAGUGCUAAUUGAUGCUCCAACAUGGUGUUAUUUUGUGAUUGACAACACUUGAAAGGACAAUCCAAAUCAUAUACUAUAUGCAUAGAAGAGAAGCAGAAGCAAAGGGAAAGAAACCUCCAAGUAAAGCUCCAUAACAAAAUAAGUUCUGGUGGUUUUGGUUAAACUCACUUCGUCUUAAACAUUCAUGAAAACAAAAGGAGAAAGAAAGCAAAAAUCAAGGCGAAUUUUGAGAAUUUUUCUGUUAAAAAUUUGCGGUAAUUAGAAGAUAAUAUGUAAAUAAUCCUUUGUAGUUUCAACUUAAUACACAAAGUUUCCAUGCACACUAGUGAAGGCGAGUUUUUGAAGUUGGUUAUACACAUUCUAUGCUUUAGAAUCUUAGAUUUCUGAACAUAUGUUCAUUACUUCUUCCGGUUGUUACUGCUGCACUUGUUCUCUUUACAUUUAUGUGAUUUUCACUAAUUAUUUCCAACUUUUAAUUUUAUUUAUUCUUUUAGUAAUUCAACCUCACAAGAGGCAAAAGGGGUACAAAUGGAACAAAAUUAUUAUCUUUCUCCUAAAAAAACUUUUUUAAUGCAACUUUAUCUAACAUGGGCUGAAUAUGCUAUCAAAAUUUUAAAUUCAGAAGAGGUUAGUGCUAUUUUCGAAACCUCAAAAGAGGUGAGUGCAGCUAUUAGUAAUCUACAGGGAGGUUUCUACAAUUGUCCCUUUAAUAUAACAGCGAUUGUGGAAAAACCAGUAAUCGUGGUUAUGGAAAUUAUUAUGGUAUGCACUCAAAUAUUUUCGUUUAAGAGCAUAUGCCCGCUGGGAGAGAAACCAUGAGUACGCGCAACUAUUUGGGUCCCAAUGUUAUAUUAAAAAAAAGAAAAACAUAUUAUGUCCGAUGAAUUCAUGUCUAAUUUAUAAUUGAAGCAAAAUUUGUGAUGAAGCAAGAUUUUUAUUUUUAGUUAUCCACGGACGAUGUAUAUAUAAAAAUUUACGUGCCACAUAUCUCGUAAGCUUUAGGCAUUGGAAAGAAACUGCUCUGCUGCCAGUUCAUAGCCUGUCUCAUACUGAUAAGAAACUAAAAGUCCGUCCCUAUCAUAUUAAUUCCGUUCCGAUAAAGGACCACUUGGGACGGUGGGGAUAUUUUACCUCCAUGCUUGAUUACUGGAUCUAUAUAUAUGACCAGUGGACUUCAAAAGAUUCGUCAACUUGAAAGUUGCAUUUUGUUCUCGUCGACCACAAAAAUAAAUAAAUAAAUAAAUAAAAAACCUAGUUUGUUUUACCCAAGAUUAACAAGUGAUCAAAUUGAUAGUGAAAGGUAUUGAAGUAGCUAAACGUGACAGUUUAUUGUGUAAAAUGGUAGGUUGAGAGAUGCAUAAUAAUUGCAUAUCAAAAUUAACCCUAAUCUAUAGUAUUUUGUUAAGCUACAUUAUAAUCAUUAUUACAGUUCGGGCAAAUUCUUGAUUUUCUCUCAUCAAUCCUUUGCAAAUGCUUAAAUAAUUGAAUAAACACAAGCACACGCAAGCUGUGAAUGGGCACAAGUACGAGAGAGGACUAAUUCCUACCUAAUAGGAUGUUUCGAGUUUGACAAUUCAGAAAUCAGAAUAAGGAAAAUUGAUGCAACAUUGACCCCCUAACCAAUUAAGUGAUGGGAAAAGGAUGUGUCAUCAUAUGAAUACUACACCACAUUAAUUUGGUUGUUCCGAACAGGCAAGUCUAUAUUGUGAGGACAAUUUUUUAUAUUUGACCGUUCCUGUGUAACAUAGAGAUUCUUAGUUUCGCCAUUUUCCACAGUCUUUGGUAAUUCACCAGAAGUUAUUGAGUUGUAGCAAUCUUUUUUUACCAGAAGUUAUUGAGUUGUAGCAAUCACACCAGAAGUAUAUUCCACGAGAUGGAUUCAGGCAGCUGCUUCGUUCGUAUGAGCCUUUCUUUUUUUUUUUUUUGGGGCCAAAAGAUCGGGAUUAUAGCCCAGAAGCGCAUUUAAUAUUUUAGAUCACUAGUCGACAUCCAUGCUCAAUAGUAAAUUUACCAGUAUUUUUUUUUCUUUUCUUAAUAGUUCUCUCAAUUAUUUGGGAUAAACCAAGAAUGCAUUUGAGUAAACUUUUCACAGCAUUUUGUUGGGGCCUUGGAGGUAAACAAGUCACUUACAGAUCGCUCACUUACACAACUCUCGCAUCAGUAAUAGAAUUCGAAUGCAUAAUCUGUUGUGAGAAAACGACUUAUUUUUUAUCAACCGAAUCAAUUUGUGUUGACAUUUAUUCUCAUUCAUUAGAAGCAACCCAAAGUUAAAAUAUAACCUUUCUUGGGAUCUAUUCUUGGCUUAUCCAUACACUGUUGGUAUUGGUUUAAAAAGUGGUUUUGUGAGCACCUUUUUUCAGUUUUCUUUUGGUUUUGCUGGGGGUGAAGAAACAUUAAAUUGGGAUCGAUCAUAACCACGCUAUUUAACAUUGCAUUGGAUACAUGCAAAGAUUAAUUCUUAGAUGUCUAUUAGAGUAUUCAUUCAACUGACUAGUUUUCUAUAAUCAUUUUAGUGGUCUUAUAUAUAUGUGUCAAGUACAAUGGAUACAACAUGAGAUGAAUUCCCCUAAAAAAAUUAAAAAAGAAUUACAUGUGUGAAUAUUUUUCGGAAUAAAUUGCUAUUCUAUUCUAAAUACACAAUACACGCAUAAAUUUGCACUUACAAAUUAUAUAUACUAACAUAUUUCUAUUUAAGUGAACGUGUCCUACAUUAGCUCAUUACGUGCAAGAAAGCGUAAUACUUCACAUCAUGACAGAGUGGAAUUUCAGCAAUGAAUUUUUCUAGGAUUCGGAUGACGACAGAGCAGAAAGCAUGCAUCGUAUAAUUUCAGUUUCUGAAAAAAAAAAGAAAGUAUGCAUAGUACUUGGUACGUGAAGUAUAAUUUAAAGUAUCGGAAACAAAAAUUAUGCUGGAAAAGCAGGACUUCUUAACCAAUGGAUCUUGGUCAACGUGUAGUUUAAAUUAUCUUUUGCAGAAAUUGUUAAGGGAAAAUCAUUCAAAAUGCCCCUCACAUUUUACAAGAUGAUUUUUUUCGUUCCUCACUUUUAAAAGUAUAAUUUUACGUCCCUUACAAAUUUAAAUUGACCAAAUUUGGUUCCUACCUAGGUUUCCGAUUAGGUUUUUAUCGGAAUUCACGACGUGCCUUACACGUGAUCACAUUUCAAGGGCAAAAUUGUCAAAUCAAAUUUUAUAUAAUUCGAUUCAUAAUUCCUCACAUUUCAUAAAAUAAAUUUUUUCGUCCCUUACAUUUCACAAAAUAAAUUUUUUCAUCCUUCACAUUUUUCAAAAUGAAUUUUUUCAUCUUUUAUUGAUCAGUGUGAAUAAUUUUUUUUUAAAUCCAUGUAUAUAUCUAUUUAAUUUCACUUGAACAGUACGAAUAGCAUGUGAAAUCAAAUAGAUAUAUACAUGGGUUUAAAAAAAUUGUUAGUUUUUCACUUAUUUUAAUUUUCUUUUACUCAAAAUUUGAAAAUAAAGAAAACAUUUAAUCCUAAAUAUUAUCGAGUGUUUAUAUUGAAUUAAAUUUGGACAGAAAAAAUAAACAAAAGAAAAGUAUGACAAAAAGAAAUUAGUGAUUGGCAUUUUCAAAUUUUAAGACAAUCACGAGGCAAGUAAUUCAACUGUUGGUCUUAAAAGUGUCAAGUAGAAAUUUUGUAUUUAAAUUGAAAUUUGUUAGCACAAUUAUAGUAUUCGAGUUAGGACUCAUUAAUUAAAUUAACUUAUUAGACAAUUCAAUAAAUAAAUUAUUAUUAAAAUAGAAAUGUCACAAAUAUUGAAUACGUUUAAAUGGUGAAAUCAUAUAAAUAUAUACAUGGGUUUCAAACAAAAUUAUUAGUUUUAAACUCCUAUAUAUAUGUAUUGAAUAGCAUGUGUACAACUACAAUUAGCAUGUUUAGAUGAAAUUCAAUAGAGAUAAAUUACCUGUUAUUUGUAGUGUUCAGAUUAAAUCAAAUAUACAUAUACGUGGGUUUAUAGAAAAAAAGCUAUUCAUACACAUGAUCAAUGAGGAAUGAAAAAAUUCAUUUUGGAAAAUGUAAGGGAUGAAAAAAUUCAUUUUUUGAAAUGUGAGGAACGAAACAAUUCAUUUUGUAAAAUGUUAGGGAUCAAAAAAUUUAUUUUGUGAAAUAUGAGGGACUAUGAAUCAGAUUAUAUAAAAAUUGAUUUGACAAUUUUGUCCUUAAAAAAUGAUCACAUGCAAGUUACAUGGUGGAUUCCGAUAAAAAAUUAGUCAGAAACCUAGGUAGGGACCAAAUUUGGUCAAUUUGAAUUUGUAAGGGACGUAAAAUUACACUUUUAAAAGUGAGGAACGAAAAAAAUCAUCUUAUAAAAUAUGAGGGACGUUUUGAACGAUUUCCCAAAUGUUAACUUCAACAAAUAGUAUAUAGCAGAUACUGCGAUUCAAACAUCUUAUAGAACAAAGUUUAGUUUAUUCACCUUUCUUAACGGCUAAUUAGAUUCAAACCUCAAAGUUCAUACGUUAAUUUAGCAACGAUCAAGUCAGCAAUAGUCCUCCACAUUACUGCGUAAUACACCAUAAGUAGACAUUAUUGAAAACAUCAUUACUCUAAUCUCAAAGUCAAAUUGCUGUCUACAGUCGCCAAGGAUACAGCUAAAAUGGAACAACUAAUAACGUGCGGCUUCGGUCCAACGUCAUAAAAUUCUGAGUCCAGAGAAAGGUUGUACCAGUUGUAUAUUAAUUGAGAACGGGAAGAAAAUAACUCAUGAGCCGAUGCAGUAAAAUAUGAAACCAGGGCAGGAAAAUUCAAAACAUAUCUGUUUGUCAUAUCAUCCAAUUCAACUCUCUCGUAGAAUGUAAGCCUUAGGUGAUUCUAAUUUUGCAUGGUAAAUCGGGUUUGGACAAAAAAAAAAAAGAGAAGAAAUUAGCAUAGCCCUUCUAAUGGGUGAUAAAAUUUCAUAUCUGAAAAACUUGGAAGCAGACAGUUUAUAGGCCAAAAAGAAAGGAAAAAAAAGCACUUAAAAACAAUUCGUGAAUGCCAAAGACACAUUGAAAACAAUAACAAAGAAACUUCUUAGUCAAAUGCAGAAAUCAUCAUAACGCAUGUGCAAACUCAUGGGAAGCAAGUUUUGUCUGGAGAUUGUUGGGCCAUUUGGCAUAUCAGCACAAUUUGCUGUCAAGCCCACGUAUCCAGUUUAGUUUUUGUCUUCACUGACAUCAUGGACUCCUAAUGAGGCUAGGAAAAGGUCAGAGAGUCCUAAAAUAAUGGGCUGAUUCUAUCUGGCCACAGUGAGCCCAUUCCCAAGUAAUGUCCAAUAGUCUAUUGCACCCAUGGGUUAGGCCCACACUUUCAGUUUGCUUUGGGCACUUUUCCCAUGAAGACAGCCCAAAUAGUGAUCGUCCCUUGUUAGUAUCAAAAUUCUUAUGGAAAAUUAAUCAUGUUUUAUCUCUUCUAGGCGAUACUGUGCUUACCCUAGUCUGGUGAAAAUUAGAAUAAUGGUACCAUAUGUAUUUGAUAAUUUGCGAGCUAAUAUAUUUAUGUGAUUGAUUUCUAAAUUAUAUAUAUAAAAAAAAAUGAAAUAGCGGGUUAGGUGGAUUAGUGGAGUCAUAAGAAGUCAAAAGUGGUUAUCAUUUACUAGGAUAUUUUGCGAGUCGAAGAGCCCCUGCACCAAAGCAAUAGACAUUAUUCAUUCAUUUCUAUUAAUGGUUGGAUGAAUGACCAAAUAGGCUAUUGUAGACCACCUAAGCAAUUUUUCUGUCGGCUUAUUUGGACAUAUAAGCAUGGAAUCUCGUUAGUAUAACAUACAUCAUGAUAUGUCUGUAAACACACACCCAAACAACUUUAUGUGUGUGCUUUUAAAUGGAUAAGGCAAUACUUAAAUGGAACUUAUGCAUGUACAGCUGCAUUGGAACUUAUAUGCAUGCAACUGUGAUGUACAAAGCACAAGCACAUGGCAAGUAAAAUAUCAUUUCAUAUUUGAUAACUAAACCCUUUUUUUAAAAACACUAGCAUUAGGAUAUACUCCAACAACUAACCUGGAAAUAAAUACAGUGGUGAAUGGUGCAGAUACCGUGGAGCAGAGGAGAAAGGCACCUCUAUUACAACCAAAAUUAGCUUUACUGGUUCCAGUCCAGCCAUAUGAAUCAAAGAAGAUUUAAUACCACUACAAGCACAAAGACGAACAAAGAAAACACCAUAUGUAAGGACAUUAGUGCUCCCUUAGAACUGGAGACACAACCAGGACUGAAAAAUCCUAGUAUUCAAGUUCAAGUUAUCAAAAGAAUAGCCCAUAACUGAAUGCUAAAUGUCUGUCCGCCUAUGUUUACAAGCAAAAAAUUGAGAAACAAAGGUGUGAAGCCUGAAAGCAACAGCAAAUCAGCUUACUUGUUUCACCACAAAUAAUGAAGCAGCAUUUGAUAUAUGAAGAAAACUAACAUUCUGAAUAUGCAACAGAGAUACAAAAGAAUCAGAUCCAUAAAGAGUGAAACCUCACCAGUAUAAUCUCCAGCUCUCUCUCUUUAGCCAAGUAAAGAAUAAACUGUAAACAAGCACAGAAACAUCCAAAAACCUCACCAUUCAGAAAAGAAAGAAAAGACCAAUCAACAUCCCAUGAUACAAGAAAUAGCAUGAUCUUGACUUACUAUGUUGGACAUAUUUCACAAAGACUAGAGCAAAGAUGAACCCGCUUCUUCCACAACUAAGAGAACCACCAAAUGUAAACAGACAAAAACCUUGUUAAUUGGCACAUAUAACAUUUCUUUUUCCCAAUCUUAAACCAAACUGUUGUCUAGCACCAAAGCAACUCAAACCAUAUAAUAUGCACAUAUUACUCGAAAGCUAAUCCCGGAAGCAGGAGGAAAAAAAAAUUGCAAGUCCACUUAAAUGAAAGAGAAAAAAGUUGCAAGUCACUUAAAUGAAAAACCAUUAAGAAAAAAUUCCAAAAUAUGCAGGCAAGAAAACCUCUAGGGUUUGUAAGUAGGCAUCAGUUUAUAUUGUAAAAGAAAUCAGGCUCACUAUUUAACAGCUCUUUAGUCCACAACUCUGCUUUCAUAGAGCAAAAAACAAACAAAGCCUCGAUGCAGGGGAAAAAUGUACAAGUGAACUUUUGAUAGUGCUUCUGAAUACAACAAAAAAAUCCACUUUACCAGGUACUGACUGGUGAAGCAAACCUAAAAUUUUGUUUAAUCUUCAUAGACAAGUCAAAUGCCAUAAACCAAACCAACAUUAAGCGUUUCGACUUCUUUUAAAUCUUGCAAGGGCUCCAAGGUGACCUUCAUCCUCAUCUUUUCCUGCUGCAGCAUCAUCACCAUUUUCAGGGUUAUCAGUCUCUUCUCUUUUCCGGAUCAGACCUCCAAAUACAGCAUUAGGAACAUCUUUUUGUGCUAUCUCAACCUUGUCAUCAUCUUCAGAGUCACUUUCCUCGGGUAGUUCAACAUCCUCCUUAUUUUCUGUAUCCUUAGGUGCUCCAUCACCCACAGACUGUACACCAGCACUUACAAAGCCAAGCACGCGAUUGGAAUCUUUAGUUACAGCAUCAUUAGCAGAUGGCAACAACUUCUUUUCUAGAGCUGCCAUUUGAUCAUCAGCAACCCCAGCCUUCUUUAGCACAUCUUUUGCUUCCUCAAGAGUCUGCAUCUGAUCCUUUUGCAUCAAGUACUCAGGAAGAAUAAAGUGAGUCUGGAUAGAAGAACCAAAGUGGAUUAGCACCUAUGGAUUUUUUUUUUUUGGGGGGAGGGGGUUGUUGGGGUGCAGCAGUUUAUACUAGAGAAACCAUAAAGCUUUAAAUGUAACAUCACAACAUCUCAGAGGAUCCAAAAUUUUUGUACAAAAGAAUAGAACCAAAACUGACUUAGAAGAGGAAAAGAAAAACCAGAAUCUCCCUAGAAGCAUAAUAAGGAAGUAACUUCUCUUCCCAAGUCUUAUGGUUGCCAACCACAAAAACAGGAAAUAAGAAGUUCUUAUGUUGUAGUUGAUAUGAGUAAUUAUAGAAGCAAUAUUUUCCCAAUAGCAUCUAAAGAAAAGGAAAAUAACUCGAACAGGUUGCACUCCAUUGAGAUUCACCAGCAGGGACAGAAUGUUUCACCAAACUUUGAAAAAAAAAAUCAGUAAAGACAAAACACACCUGGCUAUAGCUUGCAGAAACGCUCCUUUUAACACGAAGCAUCUCACGGAAGGUGUCUUCGUUACCAUGCUGCACUUCAAACUCAUGCCACUUCGACCAGAAGUCAGGGUCAGAUCUUGGGUCAGCAAACUGCGAUGCAUGCUUGUAUAGUGCACGAGCACGAUCAACUUCUCCAAGGCUCUUCUCAAGCUCAGCAUACCUCAGGCACAUGACCUUCACAUCCUUGUCAGGUAGACCAGAUUCAAUUGCCUGUUCAUAUAUUUCCCUUGUUUUCGGAACACCAAAAAUUUCAGCUGCACGAGCUAUGUAGAUUUCAUACAUGCUUAAUUUCUCAGCUGCUGGAACAGCCUUUGUAGCUUGAUCGUAAACCCUCAUGGCUCUCUUUGCAAGACCACAGUCCUCUUCCAACUUGGCAUAUUGUAGAUAUAAUGGCUUUACAACCUCCGCAGGGGCCUAAAUAAAAAUAGUAUUAAUAUCUUCACUUGAUGCUUCAGCAGCAGUCCCAAGAUCAUCGAAACCACAAGAGACAAUAAAGCAAUCAUAUCAAAGAUAAACCAUAAACUAUUUAAAUGCAUACUCUACUGGUAUGAAAAGUCACAAAAAGUAGAAGUUCUUGCUGGUACAAUGUUCAUGGACAGCUGCUUAAUAUGGAUAGAUAUAAAGAAAGUUUCAGGUGGUCAGCACUGCAGAAAAUAUUAUGGUCUUCUAUAGGACAAUUUGCAGCAUCAUAUUUCCAGUAAGGAUCCCUACACUAAAUACUUCAAUGGAAGAAUCCUUAAAAUCAUACAAGUGACUUUUACUGACUGCUACUUGCGCAAUGACUUAGCAAUGGUAUAUGAGUACUGGAUUAAUCAAAUUAACUACAAAACAAAAACCAAUACCAACAAUGAAACCCAUGCAAACAAUAGAAAGAGACAACUGUUCUAGACUUUAUUUUACAGGAUGUCACUACUAAUAGACAAAAAAAAAGAACUGAAAAUUUAAAAACAAAUGUUGUGUGUUAGUUUUGGACAUAAUCUUCAUACACACUCUUUAAAUUUGCCUUCUGUUUUCUUCUAAAGCUUGUUUCUUUUAUAUUAGAAUGCCCCUAGAAGAAAGAAAAGUGAAUUAAGAUCAAUACAAGUAAUCACAGGCAUGAAGCAUACACCAGAAUGCAAGAUUCUGGAGAAUGAGACAAAUACUUCCAUACCACUUCAACCGCAUGCUCAAACAAUUCUCGAGCUCGUUCUAGUUUUGACUUUCCAUAUCUCUUCACAAAUUUGGAUAGGUAAGUAACCCAUAUAUCCUUUGCAUGUGGAUAUUUGAAAAUCUUCACACCUCUCUCGUAAACUUUGAAUGCAUCCUCAAAGUACUUAUGAUCCUGACAAUUCAAUAACAGAAAUUUAGAUCAACAAAAGCAAAUAGAAAUUAAGGCAAAGAUUACCUUUUCCAUUUAAAAGAAACAGACAAACAUGAAGGAGAAGAUGAUGAUGAUGAUGGAGAAAAAUAAACUUUUGGAAGAGAAGGUCUGACAAAGGUCUACCUCUAACAGCAUAGCAUAGUUUAUUAUGAUUUGGGGUGUGGCUAUCCUCAGAUCCAAUAUCCUCUCAUAAACUGCACGAGUGGACUCCAAGGUUCCCAGGCUUUCCUCCAAGUCAACAUAAAAUGUCCAAAGUCUUAGGGAUUUGUGAAUCUUCAUCUGCACUGGUUCAUUUCCAUCAGCUGCCACUGUAACAUGUAGCAAAUGUUUAGGCGCCAUUGUACUCUUAAUGCCCAAUUAUUAUUAGAAUAAAAUGCAUCCUAAUACAACCAGCAAAAGACACAAAGUAUUGCCCUUUGCUUUGCAGAGACCUUUUGCUCUUCCUUGUCUAUUUACAAUUUCCAAACUAGCACAUCUCAAAAUUAUAUAUCUGUUUUUGAGAACCCUCUUUUGACCAUAUCUUGUAAAUAAAUCAUCUUUAGAAAAUGGGGAUCAUUAAUCUACCGUAAGGAAUUUUAUACAACCCCUCAAGCUAGAAGCAUACAAACCAAAAUAACAUUAGACAUCUAGGAAAGCAAUACAAGAAGUGUUAGCUUUUAUUCCAAUCAGAUUCUUUUUAUUUUCUUACCUCCCAUUUUUAAAAAUUUUGUGAACCAUAAUAGUUCGUUUCCCAUGGAAAAAGAAGACAUAAUGUAUUUGCAACCACAAAGUUCAACAAAUCUCCAAAUUAUAACACAAAUCUGUGAAUUUUUUCCAAGAGGACAAAAGUACAGUGCAAGGUAAAUUGGGAUCUAAUGUUUGAAUCAGCAAAAACCACAAAAAUCAUAGAAAUAACUGGCUUCAUGCUUGAAACUACCAAAUCCUGAUAAAAUCAUACUGAUGCAUAAUGUGCACUAGGACGAGGAGCAAAGAAGAACUCACUAAAGUGGUAAAAAGAAGCUAUAAGACUAAAUUAAAUGCACACUUAAUGCAGCAUAUGAAUUGGUGCCCAUUAGAAUCAUUACUCUACUAGCAUCUAGAAGUUAUUUGCAAAAUAUUUUCUUGAAAUUUAUGGUAUGCUAGAGAAUAGAACUGGAUACAUUCUUUCAAAAAAAAAUAACUACUAGUUCACAUGACACAGUAUGCUAACUGACUUCAAAAUACAGUAUUGUCCUCUUGACACCUUUCUUGAAUUCACAGCAAGAGAAUAACACUAAGAUACUUUGAUUUCUGGUUACAUUUCUAACUCAAGUACCACUUCUUUUCUGCUUUUGAUAUUCAAUUAUGUCAGUCCACAGCCAAUUCUAUACAGAAGUCAACAUCAUAUGCACUCAGAAUACAAGAAGCCAUACAUUUUAUCAGGAAUUGAAUAUAUAAAAAAAGAGUAAGGAUGGAUUACCUCUUCGUUUGACUUCAACUGAUGGCUCUGCAGUUGCACGCCUCAUCAAGUCCAAAGCACCCUUAAAGUUUUUGUGUCUGAGUUCCAUCUCCGCCCAUUCACACCAGACGCUAGCCAAAUGAUCUACAUUCUUGUAAUUAACCUGCACCGCCUUGUCAAAAAUCACCCUGGCAUUUGCAAUAUCCUUGUGGGUCUCAUAAAGCUUCGCAAAUGCAACCCAUAAAGUAUGUGGCUUCCCUACAGCCUUCAUGGGGUCAACUGUCCUAACUGCUUCUGUGUAAGUCAAUAUCUGCUUCGUGGGAUUACCCUCAAAAAGCUUAACCCUCCUAUGCCACUGCUCCACAUUAUGUGGAUUCUGUCUAAGCAGCACACUGUUUGCCAGUUCUGGUCUUCUGUCCAUCAAGUGCUCCAACCUUGCCAACCUCAAAUCCACAUCCUUAUCAUCAUUCAACCAGAACAUUUUAAGUUUCCUCUCCAACUUUCUUAUAUCCAAACGAUCAUCCUCUUCUUCUUCCUCCUCCCCACCCAUAGUCUCAUUACUAUCUUCCUCAUCAUCCAGCUCACUGCCACUCAUCUCCUCCAUCUUUAAAGCAAGCAUACUCUCCUCAAACUGUGAAUAAGCAUCAAAAAUCACGCUAAAAUCCCUAACCGUCACCACUGUAGUCAUGCCUUCCUCAAAAAUAUCCCUCGCCUUCUCCACCAACUUCCUCCGAAUAUAAUAAUCAGCCAGAGAUGUCCACAACCUUCCAACCUCAUCCGUAAACUUCCUAAUCCCACCUCUAAUGAUUGCAUCCACAUUCAACCCAGAGAUAUCCAAAGCGUGCUGAGUCAACAAAUCACACAACUCCAACCACAGCCUGUGUUUUGUCUUGCCCUUUAUCGAAUAAAACUGAUCAUCAUUCAGAACCCCAGCCAACCUCUCUGCAGCCUCCUGCCACAGCUCAGAAUUCAACAAAAACUCUAUAAAAUCCUCAAUAUGGCCAGGAUCAUACUUCAAAUACCUACGAUAAACUCUAAGCGAUGUCUCAAUCGGAAUCCCCUUUUGGCUAACGAAAAAUAAAUAAGGAGCCCAUAUUCGAUCAUGCUGAGUAACGGGCAAUGCACAAAGCGCCCGAUCAAAAGCCCUACGAGUUUUGGUCACGAGCUUCUGAUUAGUUAAAGACUCUAAGUACAUAAUCCAAAUGCGAGGCAUUUUAUGCAUUGUAACAAGGGCCCGUUCGAAAGUAUUAUUCAGAGAUUGAUACUGAGAAUGAGUAAUUGGAAGGUUCCUAACCAGCUCAAGCCGUUCGCGAAGGUAGGCAUGCCAUAGCUUGUAGCUUCCGGGCAGGGCUUUUAGGGCUCGCUCAUAAAUUAUGGCCCGUUUUCGAAAUGGGGCUUCGGAUCUGGCUAUCAAGUAACGCCACCAAAGCUUCAAACUGAACGGGUUGCGGAGCAGCUCUUCUUCGUAGGCUAAAUCCUCAUCAGCCGGGUAGAGUUCCUGGGGUAUAAUCGCCGACGGCGCCGGCGCCGGCGCCACCACUGCCAUGGUAGGGAUUUAGGAAUUGGAGGUUUAGGGUUUGGAGAGAGAAGUGGAAUUGGGGGGGAAGGGUUUAAGAUUUUGGAAAGGAAGCUUGAAUAGGACAAAACUGAAAACUGGCGAGAAAAAGAGAUGAGGUUGGCGUUGGGGAUUUGGGGGGUGGCUUUGGGGUGGGAUAUUUUACCGCACCUCCACGCCAGACGUCUGAAUUAGGUGGGAGCGUUUUUCAGGUGAUAGUUGUUGUUGCAAUCCAGUAAACCCCAAAAGCGUUGCUACAACAUGAGAGAGAUGAUAAAGAGUAAAAACAAUUAUAUAUUGAAGUUGACACAAUAAAAAUAAGAGGACUUUUUUGGAGCACGGGACGAGGAUAAAUAGUCAUAUUAGUUUGUUAAUUGACACAAUUGAGUGGAUUUGAGAUUGGUGUGAAAAUUUGAUCUCAAAUUUGAUAGGGUGUAGUAAGUUGUUUUUUUUUUUUUUUUUGAUAAUUAGAGUGUAGUAAAUUGUUAAAAUUAAAAGUUUAAGGGGCAAUCUACGAUUUUGAAAAACUUUAGGAUUAUGAGCAGCAAGUUAUCCCUCGUUCUGGGAAAUGUUUUGUUGUACUGAUUAAUUAACACACAUGAUACAAUUGAGAAGGAAGGGUUAUCCAGUGUGACAAAGUUAUUAGAUUCUUUCGCUCUCUCUUGUAGUUCUUCGUCAAGUGAUGUCUUGAAAGGAAAUUAAUGAGUAAACAGCAUUAUUUCAAUUCAACAUUAGUUAAAAUUUGACUUUAAAAAACUUUGAAAAAAUUUGUGAUUAAAUUGAAAUUUUAAAAUCUUUAGCAUGCAAAACAUACUCUAUAUGAAGCGUUCACUUCCCAUACAACUCACUCUCUUGUAGUUCUUCAUCAAGUGGCGGUUUAAAAGAAAAUUAAUGAGUAAACAACAUUAUUUCAAUUCAACAUUUGUUCGAGUUUGAUUUUUAAAAACUCUAGUAAAAAUUGUGAUUAAGUUAAAAAUUCAAAAUCUUUAGCAUGCAAAAUCAUAUUCAAUAUGAAGCUUUCACUCCCUAUACAAAAAUUUAUAUCACAUUGAGUCAACUGUAAUGUACCUUACCUUAGUUUUCAUAUGUCAGUAUACAAAGUUUUGGCUCAAGUGGAACUGAACUGUGGAUACUCUAUUUUUGCUUAUUCGAGCCUUGUUGAACCAAACAAGUAACGUUGGAGCUGUGGAUGAUUGGAUUGAACUUGCACGGUUACCCUGAAGAAAAUAAAAAUCGUGUUUUUACCCUCUAAUAUUCUAAAAGUUCUAGUGAAGUCCUUUUAGAAAUUAAAAUUUGCCAAAUUGGUAAAAAAAAAAAAAAAAAAUAAAUCUUAUUACAACUUUUUGUUCUUGCAAAUGUAAACUGACCUAAGAAAAAAAAUUUUGACUUCGCCUAGGGUCUAAGCUAAGAUUGUUCAAGGUUUCUAUCGUACUCAAUCUCAAGUUUGAGUUUUUCUGCUUAGUUUGGAUGGCAUGCAAAAGAUGAUGUAAAUUACUAAUUAGUGUAAUAGUGAUACUUCAUUUAGAUAUUGAGAAGCUUUAAUAGUUGUGACCAACCUUUCUUCUUCUUCCCAAAAAAAAAAAAAAAAAAAAAAAAAGGUUCGACCAUAUCUAGGUUCUGAUCAAUAUUAGCCUGUACUCACCAAGUCACACAGAUAUUGACAUCUUGCUCUCAGGUUGACUGAUAACAUACCCUGCGUUAUACUUAUUGCAUCUUUUGUUUGUAAGAUUCGGUGGAUAAGGGCCGAGGAUAGUUUUUGUUGUCUGGUCUUCCAUUUCCUUCAUCAAUGUGAACUAAAAAAUGGAGUCUGCACCAAACAGAUCCAGAAAUUUCAGUAACUUCAGUCUAUGUAUGUUAAAGCUGCCUCUGAUGUUUUGGCUAAACAGCUAGUCCAGCGCAGCAGACCAUUUGAAGGCGCCCCCGCAGCACGUUACAUGCCUAUUCAAGACACGAGGAGUAGAAUUAACGGAAAACCCCGCCUUUGGUCAUUGACAAUUGAAGGCGUGGACUUUUUAUGAAAUCCAAAUUUCAUCCUUUAGAAGUUACUGUUGGGGUCAGACGUUGAAGACUUAAGUGCGUUCGAUAAAACUGAAAUUUGAAUCCAUUCAAUUUUGAUGAAACUGAAAUAUGAAGUUUGAAUCCAUUAAAUUAUUGAAUUGAUAAGUAUUAAACCAGAUACAUUUAAGUGUGUUUUACAUUCAGUGAUAAGUGAAUAACUUAUCACUUAUUUUUGGGAGUAAAUUUUGCCUAAAAAAUUCAGUACCACUUAAUUAAUUCAUAUGUUCAAUUUUUAGUUAUCAGACACGUCUAAACAUAUUAAGAUCUAAAUUCAUUAAAUUUAAGUGCUGAAUUGGAUUAUCAAACAGGACCUAAUUAGUGUCGAUUUCGACCUUUGAAAUUGGUAAGAAUAAAAGCCUUUAUAACAUUUGGCUGUAGAGUGUAAGGUGGUAUUCAUUAACUCAGUUUUGAAAUAUUAAUUGCUUGUUUAUGUAAAAUAAAUAAGAUAAAAUUUUAUAUGAUAUCAGUGUCUAUAUUUUUUUAAUAUUAGCAAGUUUAAAUCAUGCCACAUAACUCGAAUUCAAUUUUGAAAUUUAAAUCAUGCAUAUGUGUCAAACAUUCAAAGCUGUUAGUGUAAAAAAUUACUACACUGAUUGUUGAUUUAUAAAAAAUUAGUUCAAAUAAUUAAUACCCAUAUCCUUAAAUUACUUUACCAAUGACAUGGUAUAUAAUAUCGUUUCAAUUUCUUUUGUUAGCAAUUUAAGGAUUUAAAAAUUAUUAGUCUCAGAAAAAGUAACCACUUGUACUAUGAUAAAAUUUAUGUAAUUGAAAUUCGAAUAUAGUAGCAUUACAAAUGUUGUAAAUAGAUUUUGCAUAUUCGUAUGGAUGUUUAAAAUUCAGAGAAUGAAAUACCAAUAUUUUGAGGAUAAGGUGAUAGACUAACAAUGGGUUGAGAAAAUUAGCGAUUCACAAGAGUUUGUAACUUUCAAAAUCACAAUAAUCUUUCGACUUGCCUUUGAUAAUGUGCAUACCGGCUGGCAAAUAAACAAAGCAUGAGUUUUACAAGGUUUAACAAAAAAAAAAAUUUCCUUGAUCAUUCACGAGACGAAUAUAGACAUACUGUACUGGAGACCAAUGACACUAAAUUAUACUUGGUAAGGACUUUGCUUAUGAUGGAGAGAAGAGUCUUAUUUCCUGUUAGCCCCCAUGGAAUAAACGUGAGUUUACAAUUGUGCUUAGGGAUGUCUCUUCAAUUUACAUUUGUGCUUAUGAUAGAGUAUUUCUUUCUGUGUCUAUAUAUAUAUAUAUAUAUAUAUAUAUAUAUAUAUAUAUACACAUACAUGCAUGCAUACAUACACACACAUGCAUGCAGUGACGGAGCCGAGAUUUUUUUAGGAGGGGGGCCAAAAUUUUUUUCUAAUAAAAUUAUUUUAAUAUAUUAUGUUCAAAAUAAUUUUCUUCUAUUUAAAUAUAUGACAUCUAAAAAUAUCAAAUAUUAAAUUUAAUUAUAAAGGUAUGUCCAUUCAUAAAUAUGCGGUAUAGUCAUAACAAAAAUUAACAAAAAAGAUAACUUUUGAUUAAAUAUCUUAUAACAUUACAAACCAUCCAAUUUGCACAUUAUGAGAAGAUGCUCUCCAAUAUGUCACCUAUGCAAUAUAUAUAUAUAUAUAUAACUAUGUAAUAUAAAUGUAACUAUUUUCAAUUGAAAAAAGAUAAAAGUUAUGUUAACAUAAUUUGUAAUUUCAACAUCUUUUUUUAGAAGUAAAUUGAGCUCUACGCUCUUUCAUAGAAUUAAAUUCAUCUAUGAUUGAAUAACUGCUAAAUUUUUCAGCAACUUCAUUUUCUAUAUACACAAUUAGACAAUCAUUCAAGAAAUUAUCUUCCAUCUUGUUUCGGAGUUUUGUUUUGAUUAUUUUCAUAAUUGAAAAUGCCCGCUAUGUAGUUGCAGUUGAUAUAGGAAGAGUAAUAACAAGUCUAAUCAAUAUGUCAAUAAGAGGAUAUAUCACUGAUUUUCUUGUUUUCACCAAAUCUUGACAUAACUCAUGAAUACCAGAUAAUUCUUGCAAUUCUGGAUGAUUUGGAUUGUCAAGCUCAAAAUGUUGAAGUUCUAUUCUUAGACGUACUAGUUCUUGCUUUUAACAAUUAUAAAUUGGGUCUUUUUAUUCUAAUACAUCACAUUGGGUCAAUUUACUGUGGAACAUCAAAUGAUAUGUUUAAUUUUUGAAUAAUUAGUACAAUAAAAAUAAAUAACUUUUUUUGAAGAAAAAAAUUAAUUCAAAGAUGACUAAUUCAUAUAUAUAUAUAUAUAUAUAUAUAUAUAUAUAUAUCAACUCUGAUAAUAUAAACUAAAAUUGUAAAAAUUUAGGGGGGGCCAAUUUUAUUUUACACACAUAUUUACAUAUUAUGAAUUAAAAUUUUCAAAGCCCCCUGGCUCCAUCAUUGAUAGACUGUUAGGGUUUCUUGGUCAUCGACCUCGAUGUUAUCCUGUACUUUCCAGUUUCCGGGGUCCCUUUAGGCCUUUACUCAGAGUCUUUCCCGUGUAGUAUUCAUUUCGCAAUUAAUAGACCCUCCAUAUGAGCAUCCAUCGGUCGUAAGGGUUUCUGGUUUCCUUGCCUCAGUCUAUAAUAGUUGUAUACUACAAUUUUCUCAAAUCUGGCAUAAGAAAGUAAUUACUAGAGAAUAUAAUCCCUGUAUAGUUGAUGCUACCCUUUCAUGCUUUGAAGGAACGUACUGGAGGAAAUAAUGCUCGUUUUUAUUUCAGAACUGUUAUAUUCUAGUGAUUGUUUUCUUGAUAUUUAUUAUAUAUUCUACGGCUAAAUAUCCAAUAUGACAGUCACUGUACAGAUCGAUAACGAGCCUCACGUACGCAUACCUUCUUUUCUUUUUCUUUUUUUUUUUUUUAAAUUUACUGCAUAUAAAUAAUGCUUGCUUCCUCGGGGACCAAUUUAAUUUGUUCCAUCCUCAGGAAUUUUUCUGUUGCAAUCUGCAGGUGUUUGCUAUAACGCAAGCUUCAACAGCUCAUCACAUAUAUAAUAGUAGGUUAGCAAUGGUGCUGGUUUCCGUGUAGUACUCUAUAAUGGGAACAAGAUGUCCUACAAAGAUGGCCAUGCUAUAUAUAUAUAUAUAUAUAUAUAUAUAUAUAUAUAUAUAUAUAUGCCACGGAUUUCGAACAUUGAACAUUUUUUUAUAUUGGGUUUUACUUUGUUUAAUUUAAUGUGAUAUUAUUGCUUUUUUGGGUCCAUUUUUCGGUAAUUUGGACCUAGUUUUUCAUAAAUAGCGCGACACUGGAAAAUUGCUGACACAAGAGAUGAAAGAAAUUAAAGAAUGGAUUUUUCUGUCGAUUCAGUUUGUCAUCUCAGAUACAUAUAUUAACCUCGUCAUGCAACCAGCUUUAAAACAUCCACGAUCCUACUGAAGCUGUCGAAGCUUGCUUUUACGUUUUUUUUUGUGGGUGGAACACUUGUCUGUCUGGUUAUAUAACUGCAAGUUUUCAACCUAUCUUUUGCCUUUUGUCCAUUUUGUUUUCCCCUCGUAGAUUUCAGCUGAUGAUGAUGAUCAGUAAGCAAAACAUAGUAGUACAACUUAUCUUGAUACACGGGAUAUAUAAAAGCAAGUAGAAUGAACCCGAGCAUCUACUAUACACAUAAAAUUCUGAAUUCUAAUUUAUCAUCCAGGCAUCUUCUUCUUUUUUUUUUUUGGCUCAUAAUUCGGAUUGUCCUUCUUGCAUUUACAAGAUUAAUUAGCCUUAAAAGGGAAACACAAAAAAAAAAAAAAAGAAGAAGAUUGGCUAGCAUAAUUUUUUGUCUCUAGUACAAUAUAUAGGUGAUCGGAUUUGAAUCUUCAUGCAGGCCUAGGGUUAGCCAGACGGAAAUUUGCAUGUGUAAACCUGUUCAUGGCAACCCCCGUUUGUAGUUUCGGGGCAUUUAUGCAUGCAUGUGAAGAAAUUCAAAUAUGUAUGUAUAUAUUUGAUGAAUUAUCACUGGAGUUGAGAAGGAAAAGAGGCAUCAGGUGGGUGGGGUAUAUAGUCAAGACUAGAAGAUCCUGAUAGUCAAUACUCGUGCAUGCAUGGAUGGAUGGAAUGGAUUGUUCAAUUGUAUCUGUUCCUUUAUUCAAUAUUCAGUACAUGAUCAAUUUAACUGGUGGAGUAAUUGAUCUGUUUAGUACUGAUGAUAUAGUCCAUCAUAUCGCUGGCAAAUCUUUUACUGACAUUGUUAGAAUCAAAAGCUUAAAUGGAAGUGUUUUUGUAAUCUCAGACACGCACCUGGUCAUCAAACCAGCUUGGCCUAGUUACUGGCCGGUUUCCUCAGUAACCAAGCCAGCUUGGCCAAUGCUGAUUUCAGACAAGAAGGCAAGAGGAUCAGUUAUAUAAAAGCAUAAUGUAGGGGCACAGCUUGGACCAUUUCUCCUGUAAAAUUUGAAUCAUUCUUCUAGUGCUACUUAUAAUUUUGAUCUGACUCCAAUCUCUUGCACAAUCAGGUUGUGUAUUUAGGUUUCAGGGUCCGUGACAAUUCAAAAGCCAAAUGGGAUUUGCAUCAAAAAGCCUGUGCUGCCAAAUGGGAUCUCAUCACAUCAGUAGUUUCAGCUAGGACUUUACAUCCGCAUGCUUGAAGAUUCAUGUAUACCUGCUGAAUAGUUUUGCAAUUGAAAACCAAAGAGGCACUAAAUUACUGAAUAGUAUAACAGACAGCUCGGUACCCACCCACAAGAGGCCUCUUUUUAAAAUUAAAAAAAAGAAAAAAAGAAAAAAAGAUACUGCUCCAGCUCAAAAUGCAAUUUGAAGCGAAAUAGUGUAUUGGACAUUGAUGAUUCUGAUGUAUACUUCUAAUUUUCCCCAUCCGAUGGCACUAAUUUACUGCAAAACUGCGGCCAAGCUAACUAUUUCUACCAGCAAUAUAUUUGCUAGUUCUUGGGCAGUUUCUUUCUGAUCUUUGCAACGAAAAUCAUGAUUCAGUAAUCAACUGACACUUCACCAUAUUUGACAAGUAGUAGUAGUAGUAUUUUUUUCUACUUUCACAGGUGCAACGCCACCUUCGAAUUACCAUCCAAUCCAUCUUCAAGAACCUAAAUCACCUUUUCAGAAAUAGAACUGAUAUGAUAUGCCUCCUAGUAAACUCCGAGCAAGGAAUGCUUGUCUAAACACAAUCAUUUACCUCAAAAUCCUGUUUUUUUCCUAUUUUCACCAACUACUUUUCAAAGUUGCUCCCACAUUUCAUCAUCCCUUUUUCGAUCAAAUCCAAGCUUUUCACCAUCAAUCAUGAAAAGAACUACGAAAUCCUAAAAUCGACCAUCUUUCAUAUACUCUAUGCUUCUUCCCUUUUUAAUUUCAGAGCAUUCAGCAGAAAUAUCCAUUUUUUUUGCAUGCGUGAGGCCCUCCCUGUAAAUACUACUGUGUCUUGCAUUGGCAAGCCAUUACGAGUACCAGAGGCUUAUUUGGCUUUUGCGAUAGACAGACUCCUGCCUAGACAUUAAAAUUGGAAGCUGAUCGAAUGUAACAGAGGCAAAAAAUUAGGCUAAUUAAUUGUUUAUCCAUUGGGCGCAUGUCAUGGUCCAGAAGACUACAUAUCAUGUUGAUAAUGAGCAUCAUGCGUCAUAAUGCAGAGUACCAACCAUGCAAAUUUGACAGCAAAAUACACAUUAUCAGACACGUAUAGUAAGUGACAUUUCGAAAUCUUGCAGACUGGCCACAGCCCAAAAUGCACAAUUGCUGCAAAAUCCAGCCAACUACUACUAGCAAUCUACUACCUUUGCACAAUUACUGCAAAAUGCAGCAGACAUGCUACUAGCAAUCUACUAGCUUCUGUGCAGUUCCCUCAUCUGAUCCUGAAAAUCAUGACUGAGAAACCUGCCAAUUUGAAAGGACUUAGAAAUCUUCCCUCCCUUCAGAAAAGAAAAGCCCCCAAUUUUCUCAACAGAUUUCCACUCUCAGAAACAAUAUCCAUCUUUUUGACAAAAACCAAGCUAUGCCUAGAAAACAGGAACUCUUAUUGAAAAAAGAGAACCACAUUCUUUGCCACUUUUCAAGAUGUCAUAUCUGUUUCCAAUUCUUGAACUACUGGCCAGACUCACCCUUCACAUAUCAUCAGCCAUCAUCCCUCUUUUGAUCAUCCAACAAUUCCACCACCAAUCAUCAAAACAACUCCAAAAACCCAAAUUGAUCAUCAGCCAAAAAAAUUAGUGUCAAUCACAAUCUUGAAUAUCCUCUCUCAAUCACUGUACUGCAUUCAUUGUCUGAUAAGGAUCAAAAUUCAACAGACACAAAAUGACACAUGACAUUUCCAAGAAAAUGUCGUAUUAAAAACUCCCACAAUGGCCCCCACUCAUGCUUGUAUACCAGAUUAAAGAUACAGGAGGAUAAAGCUGGUGUAGAAAAAUACGGAUAAAAUGAUGAGAAUAAUAAAGAUUGACAGUCCAAUUAAUUGAUUGGUGGCAGCAGAGUCCAGUGUCCAGAGUCCAGAGCCGAGUCCCCCUUAGAUUCCCACCUCUGAAAAAGUUUUUUCCCAAACAGUCUCCAACCCACCGCAGGACUCUCUCUUCGUCACUUCGCCCCGCUAUUAAUUAGUUAAUUACCACUACCACACGCACUUCACGCACUGAUAACCACAGAAUCCACCUAAAACCCUAAUUCUGUGAAAGCUCUGCUUUUUUUUUUUCUGUGAAUGGCUAAAAAGGAGGAUAUUCCGCCGGACGAAAUCCGGUGCCGGAGAACGGACGGUCGGCAAUGGAGGUGUACUCGGAAAGUAGUAGAAGGGAAAAAGCUCUGUCAUAUUCACUAUCUCCAGGGCCGGAGAAGGCAGCUGAAGCAGAAAGUUCCGGAGUCGCUGAAAUUGGAGAGGAAAAGCAAGAAAAUUAGUAAGAAAGAUGGGGAGAAAAUCAGGGCUUGUUCGUCAAGAUCAUCGUCCAGGAGGAUAGUGAAAAUGGCGUUGGCGGCUGCCGUGAAGAAGAAGCAGAAGAAACGGUGCGUUUCUGAGGUUUUGGAUGAGGCGUUGAGGAGGAUGAAAUUGAAGAGAGGUGAUUUGCAUUUGGAGUUGAUCAGGGAGUUCUUGAAGAGGCAAGUAGAGAAGAAAAGGUUGAAGAAGAAGAAUGAGGAGGAGGAGGAGAAGGAGAAUGAGUGGAGUGGGGAGACUGAGUUGACUCGCGAGUUGCCAAAUGGCAUAAUGGCGAUUUCGCAGAAGAAUUCCGACAAUGCUGGUGGCCAUGAUGCUGUUGAUGUGAAAAUUGGAGAAAAUUCGUGCUCGGGAUGGAACACACAGAGGAGUUUUCGGUCCAAGAAUAUUGAACCCGUACCAUUGAGUACAAUGCAGGUUGUUGCAGUUGACAUUCAGGAUCUUAAAUCGCUUAUCUUGUUUAGUCAUUUGUUUUUGGUUCAUUUUCAGUUGAAUUGGUGUACUUUUAUUCUUCUUUUAUGGCUAUUGAUUUUCUUGUGGAACUUUUUGGCUCCGUGGAAAAAGGUUGUACCAUCUGUGAAUGAUUUGAGGAGAGUGAAGAAAUGCCAUUGGUGUAGGAGGAGUAUUGGUUGUAAUUUGAUCAAGUGUUUGAAAUGUAGGAAGCAACUCUUUUGUUGGGAUUGUGUUAAGGAAAGGUACUUAUUUUCUCUCUUGCCUUAUUUGCAUACUGCAGUUGUUUAUGUUGAUAUAUUUACGUAAUUGUUAUUUUGUUUUCUCUUGCAUUUUUGUUGAUCAGCAUGCAUGUUCUUGAAAUAGAAGUUCUAUGGACAAAAGUCAGAGUGACUUGGAGUUGGAUGUGUAAUUAAUGGAUUACCUUAUUUAACUGGUUAAGCUACUUUAGAAAAUGCAAAAAUUAUAGCCCAUUCAAAAAAAAAAAAGUGUCUAUUUGGAUGCAAGUAAUGUUUAAUUGGUAGAUUUGCUAGGAUUAAAAUGGACGAAUAAUUGGAUAGAGUGUAAGAAGGUGAUCAGAUUUAGAUAUUACGAACCAGUAUAUUAAAAGAAUUAGAACCUUGUUUAUCCUAAAUCUAAACCUGUCUGGGUUCUCUUUCCCAAGUAUGCGAUGAUCGCUAAACUAACAAAUUCACAAUAAGAUGAGGGGCUGUUUGGUCCCUACAUUUUUUAUUGUUAACUCAAUCUCAAUUGUAAACAGCAUUUAGGAAAAAGAAAUAUGGAGCAAUUAAUAGUUUUAGUUUUCAAAAUUGGAACUGUGUGGUUAGAAAUGGACUUCUGUUUCUGACAGAAAGAGUAACUGAUGUCUGGUCUAGUGAGAAGUUUGCUGAUGGUUAAACUGUGUCAUUCUUUUAGAGUUGCAAUAUAUUCUGUUCCAGAAGCAUACAUGAGAAUGUGUAUUAUUCUAGAUUUGAACAGCUGUGUAAUAAUCACAUUUGAACCGGACAGGUAAUGCUGGUCUGGAUUUUAUUUCUCACAUUAAAUGGUGUACAUUUUUCAUUCUUAAAUUAGUCUACAUGUUUCUAAUUAAAACCGGAGCCAAACUGAAAGCUAUGGCAUCUGACUGUGAUCAGAUACUUGGAGAAGAAAGAGAUUAAGGUGGCGUGCCCUGUUUGUCGUGAAACUUGUAGCUGUAUGAUCUGCCUAAAACGUCGAUCGAAGGAAAUGAGUCAUAAGGUUUGGUAUAUGAGAUUUUAAAGUAUGAAUUAGCACAUCCAUAUAUGUACUUUUUGACUACUCAAGCUUCUACCUUUCUGCAAUCUAUUUGCAGGAGUUUUAUAGGGAUAAAAGGAAAAUUGCGAAAAUCCAACUACUUCAUUAUCUCAUUUCCUUGCUUCUUCCUGUUCUCAAACAAAUUAACCGAGAACAGAACAUGGAGCUUGAGAUGGAGGCCAUGAUUACAGGUACAUACAGUAAUUGGUAGAAAUCAAGUUGUAAUUGAGGCAUCGAGCACCCUGUUUCAAGUUUCACGUGUAACAGGAGAAGUACCAUCCAAUAUCCAGAUUCAGCAGUCAGAGAUGGGAAACAAGAAGUUAUGUCGCUGGUGAGUUCUGAAAUGCUGAAAUGUUUUAAUGCUGUUGAAGAAUGUAUACAACUGUCCUGCUGCGUGUUUUUUAUGUGGUGUUUUCAAUCCUGGAUCAGCAACAAUUGCAGAACUUCAAUUGUGGAUUACCAUAGAAGCUGUGCGAACUGCUCGUAUAAUCUCUGCUUAAGUUGUUGCUGGGAAUUUUGUCGAGGAAAUUUAUAUGAGAAAUUUUGUUCCAAAGGUUGCAAUGGUAGGGAAAUUCAUCGGUCUGCUGGUGAGCUGCGAUUGAAGAUAAAUCACAUUAGCACUUCUUGCAUAAGUUCUUGCAAGGCGCCCCUUUUGUCUCCGAUGUCACUGAAGAGCUUGAAAGCUUGUUCUGAUGGUAGCGUAUUUUGUCCUCCAGUGGAUUUUGGUGGAUGUGGUGAGAGAAACCUUGAUUUAAGAUGCAUUUUUCCCUUAAGGUGGAUGAAAGAGCUGGAAGCAGGAGCAGAAGAGGUGCUUCAGUGCCAUGACUUUCCAGAAACUGCAGUUGUGUGUUCUUGUGACUCAUUGUGCAAGGGAACUGAGGACAAAGUUGAAAUUCAGCCACUGCAAAAGUUGGCUAAGAGAGUAGAAUCCAAUGAUAAUUUCAUCUAUUAUCCCACUUUAAGUGAUUUAAACAAAGAGAAACUUGGACAUUUCCAGCUGCACUGGGCUAAAGGUCAUCCUGUUAUAGUGCGAAAUGUUAUUCGAAGAACAUCAGUUCUGAACUGGGAUCCAGUUGUGAUGUUCUCCACUUACCUUGAAAGAACAAUUUCUAAGUCUCAAAAUAAGAAGGAAGUGAUUGAUGGAGCUACUUGCUUGGACUGGUGUGAGGUCAGUGUUUGAGUUUCUCCCUCUUUACAUAACAGACAUCUAGUGAACUUCAUUACAACUGUUGUUGCAGCUUAACAAUAAUUUACAUUUCAGUUUUACCAUUGAAAGUUAAGUAUGCUGUGAAGAUGUUAUUGAUUGUCAGCAGGUGGAACAACUAGUUAUGUGACGCCCAAAUAAAUUAUAAAUAAAUUGUGGCUGCAUGAUUUUGAAAAGAUAUAAGAUCUGAUUACCAGCAUGGCAAAGUCAAUUUUGUAUGUUAGACAAUUUGCCAUUGUCCUUAGAUCUAGUGAGGCAUUUCACAUAGGAUAAACAAUCCUCAUAUCAUAAAUUACUGCAUAUGUCACAAUCACAUUUGUCUAUGUUAUUAGGUGAGGACUGCUGUUGUUCUUUCUUCUAAUUUCUUUGUUUUUUCUUUUCGUUGUCUUUUCCACUUCUGGUUUCUGUGCAAAAUUGGGCUUGCAAGGGUAGGUUUUCUAAUGCUGCUUUGAUGUUUGUAAAGCAAGCUGCUGGACAAGUAGAAAUGAGAAAUGUUCAAGUUUGUUGCCAAAGUAUUCUGUCAAACUAUGUAGGAGAAAGACCUAUUGCAUGCAUUUGGAUCUUCUUAUGUCUGUCUCAUGCAUCCCACUUUCUUCUGGUGCUAGUUGAAUCUCUUCUGUUACUGUAUCUUUGUAGUUGAAUCUUUUUCUAUCUCUGUCUCAGUCAUAUUUUCUUUUCCAGGUAGAAACUUCUGCCAAACAGAUAUUCAUGGGGUCAAUGGUGGAUGGCACACAUUUAAAUGUGCAGCAUCAGACCCUGAAAAUUAAAGCCUGGCUUUCUUCUAGCGUAUUUCAAGAGCAAUUCCCUUCUCAUUAUGCUGAGAUCUUGCAUGUUUUACCGCUUCAGGAGUAUCUAAAUCCAAUUUCUGGCCAUCUGAAUAUAGCACUCAAGUUGCCAGAAGAAGCGGCGAAACCUGAAAUUGGUCCUUGUAUUCAUAUUUCAUGUGGUGGUCUGGAGGACUUCAUGAAUGCUGAUUUUUUGACAAAACUCUGCUUUGACUCAAAUGAUGUGGUAAAUUAAUAUUUUUGUGCACGUUCAAAGUUCUUUUACAUUUGAAUUUAUUUGCCUUCACGGUCAGUACAAUUCUUGUGAGUAUGCAAUUUAACUUGCUGCAAUUAGGUUUCAUUGUGGGAACCUCUUUUCUUUUGUGGAGCAUUUUAAUUGAGCUUACUGCUUGACAGGUCGUUUAAAGUUGUGACCAGCUAGGUAGGUGCAUGUCAUAAUUUUCUGCUCAAGAAAACUUGUCAUGGCAGUUCUGUCACUUUUUGAUAUGUUGCAAUAAGGUGACCUAAUAUUUAUUGGUUUAUUACAUGUUCAUGUUUUCUUCAGUUACAAGCAUCUUAUUAUCUAAUUGUGAAAUCAGACUGACCUUCCAUAUUUGCAUAUUAAGUGUAACAAUAACCAUUAUUGCAAACACUAGAAUACCCAUGAAUACAAUUUCUUUCAGUUGAAAUGACCUUUGCAUCUGCUUCUCUCUUUCAUUCUAUAUACUCUCGGUGACUGAGCAUACUUGAGUGCACGCACUUAUUGGCUGAUACAGCGGAAGGCAGUCGUUGCUGGAAGCAGAACAUUCCCUGGUGCUGAAUACUUGGGGUUCAAAAUAAAUUGCAAUUGAUAGUGUGCUGUGCAUGUUAAAGUGGAUUUCGACCGUGUUAUGUAGUUGCACAACAUGCGGAAAUACUCGUGCAUGCCUUGUCUAAUAUGAUUCUUCCCAUCUCAAAUUUCAUUGCUUUGUUAUAGUGUUUAAGAAGCAAUGUGUGAUUAACAUUGUUCUUACGGUGGAUAUGUUGAGAAAAUAUUCUACUAGGAGGAUCUGGGCUUCUUUGAACUUCAUUAUUGGAAGAGUUCAUUUCACUUGGAUAAAGGAAAUGUGUACAAUGUCUUUUUAUGCUUUGCUGCCUUACUAGCUCUCUGUCUGAACAUAUAAAGGAUUAAAGGAGGGCUGUCCUGCAACUGCAAUAAAGAGAUCAUCAUUGCUCCAUCUGUUGCAUGUGCACAUAGACGAAAGCAUAUACAUCGACCCACCUUUUGCAAUAAUAUCUUGGCUAUAGCAGCUGUACUUGUUGCUAAAUCGUGGAUACAUGAUUUUUUUCUGUUAUCCUGCACUUCUUUUGUGCAUCAUCAUUACUUUCAAAUCCAGAAUAUUGGUUACUUCCUUGAUUGAUGUCUAUGUUUUGGCUAUCACUGCAAUUUUUUGUUGAUUUUUCUGUUGCUACUGACUAUUUGUGUUUGACCUCUUGAGACUUAAUUUCAGUUUUCUUAUUUUAUUAAGCAGUAAAAUGAGUAGACUGAACAUUCUACGGUCACUUUUAGUUUACAGUCACCAGGAACCAUACACUGUUUUGGAUAAAAGGUGGUCUUCAUGUACUUGCAUGUGAUAUCUGGUGUGGAUAGCCAUAGGAAAAGAUCCUGUUUCAGUAGGCUUUUUGUUAAUUAAAGAUUUAAAGCAACACAUCUACUGAUAUAUGGAGGUGCUUGUAUUUAAUUUUCUCAUCUAAUCUUUUGAGAGAGAGAGAGAGAGGGGGGGGAACAAAUAAAUGAUGUAUGAGAUUGUGCCCCUCAAUUUUGCAGCUGUGUACUGGUAUCGUCAGAACAAAUUCUAGGUCAGUCCACAAUAAAUUGGCAGGAGGAUGUGAAACUAAUUAAGAUAUGACUUAUAAUUGCUCCUUGACUCAUCAACUUUCAGUCUAGCUUGCAUAUCAAGUUAGGAUUCUUCUGAAGUUGUAAAAUUAUUUGCAGCUAACUCUAUCUGCAUUUCAGGUUAAUGUUCUUGCAUGUGUUACGGAUGUUCCAAUCACCAGAGAACAGUUCAAAAAUAUUCAAACAUUGAUGAAGAAGUACAAGGGUCAAGACCAUUCGCAAUCAAGCAGAAAGAACAAUAAUCGAGGUCAUUUGCCUUCCAGCAGUAAUUCUACCGAAGUAAAAGGAAAAUCAUCUUUACACAGCGAAGAAAGUCAAGAAUCAGGCUUGCAAGAUAUGAUGGAAGAAAGGUUAAGCUUACCUAAUGGAAUUGCGAAAGUGCCUCUUUUCACUGGCAAUUCAAUUAAAGGACAAAUAUCAUGCUUUGAAAAUGGGAAUAUACCCUUUGAUUCUGAAAAUGAGUCUGAAUUUGAUUCUGAGUCCUCAAUGCUUUGUUCUGGAAACAUUCAAGGAUUGGAAGAUUCAGAUGAUGAGACUUUCUUUAGGGAUAUCGAGAGCUCAAGUUCUUCCUGCGAGAAACAAACAGCCAAUCCAUCUGGUGCUCAAUGGGACAUUUUCCGUAGACAAGACGUCCCAAAACUUCUAGAAUACCUCAGACAGCAUUCUGAUGAAUUAAGUUCUGCAUACUGCUAUGGUGGACAUGUAAUAUAUUCUGAGACUCAAGCUUCUCAAAUAAGAUGAGGAUGUAAGAGCAUCUUGAUUAAGUUGUUUGUGUCUAUUGCAGGUGGUUCAUCCAAUUCUGGAUCAAAGUUUCUUCCUCGAUGCAUAUCACAAGAUGAAGCUUAAGGAGGAAUUUGGUAAGCAUAGUUUCUUCUCCGUUAGCUACUCUCUAUCCAUACGAAGAAGAAAUAUUGUAACCGAGGCAGUUCUUAUUCGUACUAAUGGUACUUCAAACAUGGAACAUUCCUUAUCAUGGAGCUGCUUUUCACUGUUGCCAGGUGUUCAGCCAUGGACCUUUGAGCAACACCUAGGAGAAGCUAUCAUGAUUCCAGCAGGAUGUCCAUAUCAAAUUAGAAAACUAAAGGUGACGUAAACCAUUCAGUCUAGUGUUGCAGAUAUGAUUGAGUGUGAAACUUUUAUGGUUGCUCAUAAUUCCUUUGUGAUUUAAUUGCUUUUACCAGCAUGGAAGGUUGUCUCCUGUAGAACAUUCUCUAGAAGUAGCGAAAAUUGAAUAUCAGUAUUAAGCUCAAAACUGUCACAAAACUUCUAUAUUCUACAUUUAGGGUUGUCCUUUGUUAUAAAAAUGUUUGCUUGACUUCAUUGAAGGACAGUCUCUGUUACUCCAUUGUGAAAUCUUCAACCAAAUUGCAUUAUUACUGAGAGUUUUGCUUCUUGAAAUUUGUAUUUAAGCAUUGUACUUCUCGAGUAAUAGUUUUUGGACCUGGAUGUUUAAGGGUUCGCUAUCAUAGUUGCUAACUGAAUGGUUUUCUAUAUCCUCUAAACUGCAGCCAUGUGUCAAUGUAGUCCUAGACUUCAUCUCACCGGAAAAUACAACUGAAUGCAUUCGUUUAACUGAUGAAAUCCGUCUUCUCCCACUGCGCCAUAGAGCCAGAGGAAAAGUGUUGGAGGUGACUUUGGAUCAAACUCACUACUAAUUUACUUCUGCAGAAUUUGAGCUGCAUUUAACAGAAAAAGAAAAUAACGUGGAAUCACAUCUACAGGUUAGGAAGAUGACAGCAUAUGGAAUCAGCAGUGCAAUUGAAGAAAUCCAAAAGCUAAUGUGCACAGAGUAAGUUUUCUUGGAAAUAUCAAAACGUGACAAGUAGUUUGUCAUGCUUUUAUUGUUUUACCUCUAUCUCUUAGCUAUUGAGCAUUCAUUUGACAUGCAAAAAAAAAAAAAAAAACGACUGGAUAGCAACUCAGUGUCCGAUUAAGACAAUUGUAGGGGUCCAUCUCAAGUUCUUAAAUUCAGUUGGGUGAGUGGUGAAUACACAUUCUUCACCCUUCUCUUCCUCCCAACCCCCCCCCCCCACCCCCCAAAAAAUAAAAUAAAAUAAAAAGAGAAAAGAAUUGAAUGUAAAGGGCUGGUGGCUGUGGUUAUGAGGUGUGAAAGGAAAUAUUAGCUUCUUGUUUACUGGAAAAUUCUUGUCUGAAUUUAUGUAAUGAGUAUUUGGACAAAGAGAAAAAUUAUUAAUUUACUUCCAUUAGUAGUAGAUCGAUCUACAUUAUGGUCUAAUUGUAGAUUAUGGUCCUCUUAAAGUAGUUCAAUGUAGUGGAUUACAAGUGCAUCUUCUCUGACCAAAUUGGUCGAAGUCUAGUAUUUAGUCAAUAUCUGUCAUCCUUACUGUGACGUAUCAUUCAUUGAGGUUACUGGCUGUGAUUCUUCUUGACUAGUAAGGCUUUUGGGUCCAAAGCAAGAACUCUGAGAAUAAUUAUGAGAUAUCUUCAUUGCUGUAGUUACUGGUUGUUAGAUGGACAACAUGGCAUUAAUUCAUGUAAAUGGCUAAUGGAGUUAGAUAAGAACAGUUUUUCUUCUCCAGUUGUUUGCUGACCCUGUUGAGUCCAGGACCGGUGGCAAGCUUGCUGAGUGAUGAUGUACAAAGGGUAGCAACUAUACUUUAAGCAGCUUCUUGUCCGAAGAUAGGAGCUUUCUUUUUGAUAACUAAUGGCCUUGUCUUGCUACAAAGCUUGUAACGCUGAAGGUCACCACAUCAGUUAAUUGAUGGCCUACAGUUAAGCAAGGGUCUUAUGCCACCAAACUUUCAGAUUGUAAAGUGGUAGUAGUCCUUUGCUGAACGAAACACUUCGUAUCUGAGUCUUUGCCUUACAUUUCUUACUUCUUUUCAUCUGUUUUGAGUUGGCAUAUACGUCAUAAUUUUUCUUUAUUACUUGCAGUUAUGUGUAACCUUUUGGGGUGCUUCGCUAGCUUGAUAAGGCAAAGGUUGAUUGCAUAUCAACUGGGAGGUAUUUGACAUUCAAUUAGAGCUAGAGCUUUGAGCUUCACAGAGACAUUUGGCUGCCCCGUUUCUCUAAAGGAGGCUGUGAUUUGAUUCCCUGAUGGUUCAGGAUAAUUGUGCCUGUGUUCUUAGUAUGGGUGCAGAUGGGGGGAUAUAAGCAAAACUCGAGAGAGAGCUUAAUCGGUGAUAAAGGAGGUUUUGAUUGAGAGAAGACUAAUUUGUUCUGCGCUCUUUCCCAAAAUCUCCUUUUGAGUGAGAUAAAUGAUCCGCAUCUUCAAUUAAUAUACCGCGAGUUGAUGCCCGAUAUUGAAUUGUACAUAAUCCACGAUUAUUUUCUUUAUUUUUUCGAAAUAUGUAAUUUUGGAAGUAUAAAUGAAAACUCAGUCAAAAUGAAAUUUAGCUUAUUUUCCGACGCAAUUUUAUAAAGCUUGUAAAUCGUAUUUGAGGUACAGCAGGUAGUUUCAACUUUCAAGUCAUUCUGCAGGUACUCAAGAGCAAAUCCUUGCAUAAAAACUAGAGGAAAAAAAAAAAAAGGGCAUGGAAAUUAUAAGAACACGAGUAAGUUCAAGAUCAUCUUUGCCGAAUGUAAAAAGAUGAAGAGAUAAGCUGAGAGAUAUGAAAAAAAUAAAGGAAUUCAAUUUAUUUCUUCACAUCUUGUGUCUCUCGCGAGGCAGUAUCUUUGAAAACAAAAAUUUAUGAAUACAAAGACAAAAUUUCCAAUUGCAAAAUUUGUGACGCAGCACCCCAAAAGGAUUGAGUCUGUCUAGUUGGAACAGGUCUAAGUAGAUACACGCAAGAAGAAUACUAGUACGCUGUGAGAUGGUAUACAUUACUGAAGUUCUAUGCGAUCAAAAGAAUUGCUAUGUAACCAUAGCAGCGGUUAGAGAUUUCCUUAAGGAGCCAUGAGUCCUUCAAUCGUGUGAGAGAGUGACUUUGCCCAGUCCGCUUUGAGUAGCAGCGUCUGAAGUGUAUGCAUUACAUCAUAAUCAGGAUCUAGCUUUCGCUGCCAACCCUAUAAACAGAAAAUCAAAGGCAUAAAAGAAAAAUAAAAAGUCAAAACUACAAGGCUCAUACUAACACCAAAACAGUGGCAAGAAACAUACCGCAAGAAUAACCUACCUUAACAAUAAUAAAAAUGAUAAACGAAUGAAAAAGGGACAUGAGAAAAACCAGAACCAAUAUCAGCCAGUGAAUAAUUAUUGGGAAGUUCUGCAUUAUCAUUUGAAUGCCGCAAUAUGACAAAAGCUUCAAAAGAGAGACAAAUUUAAUGCUAACAUUUUUCAAAUGUGUUGUCUGAAUGCUGAACGCCAUGUCAGCACCCGAUAUUACAUCAAAAGCCCAUAAUCAUAUGAAUGGACUAGUUAUGGGGCCGUGGUGAAAGUUUAAAACUAAAAUACAGGCUCUCACAGGUUACUAGGGUUAUUGAAAGUCAACUUUACCAUAAUAUAAUUUUUUUUAUUGGCCCAAACUGGAUCAUCAAAAUGCCCACUACAGUGCUUGCAACAAUGAGCAUGGGAUAAAUGGUUAGGCCUAAAGCACAUUAUCCUUUUCCCCAAUACCCAGGGCGGUUCUAGUUAUCCAUUCUAACUCUUAGUUUAACGAGCAGCAGAACUUCUUCGAAGCCUCAAAACAUGAAAGUACAAAUUGAUGAAAUAAUUCUUCCAGAAAUAAUAUAUCUUUACAAGGGGAUUUCAAACGCUUAAGAGCAUAGGAGCAUUAGUGGUCUUAUUGAAAGCAAUUAUUCUCUAAGACCUUAAACUUUAAAGUCUCUAAGCAUUUAUUAAUUAUUUUCAUUUUCUUUUCGGGCAGAGGGUGUUUUUGGAGUGGAGGAAAGGACAGCAAAUUUGCUCAAGCAACUAGUCACAUUUCAGUAAAAAAGCAGCAUGAGUACUUCCAACACCUGAGGGCAUGGGCAUGACAUGCAUACAACUGUCAGACGCCAAUCAACAAGAACAAGCAUGCACUCCAUCAAGCAUCUUUUCACAAAAUGUGUCAUAAAUCACACCAACAUGAAGGGAAUCUAUACCUCAAGAACCAAAGUUGUAACCAUGACUGUGCACACAUUGCCAUCGAUGUUUACUCUAUGACGCCGAACUUGCUCAAGUAAAUGCUGCAUGCAAUCAGCCGGAUGAACCAAAUCACCUUCUGGAGUACCCCAAAAAUCAAACGACUCUUUCACUUCCUAAUAAAAAGCAGAUGAUUAGAAUGAUAACUAUGCUAAAAUUAGGAGGAUCACUAAUCACAAGCUUUACGCAAUAAAAGUCUAUUCUUUGACCCAAAAAUACAGAAUCUUUUCCUUGAUUUUCUAUUUGAUGAACCAGUAGGAAAUUGAAAGUUACAGAAGAUAAUCCUACACAAACCAGAUAAAGGUGUAAAGGAUAAGAAUUCCAGAACCCCAAGAUUAUGUCUGUUUCCAAUGCAAAUGGAAACACAAAAGCAGGACUAGGAACUAUCCUUUAAGGAGGUUCGCUAAUAUCAAACAUCAUAUGUAAGAUGCUGACGGAAAAAUGUGGAAGGGUCCUUUAGUCCAUAACCCUCCUUGGUUCUCCAUAAUAGUUUAGAUGCUGGCACAAUUUUAAACGGUAUCAAAAGCUAUAUAUAGUAGAAAACACUAAAAGAAAUAAUAUAGCAGUGUUGAGUGUGAUGAUUGACGUGCCAGGUCAGCCUCCUACUUCCUAUGGCACAUAAUAAGAGAAUUACCUGGAUAAAGUCCUGUGGGCUGGGACAAUUCUGUUUUUUUGAUAAUCUUAGUGCGCACUCUGCUGCUGUUUGACCAUCCCGACGAGCAACAGCCUUGAAAAACUCUAAUAGAUUACUUCGAUCACUUUUAGAAAGCUCAGCAGUCAUUCCUACAUCAACGAAAAUAACAUGAGGCUUUGACUUGAAAAGGCGCUUCCGAGAAGGCUUGGUCUGAGCCUCCCUAACAAGGAUGUUUCCAGGAUGCAUGUCAGCAUGAAUGAAGUUGUCUACCUGUUAAAUACAUGGGAAAAAAUUCUCAGCCAUGAGAACUAACACUUAAUGUUAAAGACUAAGUAAAUGUUCGUAUCUUCCCCCAAAUGUGUGACCAGACAAUCUCAGCAUUGUUUUAGGAAGGUAGGUGUUAUUUACUAAAAUUCAACUUAAGAGGGUGUUUUUGGAAGUGACAUAGGAUUCAAAAUUUGUAACAAAUUUAAACAAAUAGAUCAAAUACCACGUUGCCCACUAUAUCAACAUGGUUAAACUUUACUUGCAACAAAGUCAACAAAAUAUUGAAGCCUGCUUUGCUUCCCUUUCCCCCCUCCCCCCAAAAGGGGGGCACAGGAACCCAAAGAAAAAGGUAACAACAUACAUGGAUUGGACAAUAUUAAAAAAAAAAAAAUUACCAGAAGCAUUUUCAGUAGUGCAUGAGUUCCAAUGUGAGCAAGUGAACUUUUAAGUCGUUCAUGCCCCACAAUCUCGUCAACAUAGUGUGAAACACAUUCCCCUUGCUCAAAGGUUUCCACCAACACAGCAGGAUGCACCAGUGGAUACACAGGCUUUGGGAAAGAGACAUCCUUCCAUCUGCGAAAAUUAUAAAUGAAGCGGCUGAGAUGGGCAGCUUCUCUUGCAAGAUCAACUUGAGACAUCAUAAAAACUGCAAAUUGCUGAACACUCUCAUCCAAUCUCAACCAAUUUAGUGCCGGAAUGAAUUUUGAUAAUUUUGCCACUUUGUUGAUUAUCUCAAAAUCUCUUUUAAUUGAUUCACCAACUCCAGGAUGUCUCACCUUCACAGCUACCAUCAUAGGCUUGGUGUGACGACCACGAUACCGAUACUUCAAAGAAGCUCGGUGCACCUGAGCAAUACUUCCAGAUGCUACAGGUACUUCCUCAAAGUCAUCAAAGAUUUCAGUUAGCUUUCGGCCAAAAGCCCUUUCAAUAGUCUUUUUAGUGUAUGCAAAGCUAUGUUCGGGUGCUUUGGUGUGAAGCUUGGAAAGCUCAGCACAUAAAUCUCUCGGAAAAAGAUCUGGCCGUGAAGCAGCCCACUGACCCCAUUUUAUGAAAGCAGGACCUGCCCUUUCCAGCGUUUGAUGGACAAGCUGAAGCCACACUUUCCUGUACCGAGGUCCAAAAUAAUCCACAAACGGAGCCAUGGAAAUGCUUGGUGAAAACAAAAUCGCCAGAUACAGGGCGCGAAGCAACAAAACAAUCCCUUGUAAUACAGCAAGGACCACUUUGACAACAAAAAUAUGCCCAUCCUGAGCCCGCAUGUAUAUUGUAUUCCUUGGCUGAAAGAAAUUCACGUCUACAGGGGCUUGUGCCCAUGCUAAAUUUCUUCCAAAAGCCAAGGCGAACAUUCCAGGCAUAACCACAUAAGAGCGGCUCAAUGCUAAGCUAACUGCCUGAGCAAUCCGACUGAUUGGCUGUGGAGUUCCUGUAUUGCAGGAAGGUCUCCGGACAAAACUUUUCCAAGCAAGUUGGGCACGCUGUGCUAGUGUCCUACCAGGUGACACUGCUGAAAACUUCUUGACAAACCCGCUAUGGGUCUGAUUUCUAGCUCCCCACAAUGAAGAUGAAACUGGUCUCCUAGCAGGAAGCCCAUACUGUGAAUAUAGUCUAUAAUUCUGUGAAUAUAAUCCUGGUCUAAAAAGUGGUCCAUAUUGCAACCCAUCAGAGUAUAUAAUGGUCGACUGAUUCUGACGUACAGAUUGCACACCUCUCUUAACACUUCUAACCGUCAAGAAUCUGCAUUCCCACAAACAGAGCUUAAAAAGGCGGUAAUAUAUCCAGAUUCCUCUCAUUUUGCUCUAUAACAUAAUAAAAAGCAUGAGAAACAAUUACUGGGUUGAAUGGUUUGCUAACCUUGUCCCAAAGAGUAGGAACAAAAAAAGAAUGAUACGUAGUGAAUCAAAUCCAUAUUCUAAGCUAGAGAACUACAAACACUAAUAAUUUAAACCCUGAAGGCCUAUCUCAUCAGAAGGUCCAUAUUCUAAUGGCCAGAAACCAACCAGAGCACCUCACCAUACAAUGCUAGAACCCCUCUUACUUUCCACAUGGGCAAAGCAUAAAUUUGAAGUAAUUUGGGGGCCCAAUAGCAAUAUCCACAACAAAAUUCAGAAAUAAUAGAAACUAAUGAUUUUGCCCAUCACAUCCGAUUAGUUAUAAUCAACGAAUAAUCAAAUACGAAACCAGAAAGUGGGGGAAAGGGAAGACAAUUGGAAGGCGGAGGCGAAAGAGGAGGGGCGAACCUUGACAUGGCGAAGAGACGGUAAACGAAUGAAGACAUGAGAGGUCUAGGGAGCGGCUACAGCUACGGCGGCAGAGGAGGCUAAGAUCGGCGACGAGCAUUUUCUACGGAGGAUUAUCGGCGGCGGACGAUAUAUUUGAACCAUGCGGUUCAUAAACAAAAACUAAACCCUCCCAGAAUUAAGGAAAAACAUAUUGCCCAAUAAUAUUCCACUUCUGUAUUACUUCUAUUAUUAGGUGUCUGGAUUUAUUUAUUUAGUUUUGAUAUCUUCUUGUCUACGUUGAUACUUGAAAGAAAGUUUCUUUUUGACUCGGACAACUCAGCUAUGGUUCUUUCUUCUUUUUGGGCGUAAGACCUAGGCCGAGAAUAGUAUUCAAGCUGGGCGGCGGCGAAACAACGCCAUUGGAAAUUAGAAGGAAAGAAACCCAAAUGUAAAUCUAGAAACAGAAUCGAUUGUUUUUUUGUGAAAUUAAAAAUAAAAAAUGAAAUAUUAGUUGGGUCAGGGUUGGACCAAAGACCGAGGGUUCGAGCCCAUGGUCGGUGCUGGUCUAAUUGACUUCGCCGACGCGGCUCAGUUAAAGCUAGAAUUGGGGACAAACAAGGACACGUAUCCUUAGGUACGGCUGAUUGCGAGCCGACAGCUUGGUCAACGCUCGGUUCAAACUCGAUUUUCGAGCCUCAGCUUGAAUAGCUUGAGCGGGCAUGUAAGUGGUGUAUUUUUUAAUUUAAAUAAUAUAUAUCUUUUUAAAUAUGAAAUUACCACUAAAGAUUUAUGCUUGCAAAUAAUUUACAAGAUGAUUUGUAUACUUAAUAAAAUUUUUUGAUGGCAAAAAGGUAAUAGAAUUUGAAAUAAAUAUAAUCUAAUUCCAUUUUCCAUGUCUUGAGCUUAAAUGCUCAAAAAUGGGAUCUAAUCGAACUUUUAUACUUAAAAGCAGCAUCAAGUACUCGAGCUCGAUAUGACUCGUUUUUUACUCGAGUCAUAUUGAGUUGAGUUCGGGUUUUUUUUAUCAUUUCAUUGAGUCGAGUUCAAUUUCCAAUUUUUGAAUUCGAUCAACCUCGAACUCGAGUCAAGUAAGGUGAGCUCGAGUCAAAUAUGAUGCUAAUAGUGUUCGAGUCGAACUUGAAUAUAACAUUAUUCAAACUCGACUCGUAUACACCCUACCCUCAGGGACCUAGGAAUGAGGUAGGAGUUAGAUUUUUCUCCCCCUGUAUUAAAUAGGGUAGGAGGCAAGGCUGCAUACCCCCACCUUAUCCUCCAUCCCGCUACUGCCUAUACUUUAAUGCUAUAAUAUUAUUAUUAUAUAAAUAUAUUGUAUGAAAUAAAUAACAUGUUAUGUUAUUAUGAUAAAAUGAUGUAAUUUUUUUUGCUAAAAUUUCAAAAUAGUGAUUAAUAAAACUAUUAAUAGAUCUAUAUAAAUUGAAAAAAUUAAAUUAAGUAAAAAAUAAUAAUAAUGAUAGUGAGAAGGCAAAGGUACACCCACAAGAAUAUUGGAGCCCGGUAAGGGCGGGGCAGGACAGCGAGCGUGGGGGCCGGGGCGGUGGAGAGGAGUAUUGUAAAGAGUUUAUUGCCAAAAUAACACUCUUGUUAAAAAAUAUUCUCAAUGUGAUUUACUUUCAAAAUUUAUUCCCAUAAUGAUGUUAUAGUUGCCAUCUAGUUAUCCUGAUUACCAUGCACGAUAACAAGAAAAGAAAGUUCAAAUCUAAUUUAAAGUAUCCAACAUGAAUUAAAAUUUUAAAUUUUUUUAUUACAGAGGCACAAGAAGAUUGCAUAACUUUUAUAAUUUCUUUAUAAAUAUUUAAAAUAAAUUCUACCAUUAUUGACCUUGCUAUUAUUGGACUCUAAUUUUUUAAAAAUGUAUCAAACCUAUUGCAUAUAUAUUUUUUAAAAAAUAAAUUUUAAAAAUACAAAAGUUGCAACAAAAAUUUCAACAAAAAUUGUAAGCAAUUAAAAAACUUCAAGACUAUCAUAUUUAUUUAUGUUAUCAUUCCUACUCCUUAAAAAGACACGAGAAUAAUUUUCAUUUGCCUUGAGAUUAUCAACUCAAGAAGCAUAUUUUUUAGAUGCUGUUAAUAUAAAUAUUGAUUUCUUAGAAUUACGAGUGUGUUUGGAUUGAAGAUUAUUUCACUUUAUUUACACACACUAACUUGCUUAUAUCAUCAACACAUUUUUCAAUCACAUUUUUAUCUCACAUACAUCAUAUCAAAAAAAGUGCUACCGUAAAAAUAUCUCAAAUAUAGGUUUGACAAGGGAAAGAUAAUGAAACAAAAAAAUGCGGGAAGAUUUAGAAAGAAAAUUGGAGAAGAUAUUAGAUGAAAAAGAGAAAUGGAAUGUGCUUUUAUCUCCAUCCUGACACAUAUACUGCCUAAGUGGCAAAAAAAAGGAUUAUAAAGGUAAUAUAUUAUAAAAAUAGAUUACUUUGGGUAUAUGUUUUGGAAUAAGAGUUAUUUUGGCAAUAAACUCGUAUUGUAGAACGGGGGCAAUUUUGGAGUCGGGCGUUGCAUCCCUUGCUAGGACUUCAGUUGAUUGGAUCUGGGACAGGAGUUUGGACUUCGAUUAGGUCGGUUGACCAAGUAUGUGCUUCGGUAAGAGAUUAUUUGAAAAUUAUUUUUAAAUAAUAUUUUAAUAUUUUCGUGAUGUGAUAUAUAUAAAAUUUAAAAAUUUUAAAAAUGAUAAAAAAUGUAUUGUGAUAAAUCUCUUUUUUUUUUGGUCAAAUGAUGAGCUAUCCUAACAAAUACUUGUCUCGAUAAAACAAAAUGAAAAAGGAUUUUUUUUCUGUCUACAUAAUAGGGGUGCAAUCACUAUAUUAAUCACUUUAUUAUUUGGGCUUGGCUCCCAUUGUAACUUCUUGUCCUUCAUUGGGCUAGAUGAGUGCAGUUACAAAUUUUUGAAUUCGUACUUGAGUUGAUGUGAAUGAUGCACUAUAUUUAUUUAUUUAUUUAUAUAAGUAUAAUUAAUCUCGAAGAGCAUUUUGAUAUUCAAGAUGUGCUUGGUCGUAGCCGAGUUAACUUGAAUUUUAGAGUUUAAUAUCACUAUCUAUUUAUGCUUUUCAUGGAUUAUAUUUUACGGUUGCAAUAUAUUUUUAUUUUUUGAAAAAAAGUUUCCUGUUUAGAUGACUAUUUUUAUAACUUUUUGUAGGAAAAUGUAUUGUAACAAUUUAAUGCAUAUGGGGUAAAAUGGAUAUUGAAAAGUGCAUUCACGAAAAAUGUAAAUUUUUUUUAAAAAAAAAAAAAAUCACAAUCCAAACUAUGAAAUCCAUUUUUAUUUUUCCUUCUUUUGGUUAGAGAAAAUGACGGUCAUGUGGCCAUUUCGGAAACUACAAAAAGUGGGAGUACCAUGUAAAUUGAUAGUUCAAUAUUGGAGUUUUUUUUUAUUUUUAUUUCCCCCCCUAACAUUAAUUAUAUGGAGUUAUGGACUGUUCGAGUUGAAUCAUAGAAAAGUGAAACAUUAUCUGUAACAUUAAAAGUUUUUGGACUAGAAAACGGGAAUUCAAGUCAAAUCAAGCACUCCCAAUACAGUUAAACCACUAAAGAUUAGUAUCUGCAAAUCUUUCAACACUUCCUCCUUUUCUUUUUCUCGUAAUCUUUUGACAAGACUACGGUCUAGUUAUAUUCUUAGCACUUUUCUUAUAGAUGCUAAAAGUUUUUAAAUCAUAUUAGUUUGAAAAUAUGACCUUGUCAAUAGGUUAAAGGAAAAAAAGGAAAUAAUAGGAAUUAAUGAAGAAAUAGUAGCUAUUGCCACUGACAAAUAAAUCCCUUUUUGUUUUUAAUAAAUAAAAGAUUUUAAACUCAGAACGUCUUGCUACUAAUUCCUCCUAACUUAGGAUCCAAUUCAAUCCGCUUGAAUUUCUUACUUAUAAUCCCUCCCUCCUAACGUACAAUCAAGCCUUAUUUCUCAAUUCUUCCACUGACAAGUAAGCCUUAUUCCUGGAAGAAUUGAGAGUCUUUCACCUGCUGCGACUGCAAAUGAGUCAAGAAUUCUCAAAACAUUAAUCAUGUGUCAAAAGACUCGAAACUCGCAUCCCUUGAUUUGCUAAGCAUCAAGGGAAAAAACACCGGGCCCCCGGGUGGGGUGGGGUUUAGGAAUUAGGAUUAGAUAUGCUUUGUGUUCAAAUCAACAUGUGAGAUCCCAGCUGCACUGUGGGAUAGCUACCCGUCAAAACGUGAAGGAUGAUAUUUUGGAGCUUUUGAUAAUUUCAGUACCCGAACUUAUAAUUGUGAUUAUCUCAAGGUAAUGAGUCAACCGAGCAUGCAUAUUUUCAGUGUAAUUUUCUAACAUUUCAGGGACCAUAAUGACAAGUUUUGAUGAGCUAAUUCUGCUAUUUUUUUUCUAGCUACUAAGCAUUUAAUUGGACUGUACUAGUUAGCUAGGUAAAACUAUAAAAGUGAUAUAAAUAAGCACGUCAAUGUUACAAUACAUGUUCAUAUCUCGGAUUGUCCUGGAGCGAAUCUUCUACACACGUACAUAAAAAAGAUUCUGAAUUCAAGACCUCUCAAUCCACUUAAAAAAGUAAAAGGCUAUUUUUAAAUAGCGCUUCGAAUUAUAUUAUACGUACUACCCAAUUUAGAUACUACAAUGACACGUACGUACAAGAAGAUAAACUAAAAAUAAAAACUUGACUGCGGUUGCACAUCCCUUAAGAAGCUCUUAAUGACCAAAACGAACACAAACAGCACACAGAUUAUACAACCACCUAUACAUUCCCAGUUCUAUACCAUGCAUGCUGGAGGAUAAAACAGGAACUAGCACGCUUUCAGACAAGGCAUCAACGUUUCCUAUUUCCAGCUGGUUCCUUCUGUGAGUUGAAAUAUACGGCAGCAACAGGAAGUCCGAGUUCAUUAUGGCUUGCAAAUUGUCGAGUGGUGAAGUUGUGACGGGGUUCUGGUAGCGUUUUUGGCUUUUCCAUUCUUCCUCUCUGCUUAAAAAGCGCAAACACGUAGCGGUGGAUACCCGCUGGUGGCUGAGGCCCUUGGUAUGCUACCAAUUCUUUGCCUUCCAUUAGAGAAAUCAAUAGUAUAACAUUACUUGAUCAAACUAAAAAAUAUACCACAAAAUACUUCGAAUGAAGAUUAUUAAAGCUAGGGAAUGAUUGAUCAUAAAGUGAAAUUUUUUUUUUUUUUUAAAAAAAAUAACCUUCGGAGGCAUCCCCACCCUCUGGGAUGUUCACCACAAUCCUGCAACGGCGCCAAAACAAAACAAAAAAAAAAAAAAUUGCCAAAACGAUUCCAAGUUAAAAUUCAGGUAACCGUAUCCGAGGCCAGACAAUUUUACAUGUAUAAGUUGAUAUACAAAGAAGAAGAAAAAGUGUACCAAUGAAGCCACUCUCUGAAAGUCGGAUCACUUGGACUUGGCGCAUCAGGAUCGACCAUAACCUGCAACAGAACAAGAACCGACCCUUCAAUGACUAAAUGCAUGCUACUGAAAAUUUCAACCUAAAAGAUAAAAAAAGUGAGAGAGAGAGAGAGAGAGAACAUUUGAAUCCUCAUAAACUUUUCGUAAAUUGUACUUGAUCAUUGAACUCAUGCAAAAGUUUGCAGGGUUUUUUUUCCUUUUUCUUUUUCUUUCUUUCAAUUUAUGUACUUGUAUGUGAGUAUAUACUAAUGAGCAUGUAUGAGAUGGCACACUUACAAGGGUAAAGAGACUGGCGGCACGGCCACGAGAGCCAUUUACGCGAACCGCAGGCUUGUGAGCAGAAUGGGAUGGCUUUAUCUCACAACCAUUUCCGACCUGUUUUGACCCAUAUUGUACUAUCAAUUCAGCAGCUGGUACAAACAUGUCGAGCACAUCUCCGAUCACCCUCCCCACCACCAGCGGUUCAACUGGCCUAGCCAUUGUUGAAGCUUGAAACAAACAAGUAAUAUGAUUUGAUAUGACCUCUAGUCUGAUUUUAUAUCCUAUUCCUUUGUCGCCUGGCCCUUUUGGGCCUAAUUAAUUAGGAGGAAUAUCUUCUUCUUCUUUUUUUUGUGUGUAAAGUGAUAGCAGGAUCAAUUCAGAUCAAUUAAGUGUUGUAGUGUUAGUAGCAGGCGAGAGACUAUAUAAUUGAGUUGGAUGCGUGGCAAAAUGUUUCAAAUGAUUGACACGUGGGCUCGCCAUCUGUAUUAAUCCAACGUGAUGGACACGUGUUGACCAUGUAAGUGUUCCUCGGCUUGAAAUCCACAAAACAGUCUGAAAACGAAAAUUCGAUGAGCUGUAAACGGGUCCAAAAAGAAAAAAGGUAAACGGAUCAAAUCGAAUCAAUCUUUUGGCUGGUUGAAUUCGAUUCAAGGUUUUGGGCUUGAUGCGACUGCCAAAAAUAAGAUCUGAGCUGAGCUGCGACGGGCUGAGCGAGCUGGCGAGCUGGUCAGGUGAACGAGCCGACCUGCAAAUGGACAGACGGUGGAGCUAACAGAGAGUGGCCGAGCUGAUAGGCCGAAUUGACGGGGAGAGAACGGACGACCUGUCCUGCAGAGAGGGAAAUAAACGGAGGGACUAGAGUCCCCGGAAUAACUCCGACGGCCAAGUCAGUAGAGCUCAAGAGUAGAGCAACAGUAGAGAGAACUGUGGAUGGCAUACCUUGUGUCGUCUUGUGGUGCUGUAUAUAUAGGCUUAACGGGUGGUAGUUUCCAUAUAGGAGUCAAAGUCCCCUUAGGGUUCGGAGUCUUCUUAGGGUUUCGUGCGGCGGCUCCUACAAGUUCGGAGACGGCGGCCCAUAGGCCCAUCUCAAGGAUCGAUAAGUAAGGCCGAGCUGGCCUCCAUAUGCCGAGUUAGCGCCUGCGAGUUGCGAGGUCUCACAGCCGACCUGACGAGCAAGACCUGCCGAGCUGACACGUGGCACGCGCAGGUUCACCCCACUACACUAGCCCCCUUGAGUCUAGAGUCACUGAUGAGCCAUGUGGGUCUGGACCAAACUUCGAAGCGUCACGUCGGCUUCGUGCGGGACCCACAAUCCCACGAUCACGUAUCUCCUCCGAAAAACUGCCACGUCCGCCGUCGUAACCGUCACUUCAAGGGUCACGUCCUUCAUGAUGGCGGUUUGUCAGCUCACGCGUCUUCCAAGGUAACUGCCCCCUAGCCAUAAAUUCGAACUUCUUCCUCGGGACUCUUCGGCUUCCCGCCCAGGGAGCCUAUAAAUAGGCCCCACCAAACGUCACUCUCAAGCCUUCCUUCUCAUUUUCUCUUCUCUUCCAACCUUUUCCAGCUUGCUCCGCAUUCAGUGAGGUCGUCCGAGAGUAGGAUUACCCUCUAAGCACACCUCAGUUCUUCCCCCUCAUUCAUCAGUAAGUUCUCCUUUCCUUUUAUGUCGUCUUCCUCCACACACUCAGACCUUACCAGCUCAGCACCUAGGCGUAGGAUUACCCGACCUGUAUUCAUAGAAAUACCCGACUCCAGUCCUUCUCCUUCCAGCUCGUCUGGGUCUGAAUAUCUUCCUCCCCCAAUCCCAAGCCUUGCUAUAGCCAUGAACCGACCUGGUCCAUCCGCUCAGCCCGAAGCUGGCGCUGCUGACCCAGAGAUUCCUCUGGGGGUGGCUCCAGCUCGCGCCAGAGCAGGUCCCGUUAGGGGACCAGACAUCGACUUUGGGGAAGUCGAGAUUAUCCCCCCCCUCCUCGACCAAGGGGAUGUGGAUGAACUGGUGGGGAGGUACGACAUUCUCCCCCAGUUCGAGGCUCGGGCCGCCCAGCCAGGGGAGUACGCUUGCCGACCUCCCCCUGGGUUUGUGGCUAUCUACAGAGAUCAGCUCGUGGCUGGUCUUCGCCUCCCCAUUCCCCAAUUUCUUUACGACAUCCUAACCUUCUGGGGCAUUCGAAUUACCCAGGUCGUUCCCAACGCCAUUCGGUCCAUCCUCGGCUUCUUUAUUUUGUGCCGAGCUCUUGAAAUCCCCUAUUCUCUGGACCUAUUCAGGUCUUUCUUUCAGAUGAAGGUAAGUGGCCCAGUUCACGGUUGGUUCUACUUUGCUCGCAGGAGCGGAGGGGAACUUCCUACCCGCGAACUGUUCACUCAUAUGCCUUCUUCCAUCAAGGGCUGGAAAGCCUACUUCUUUUUUGUGAAGAAUACUGGGUUUCCUCCCCUAACCUGGAGAGAGGAUACCCAAGUAAUCGAUCCAAUCCCUUCUCCUCUGCCCGAGGCCGAGCUAGACCGGUUGGUCAGUUCGGAAGCUCAACUGAAGGUAAAGGAAUUUAACAAUGCCCAGCUCUGGUCGGCGGGGCUAAUCCGAGCAGAGGUGAACGACCCUGCCCCCGAUCUCCGACCUAUCACCCCCGAGGAGCUAACAGCUCGUAAUUUUCUCGACCUGCUCCUAUCCAUGAGUCCCCAUCAUCCUGACUGACCAAGUGUUUUUGUCCUGCAGUGAAGAGGUUUUCCCAGCUGCUGAACAUCGGCGGAAUUGGCAGUGCGAGCACGCCAACUCCUGCGCCUUCCACAGCGCCGAGCAGCACUGUGCCUCUACCUCCACCUGUGUCCACUCCCCAAAUUGCCGCUCAGUCUUCACUGGGGGAGGGAUCAAAGAAGAAAAGAAAGAAGUCCACGGCCAAAAAGGCCAGGACAGAGGCGGCUUCCCCCCAGUCCCAGGAGGAGCCCUCUACGGCUAUCGCUUCUCAUUAUGGGGUGAGCUCCGCCGAGCAGCAGGCUUCGUCACAAUCUCCCCCCGCUAUGUGGCGCAUGAGGAAUGUGAUUCCCCUGAAGCCCCCUACCGAGCUGGGCUCACACCCGCACCCCCACCAUUUCUGCCCGAAGUGGGGGUUGUCGGUGAACGACCGAGCUCAAUUCCCCGAAAUGGCGAAAGAGCUCGUCAAAGGCGCGGUACUCCCCCGCGAUCACCACUUCAUCCAACUUGCCUCCAACGCUGAGCUGUUAGAGCACUUUUACCUCAGCACCACCCAGGUAACUUCUUAACCAGCACUUUCCCUGACAUCCUUUCGAGCUUUGCCGACUACUUAUCCUGUACCUAAUAUGCAGCUCAACGUUGCGGGGGCCGAGCUGGCUCAGCGGUAUGAGAACAUGGGGGUCAACCUGUCCCAGGUUGAUGCUGCCAAAGAGAAGUUGUCGAGUCAGCUCGAAGCUGCAGAGUCCGAGCUGGAGACCCUGAAGAAGCAACUUGCAGAUGCCAACUCCUCCUGCGAACUGGAAAAGAAGAGAACGGCCGAACUGGCUGCGACCCUGGAGGCAGAGCAGAAAAAAUCUGCCGAGCUGGUGGAGGCGGCAAGGGAAGAAGGGCGCCAGCUAGGCGUCAAAGAGUUCAAGAAGUCUGAAGUCUUUAUGAACGACCUGGCCCUCCUCAACGGCCCUGUCCUGCAACUCGGCUACACGAAGGCCUUGAUGGAUGUGGAGUCCCUGAAGUUGCCAGGCUUUGACCUGAGCAAAUGGCCUGACUUCAACCCCCAAUCUACCAACCAAAUUGACAGGCUCGUCACAGGUUACUCCAAUGGGCGCGACCUGGCUGCCCUGAUUGCCGAUCCUAAUCUUCCUGCCCUCUCCCCAGAGCCAGAGCAAGAGCAACAAGGGGAGAGCUAAGCUGAUAGGACUUAGACUAGCCUUGUAGGAUGUUAGGCUAGAGUAGGGUCCGAGCUGGCCAGCUCGGUUUUGUAUGGCCCCCUACCUGUACAUGCUUUUUGAUUUUGAAUAUAUGCGGCCUUUUCCUUUCCCAACACUUAUAAAAAUUUCUAUUUCAUUUCAAAGCUUUGAAUACAUUCAUAAUUCCCAAUGCCGAACUACUAAAAUAAAAGCAGACCUGUCCAGCCGACCAUUUUCAGCUCGGGCAGGAUUCUUAAAGAAAAAGCCUUAAAUUCGAGUUGUGCCACGUGCGUGGUACUUCGCUUCCAUCCAGACGAGCUAGUUUGCAAUAGCCUGCUUGGCCAACUUCCUUUACUUCGUACGGGCCUUCCCAGUUCGGGUCUAACUUGCCUGUGCCUACAGCUCGGCUGACUGAAUUUCUGCGUACUACCAGGUCCCCUGGUUUAAAAGAAAGAUGCCUUACCCUGGCAUUGUAGUAGCAUGCAACCUGGCCCUUAUACUUUGCCAUCCUUAUAGCCGCUUCUUCUCUUCGAUGCUCGAGCAAGUCUAGAUCGAGUCGCAUCUCUUCCUCAUUGCUUUGGGCCACGAAGUGCUGUACCCUGGCCGAAGGCAUCCCAAUUUCCGCAGGGAUUACUGCUUCCACCCCAUAUGUUAGGACAAACGGAGUUUCCUGUGUGGCCGUCCGAGACGUAGUCCGGUAAGCCCAUAGUAUGGUGGGCAGCUCGUCCAGCCAACCCGUCCGGGCUGAUUCGAUCCUUGUCUUUAAGCCGUGCAGGAUGGUCCGGUUCACAUUCUCGACCUGCCCAUUGGCCUGGGGGUGCCCUACUGAGGUGAAGUGCUGCUGGAUACCGAGCUCAGUGCACCACUCCUGAAGCGAAUGAUCUGCGAACUGCCGGCCAUUAUCCGAAACGAGAACCCUGGGAAUGCCAAAUCGGCAGACUACGUUCCUCCAGAGGAACUUAUGUAUCGACCUACAACUGAUCGUGCUAAGUGGCUCAGCCUCUAUCCACUUGGUGAAGUAAUCAAUCGCCACCACCAAGUACUCAUGGCCACCGGGAGCUCGGGGAAAAGGUCCUAACAAGUCGAUUCCCCACUGGAAGAACGGCCACGGGCUAUGAAGAGGGAUCAUUUCCCGAGUUGGGGCAUGAUGAACUGGAGCAUGUAGCUGACAAGACUUACAUCGAGCUACCAGCUCGAUCGAGUCCCUGAAGAUGGUGGGCCAAUAGUACCCGGCCAGCAUUCCCUUCUUGGCCAAUACCCUGGAGCCAACGUGAUUGCCACAGAUGCCCUCAUGCAACUCGCGCAAGACAUAGCUCCCCUCCUCAGGUGUCAUACACCUCAGCCAGGGCUGCAAGUAGGACUUCCUAUACAGGACUCCCUGCACAAGCGUGUACCUCUGCGACUUAAGGAGGAUUUUGCGGGCCUCUGUCCUGCUCGGGGGGAGUUCCCCCUGCGCCAAGUAUCGAACAAUAGGGUCCAUCCAGGAGCUCACCACCUGGAUGACCGCAGUACUGACCUGGUCAUAUGCCCGAUUCCUGACGACCUCCACAACUAUCUCCCGACCUAGGGUGCCAACCGAGGUGGAGGCCAGUUUGGACAGGGCAUCAGCUCUCUUGUUCAGACUCCGCGGGAUCUGCUCUAGCACAAACUGCUCAAACAGGCCCUUCAGCUCAUGUGUCUUGGCCACGUAUUUUCUCAGCGUCCCCUCUUUGACCUCGUAGCUUCCCCCUACCUGGUUAACUAUCAGCUGCGAGUCGCUAUAGACUUUCAACGAACUGGCCCCUAACUUCCGAGCCAUCUUCAUUCCUGCAAUUAGAGCUUCGUACUCAAAUUCAUUAUUAGAUGCUCUGAAAUCAAACCUUAACGCGUAAGGCAGCUCCUCUCCCGUAGGGCUGAUUAGGAGAAGCCCUGCUCCGCAUCCUUCUUUGCUGGACGCGCCAUCCACAUACAGCGUCCACGUGGGCUUUGUUUGCUCCGCUGUUUUCCUAGCCUCCCCGUCUUGGGCUGCUGUCCCGACCAGUUCGGCCUUGGCAGUUUCUUCGUGAUAUGCGACCUCAGCUGCGUCUCCGACCUGUUGGACCUCCGCUGCGUCUACGGCCUGCCUGGCCUCUGCAGCCUCUCGGGUCGGUCUGGUCUCCCCAGCUUCUCUGGCCGAUCCGCCCUCUGCUACCUGACUGGCCUGUGCGACCUCAGCAGCGUCUCUGGUCCGUAGGACCUCGGCUGCCUCUCUGAUCUGUACGGCCUUGGCAGUCUCCGGGGUCUGUAUGGCUCUGGCGGCGCGCGCGUCCUCAACCUCCUUAUUCGGUCUGGCCUGGUCUGUCUCCCCUCCAGUCGACCCAAAAGAGAUGCCAUCUGCUAUGAAAUCUGCUAGUGCUUGAGCUUUGAUGGCCGUCCUGGGCUGAUAUCCCAGGUCAUACUCAGACAAUUCCACCGCCCAUUUUACCAUUCGACCUGAAGACUCUGGUUUGGACAAGAUCUGCUUCAGGGGCUGGUCCGUUAUGAUUACCACGGGAUGAGCUUGGAAAUAAGUUCUCAGCUUCCGAGCUGCGUGAACUAGCGCCAAGACAUAUCGCUCUAUCGCCGAGUACCGGGAUUCGGCCCCCUGCAGGGCGCGACUGACAUAAUACACUGGCUUCUGUAACUUGUCCUCCUCUCGCACCAGCACUGCGCUUACAGCCCCCUCUCCCGCAGCUAGGUAGAUGAACAGGGUCUCCCCCACCUCAGGAGAGGUCAGAGCUGGCAACCUAAUGAGAUGUUCCUUAAGCUCGUCAAACGCCUUCUGGCACUCCGGGUUCCACUCGAACUGCCGACCUCCUUUCAGGGCCUUAAAGAAAGGUGACCCCCGAACUGCCGAUUUGGACAAGAACCUGUUCAAGGCAGCCAUCCUUCCUGUCAGACGCUGCACCUCUUUAAUAUUCCGGGGUGGAGCCAUAUCCAUGAUGGCCUUAACCUUGUCCGGGUUGGCUCUCACCCCCUCUUUGGAAAUCAUGUACCCCAGAAAUUUUCCCGACCUGACCCCAAAAGUGCACUUCUUUGGGUUUAGUCGCAUGCGUGAGUGUCGAAGGAUCUCGAAAAUCUCCCUCAGGUCGGAGACGAACUGCUCCUGGGUUCGGCUUUUCACCAACAUAUCGUCCACAUAAACCUCCAGGUUUCGACCGAUCUGAUUCCUGAACAACUUGUUUACCAGCCUUUGAUAGGUUGCGCCUGCAUUUUUUAAACCAAACGGCAUGGUGACGUAACAAUAUGUGCCAUCCUCCGUGAUAAACGAAGUCUUCUCCUGGUCCUCCUCGUCCAAGGCUAUCUGAUGGUACCCUUUGAAAGCAUCCAAGAAGCAGAAAAUCUCAUAACCUGCGGUUGAGUCCACGAGCUGGUCAAUCCGGGGAAGUGGGUAACAAUCUUUAGGGCAAGGCUUAUUCAAAUCUGUGAAAUCCACACACAUCCUCCAGGCUUUCUCCUCCUUUUUGACCAGCACAGGAUUAGCCAACCAGGUCGGGUAGUAGACCUCCUUAACGAUCCUGGCCUCCAGCAGCUUACCCACCUCGCUUUUGACGACCUCCUUUCGUUCAGGAGCAAAGUUCCUUUUUUUCUGUUUCACGGGUCGGACGCUGGGAUCCACCUGUAGCCUAUGAACCGCCAGCUCGGUGGGGAUUCCUGGCAUGUCAUCAGCACUCCAAGCGAAGAUCUCAGCAUAUUCCUCCAGGAGAGCUUCAAAUGAGCUCUUGACCAGCUCGGCUAGGCCCGUGCCGACCUUCACGGUGUGCUCAGGUCGGCCCUUCUGGACGGGCAGAUCGGCUAAUCCCUCGUCAGUUUCCAAUCUCUCUCCCUUCUCCAUGGGCUCCCAGGGCUCCAAGCAAACUGUCUGGGCUACUAACUUCUCUUUACCCUUGAGGGUAGCAAUGUAGCAUGCCCUGGCCACUUCCGGAUCCCCGAGCACCUCAGCCACCCCCUCGGGGGUGGGAAACUUCAUGCUGAGGUGCAACGUAGAACAAACAGCUCGGAGGGCAUUCAGUGUGGGCCGUCCCAAAAUCAUGUUGUAUGACGACGGCUCCUUAACCACCGCGAAGUUUACCGGCACAGUUCGGCACUUCGGGGAUACCCCGACAGUAACCAUGAGGGUGAUCAUUCCUUCUGGCCUCACGGGAGGGCCUGCGAACCCGAUCAAUGGAGUCCGAACCGGUACCAGCUGCCUAUCCUCCAGCUGCAGCUCUUUAAAAGUCUUGUAAUACAGCACGUCUAUUGCACUCCCAUUGUCUAUGUAUACCUUCUUCACCUUGUAAUUGCAGGUGAUGACCUCAAUUACAAUAGCUUCGUGGUUGUUGGAGGCCAAAGGGACUGCGUCCUCUUGUCCGUAGAUAAUUUCCUCAUACAUCUUCAGACGCUUGGCCGAGCUCUCCCCCGCGGGGGGAGGCCGAUUGUGCCGCCGAGCUGUAUGACUAUCCCCGCCAGCCGGUCCUCCUGCAAUGGUAUUAAUCACCCCGGCCAGAUUCUGCGUUUCCCGUUCAGGAGCUCGCCCAUGAGGCCCCUGAGGCCGAUCCCGGAGGUAACCGGGUCGUUCUGACCGGGACCUCCCUCGUUGCUGGUCAGCUCGGUCCUCUCGUAUGAACUGCCCGAGGUGACCUCGUUUGAUUAGUUUCUCAAUGUCCUUCUUGAGAUGACGGCAAUCCUCCGUGUCAUGCCCCACAUCUCGGUGAUAGGCGCAGAACAACCCUUGGUCCCGUCUGCUUUUGUCCCCUCCCAAAGGUCGAGGAGGUCGGGAGAGCCCCUCCUGUUCCAUGACCGCCAGCACCCGAGCUCGAGGUGCAGUGAGAUUAGUCCAGGGCUUAUCUCCCCCAUUUGGACGGCUCCUGGGGAGGCGAUCGUAAGUGCUCUUUCUUCCCUGGUUGGAACGAGCCUCCACCUGGUCGGCUCCUCUCCUACGUUUGUCAUCCCUCAGCCUUUCUUGCGCGCUCUUAAGGCGAUUAGCCUCCUCCGCAUUGGCUUUCUCAUGAGCUCGGUCCAGCAUUUCCCGUACCGAUUUGGGAGGUCUCUCCACGAGCUCAGUGUAGAGCUUCUGCUUGCGCAGCCCGUUAAUGAAGGCUGCCAUAACCACCUUGUCAUCACGAUCCCUGACCUGAAGGGACUCGUUAUUGAAACGCACCAUGUAUUCGCGUAGGGAUUCCUCAGGCCUUUGCUGAAUGGUCAUCAGGUGCGCCGUGCUCUUGGAGAAGGCUCGUGAUGAGACAAACUGGGCCGCGAACAGCCGAGCAAGCUGAGCAAAGGACCUAAUGGACCUGGGGGGGAGCCCCUGGAACCACUGACGUGCCUUCCCCUCCAGAAACAUGGGAAAAGUCUUGCACCUGACUGCAUCUGCGGCAGUUUGCAGACGCAUUUGGGUCAGGAACGCAAACAAAUGAUCCUCCGGAUCCGAGGUCGCAUCGUAAGGCUUCAUGUUGGGUAUCUUGAACUUCGCGGGCAAUGGAUAGUUCUCUAUAUCAGGCACGAAAGGGGACGCGAUGUACCUGUCCGCCUCGGCAUCCAAGAGCAGGUCCAGCUCGUCUUGCACCUGAAGCUGCUCUUUCCGAGGUGAGGGUUCAUCCCUAGAAUACCUCCGGACAGGCUCCGGGUGCUCAGUUCGGGAGUGCUUGUGAGUGGGCUCCCCCAUGUCGGUGUGCUCACUUGCGGGCUCCUGGCGCACGCGUUUGAGCUGGGGGUUGGGGCUCCCCGCCCUGGACUCGGUUGGGCCUUCCGAGUUCUCCGGCUCCUGGCCCAGGGGCCCUCCUGUCUGCCCCCUAAGAUAAUCCACAAUGGCCUCGAAAGUGGGCAAGUUUCCUGCUACCGCCUGGACCAGUUGCUCCGGUGGAAUCCGCGAGAGUCCCGUCCCCUCACCUCCAGGGGUCGGACUCCGGGCAGACUGUUGGGGGCCGCUUCCUCCGUUCCCCUUAGAGCCACCAGCAUUCCUUUGAGACCUCGUUUUUGGCAUGAUUCGCAAGAGAAGAAGAACGUGUUCCCACAGACGGCGCCAAUUGAUGCGACUGCCAAAAAUAAGAUCUGAGCUGAGGUGCGACGGGCUGAGCGAGCUGGCGAGCUGGUCAGGUGAACGAGCCGACCUGCAAAUGGACAGACGGUGGAGCUAACAGAGAGUGGCCGAGCUGAUAGGCCGAAUUGACGGGGAGAGAACAGACGACCUGUCCUGCAGAGAGGGAAAUAAACGGAGGGACUAGAGUCCCCGGAAUAACUCCGACGGCCAAGUCAGUAGAGCUCAAGAGUAGAGCAACAGUAGAGAGAACUGUGGAUGGCAUACCUUGUGUCGUCUUGUGGUGCUGUAUAUAUAGGCUUAACGGGUGGUAGUUUCCAUAUAGGAGUCAAAGUCCCCUUAGGGUUCGGAGUCUUCUUAGGGUUUCGUGCGGCGGCUCCUACAAGUUCGGAGACGGCGGCCCAUAGGCCCAUCUCAAGGAUCGAUAAGUAAGGCCGAGCUGGCCUCCAUAUGCCGAGCUAGCGCCUGCGAGUUGCGAGGUCUCACAGCCGACCUGACGAGCAAGACCUGCCGAGCUGACACGUGGCACGCGCAGGUUCACCCCACUACAGGGCUCAAAAUAGAAUCUCACAUGGUUUAAAAUUAGAGCUCAAGUUCAAUUCAAUAUUGUUUUUUUUUUUGAGGAAAUUCGAUAUUGUAUUCAAUAAUGAUGCAACAAACCAACAACAUAUAUAUAUAUAUAUAUAUAUAUAUAUAUAUAUACACGUGCGCACGCGCGGAUGCAUGCGUGCAUAAAAUACUGACCAUAUACUUGUAUAAAAGUAUAAUUCGAACUUUUCUAAGGUUAAAUGAGACGAAUACUGAAACUCAAUUCAUUUACGGUCCUAUAUGAAAGUGAUGCUUUGAGGUACCAAAAUACAUAAAUUCAUCUAAUUAUGUAGCUGUUAGACAACAUAAUCCCAUGUUAAUUAGUCAAUACCAAAUAAAACUAACUAAUAAGAUAUCGAGCCAUUCUACUCUCUUUUUUUUUUUUUUUUUAGAGACAAUAACUGUUGUAUAAUCUAAUCUAUUCGAUAUUAGGGGAGGGGGCGGGCCUAAGAAAGGAAGGUUAGGAGUCACUCAAAAAGAACUGAACCAUCACCAGAUCAAACGAAAACACUAUAUAUCCGUCUAAAUUUUUUAAAUAAAAUCAUUUUUAAUGUGACAAUUGAUGGAAGGCAAGAUUUUCCACCUCACCAAACUUUAAUAUUUUGAUGGUGGUCAUCCGCCUUCUUUGGACCGAUGGUGGUUAAGCCAUUCUACUCAUUAUUGUUAGUUUUGAGACGUAACUUCAGGUUAUUUUGGAGUACUAUUAAAGCUGGGCCUUUCUUUUCCUUCGAAAAAAGCUACGCCUCAGGCCUUCAUCAUCAUUGCUCACUGUUGGUAUUUCAAUCGAGUGAAAAAAGAAGAUAGUAAUGGAUGUCUUGAGGGGCUCCCAUCCGAUCCGACCUGGUGCCUUUUAACUUUUGUGACCACGUCAGAUUCGCACCAAAAUGAAAAAUGUUAGUGCUUCUAACUUUUGUGACCGUAUCAGAUUCGCACCAAAAAGAAAAAACCAAAUCAGAUAUGCUGGAUAGUUGAUGGAAGAAGAUCCGUUUAGUUUGAUUAAAAUAAAAUUGGACGAAUAGCUGGAAAGUUGAUAUUAUAUUCCAUAAAGGAUUGAUUGAAUGACAAAUUAAUGAAUUGUAGAGGGCUUUUUAGUACAAUGCACUCAUUUGAAAAAGUGCAAGUAUUUUGUUUUCACGCCGUUUGCUUACCCACUUCCGAUAAAAAAUUUUUUGAUGGGUUCCUCUCUUGGAAUUUGGAAGCCUCUCCACCACUAAAAAGAGGGAUGUCUGGUAAGCUCCCACGUCAAUUGAAGACAGCAGUUUGUCAAAGGAAACACCAACUUUUUUGUUUAAAGACAAAAGCAAUUUCUUUUUUAAUGGGAGAUGAAUGGGAUUUAAGAAAGAAGGGAAAUUACAAACUCAAGACAUCUAAGCCUUGGAACCUGAAAAUGGUAACUGACGAGGGAGUCAAGAAAGCAUUAUUAAACUCGGCUCAGCUCAGCCUAGCAGUUAAACCGCUCAAUUCAGUGAGUCAGCCAUGAAACAGACUGGGUAAUAUUUAUAAGUAAUUUACUUGUAAACUCUACAUAUAUUAAAAUAAUUAAUACAUUACAUGUAUUUAUAAAAGAUUAUUUUAGUUACUCACUACUGAUUGAACUAGUGACUCGUCCAUGGACUUUUUCAUUGGGUUCCUUCCCAUGUUGGAUUUAAUAACUAUGCACAAAAGCAUUAAAAAAUAAAAUAAUGACAUCAAAUAAAACAAAAGGCACCAACGGUUAUUGAAUCAAAUAGCAAGAGACGUGUUGCCCUUUAAGCAGGGUCUCGAAUUUGAGUCUUGUGAAUGUAAAAAAAAUGUUAGGAGAGUCAUCUCUUGAAAUGGUUUCGACAGUGCUCGAUUUUAGACUAAUCGGAGUCCAAUACAGUCACUAGACAUUGGGAGUGCGCACCAAGAAAAUAAAAAAUAAAAGGAAAGGCUUUCUAUAGCAAUUUAAAUUGGGACUCCGAAUGGCUUAAAAAAAUUUUUUAGGCUUUCUAAACUAAUAUCCAAAUACACCCAGAUCCAUUGGGUGAAUAUAUGGACCUUGGCCUGUCGUCCUAUAACCUUUCUCAGUCUUGGGCAUGGCAGCCGAAAUAUGUGUAGCAGCUACGGGAAUGGUCUUGAGGCCCACCAGUGACCUUGAAAAACUCUUAAGAAAAAUGGGAAAAAAAGAAAGAAAAAACUUCAUAAAUUGUUUGUUUGCAAGAGAAAGUGAGGGAAAAUUCUUUUUUUUUUAAGUUUAAGUGGGAGGUCUCGUAUUCUGAAUCUUUCAUUUAUAUGCCCUUUUUUGUACCGUCCAACCCAUCACUCAUCUAGAGGAAAAGCUAGUCAUUUCUUCUUCUUCUUCUUGUGUUUGUCUAGUAGAAAAAGUAGUGUUUGUUAUUCCUGUACUUUUCCUUAAUUUUCGCCAAGAUUUUGGAGGAAAAUUAUUGGUUACUAACAGUAUUUCCAUUAACGAUUCUAACUACUCAUUUUCUCUUAGAAUUUUCUGAUUAAAUAAACAUACACGGAAAAGUGAUUUUUUCUUUCUUUUUACUUUACGGCACUUUACUUCAAUUUUCCUCAUAAGAGAUGUCUUUUGGUUAACGUAGAUGCACAAUGAUUUCCACCCACCGUCCAGCAGCACCGAUUGCCCAGUUCUUCAUAUACGUCUUAAAUAAUAGGGUAAAAAACAAAAAAAAUCCUGUAAUAAAUCAAAUAUACAGAAAUGUCCCCGUGAUUUUAAAAUAUACAAUACGAUAAUUCAUUCUUUGAAUUAAAUUAUAAAGGUGAUGGAAUUCGUUAAACUUAAUGGAAAUGAUUUAUCGGAACCUAAAAACAAAAUUUAUACCUAAUUUUUAACAAAUAUACCUAUUUUACCCCUUAACCCUCAAUUUUCUCUCUUUAGAGAAUAAACCAAAUGAUUUUAUUGAACUGUCUUUUGCUAAUUAUAUCAGGAUACUUUUAUCAUUUCGUCCAUUUCCUUUAAGUUUAACGGAUUCCGUCAUCUUUACAAUUUAGUUCAAAAUAUGAGGUGUCAUGCUGUACAUUUUGAAAACAUAGAAUUUUUUUUUUUUUUUUGUAUAUUAGAUUUACCAUAGGGGACUUUUUUAUGUUUUACCCUAAAUAAUAUGUUCGAGUGUAAAUAUCAUAAACUUGACGGAUAUGACGGGAAUUUUCUGAAUUUUACCGUAUUAACUAUGUUGUCGGUUUCCUCCAAUUAACCUUGAGGUACUACUAUUAUUAAUAUGGUUCUGGCACACUUCAGGUCUAUUUAACUCAAAAAAGAAAAAAAUGAUGGAUAUUCUUCGAGCUAUUUUGAAAUAUUAAAAGGGGCUACUGCUUUUGUUAAUAAGUUGUUUGAGAAAUUUAUAUAAUUUUGUUCUUCAUUAUGGGGUAAUAGUCGUGUCUCAAAAAAAAAAAAAAAGAAAGAAAAUUUUAGCAUCGAAGAAGUUGUUGCUUGGCUUCAUAUAGUUAGAUAACGAGUAAAAAGAACGCAUGUCAAUUUGGCCCAUCGACACAUUUAUUUUUACCAAAAGUUUCUUGUAAUAAAUCACCUAAUCACCUUUCUUUGUUUACGAAAAAAAGACGUACUUGUGCGCUUUUAUUUAAGUUUAUUUCUAUGAAAAUGUCUUCAACAUAUUUUGACAUAUCAGGUUGAAUUCUUCUUCUUUUUUUUUUUUUUUUGCCUUACGCAAUUAGCUAGAUUGGAUUCUUGAAUUGGAUUUGAUUGAAAAUAAGUCCAAAGUAUACUGUUAUACGCAAUCAACAUGCAUGAUAACCCAUUUGAUAAAUCAGAACAAGCCAUUUCUGUCGGAAUCAGUCACCCAUACUUCUGGCUCGUGCUAAUUCCUAUUUCUUUUAUUCAAAGUGGAAGAUGAAAAAUUUUGAAGCACUUUUACCUUUGCAUGACUGAGUUCAAAAAUAUUUUGGCCAAAGGUCGGUGGUGUAGAUGCAUGGUGGCAAUCCUGAGUCAAUUCCCAAUUUUCGUGUCCACGAUGGAUUUUGCCUUUCAACUUUGUCAUUGCGUCUUUCACCAAUCUAUCCUUCCCACAAAAGCACCAAAUAGUAAUUGGGCAGCCUCGAUCAUGUAUCCACAUGAUAAAUAUGGUGUCUUUCACACUGGGUGAACCAGUCCUACACGGGAAAAAUACAAAGAACAUCUUUUUUAGUGCGUUCAUUCCUGUCUCAGUACACCACGCAUGCUUACUGUUAGCGUUAUCUCUUUAGGGUUACUCGCAAUCUGCUCGCCCCCCUGGGUGCAGGCACUAAAAGUACGCGUAAUUAAAGGUCCAAAAAUGCCUUUAUGGUCCAAAUGCGCUGGUUUUGCUAAGAAGAAAUGUAGUUAGUAAUUAUCUUCAACUUAAAACUAAAGGUAACAACCCUAUAACAUAAAGCUUGGAGCAUCCUUUAACUGCACCUAUAUCCCUGUAUCCCCGUAACUUGAAUUUCGACUCUAAAUUUUACACAUGACAUACAUUUAGCUAGUCUGAUUGGUAUACAUACGUCGUUACUGUAAAAAUAAAUUUGUCGUUUCUUCCGUUGAUGGCCCGGAAUUUGAUACCAAUCCCCAGGGGAAUAGGCCAAAUUAUUACAUGGACGGAGCACUACAGUAGUUGUCUUUUUCUUUUCUUUUCUCUUCUCAGUUGUCAAUUUUCAAGAAAUGAAGAACCAUGUUUUUAAAACCGGAGAAUGUCUACUUAUGUACGUAUGCACUGUACCUUUCCACUAGGCACGAGAAUUGUUAUCUAUUUGUGCACGUAUGCACUAUUUCUUUCGAUCGACUAGGCACGAUUGAUCACGAAAUUCCUCAAGAUUGAUCACGAAAUUGUCCUUCGAUGAUAAAAUCUUGGCCAAUUCUGAUUCUGUAUGGAAAAGCUAUCUCGUUGCUGAUGUAUAGUAGAGCAUUAAUAAAGUCCACACUGAUGCCUUCUCCCUUUCGAGUUUCUUUGCUUUCAAUGAAUUUAACCAUUUAUUUCAUCGCCUGUGCAGGGAAACUAAAAUAACAAUAUGGCUCCAUGAAUUGCUGGAAAUCUCUUGCUGAUGUAUUGUAUUGACAACUUCACACAUUAGCAAGCACAAUGAAUUAAAAAGGAAUUAAAGAUACGAUCUAAUACUGUGGUGUUUAUCACGAUCCACCACCAAGUCAAAUUUGUAUUUCGGCUAUGACAUAAUUACAGAGAGUGAUUCAAUACACAUGCAUCUACAUCUCUUUCUUAACGUGCUUUGUUUGAUCCUGGGCGGAUCUUGCUAGAUUUUCUGUGGUGGCAUAAACGUUUUUCUUUGUCAUCACACAAGAAUGCUGUAUAUUCUCGGAAUGAAGAGGUAAUUAUGCUCAAAAAGGACCUUUAAAUCCGACAUCCUUGACUAUAGAGUUGGUGAUAACCGAUAAGGUCAUUAGCUCUUGGGCCACAUGUAUACCGACAAGUGUACCCUUUUUUGGAGUUUGAAGAUGUUAAAUUCGGACCCUCAAUUUAUCUUCAAGGAUAAGUGAUACUUAUUAGCCCCUUGGGAUUGGCUCGGAUGGUUUCAAGAUAGUUUAAUUAGGUUUCGAAAUCGUGUGUUCGAGUCACCUUUCUAUCGCUUGUGUAUCCUUGGAGGCGGGGUGUACAGGUACAGAGAGAUUAAUCCGAUAAAAUUGAGAUAGUCCCUGUGUUGAAAAAAAAAAAAGAAGUGAUACUUAUUAUAUAUGUAAAGGAAAUUCCUGCAAAAUUCAUAGGCAUGUGAAAACACGACAAGUUUAGUUUCAAAGAAGUCAAAACAUUGCUCAAAAUCGAGGAUGGUAAAAAGAUGUCAAGAAUUUGAAGGGCACCGAGGAAUUACUAGGGCCGGAAAGCUGGAAAAUCGCGUAUGGCUCUAAGCAUUUAACAUAGUGUUAGGAAGCAGCUUUCGCUUCGGCCUGAAAUUAUGCCACUAGAAAGUCAACAAGAUUUUUUUUUUGGGGCAUUAUUUCGUUCCAGUUAAGAUCGAGUUUACUAUGCAUCGAGGAAACUUGAAGGAGCUGAUCCAUACUUCAUACAUUUGCCAUUGACUAAGCUGCUCAAUAAUAGGCCUGAAAGUUCAGCUAAUGUCGAAAUGUGUGGGAUCCACGUUCUGAUUUCAACACAGCUUGUCUGAGAACGACAAGAUUAGUUCAUUUUAAAUAUAAUAAAAUAUAUAUAUAUACACUUAUUAUUAUCAACGACAUUGUUGAUAGAUUGUAUAAAAUGCAGUAAUAUCAGGCUCUGGAGAUUUGUAUGACAAAUUUGCACUGAUGUUUUUCUUCAGUAUUGGACCACUUUGGACUGACAUUGCAAGGAUAAACUUGUUUAUCAAUGUCCAACUUUAAUAAUGUAAGAUGUAAAUAUAAAAUUGGCCAAUAAUCCAACAAAAGUCACGCCCUCAAGCCUUGCCUAACUUUAACCCCACAGUCUCAACAUUGGCAACAAACGAAUAUUUAAUCAAUAAUCAAAUGCUGCUCCUCUUUUGAGCCAAAAAAGGGAUCAACUUGAACAUGUACGUCUGUCUAAUCACCCAAAAGCUUCUACAAAAUGUAAUGAUACGAUCUGUAUUUAGUACAUACACUUCUUGGCACUAGGAAACGAACGUGAAUCACAGUCAUGGUCAUACAUUACCAAGAUCAAUUUACCCCAAAACAACCAAACAAAAAAAAAAAAGAAACCAUAUGUCUCGUUUCCCAGUUUCUUUUGAACACCAACUUCCUUGAUCUGAACACAGUUUUCGUCUAGUGAUGUACUGUCAAAGGAGCCCAAACUUUCAAGAAAGUCGAGAAAUCAUGAAGGGGGGAUAUUUUUUUUAAAAAAAAAAAAAAAAAAAAAAAAACCAUGAGAAAGGGAAAAGACACAGACCAGCUUUUGAAGUCUAGGAUUUCAAAACAUUUGACGGGCUUUUUCUUUGGGCGGUCGAGGAGAGAGGGACUGAAAAAGAGGGUGCGUAUCUGAUUGCCCCUUUGCCCUCAUUUGCGUGCCCCGGUGCCCGUGGUCGGUUGAUGGUCAAACAUACACCAGCCGUAUCACCUUAACAUUAAAACCUGAGAUGCUUCGACACGUUAAUACCUUAGAGAUACACAUCAUUUUCGGUUUUUCUUCGAUGAAAACAGCAGCAUUUGUUCUUUCUAAGAAGAAAGUUGCAUGAUUGUGUAUUUAUCUUCACCGCAUAUAUUUGACGCACAAAUGACGUGCAGCUGACGGACGUGCAUGGAGACUUUGAUCCCCAAGAAGGGUUUGACUUAGAGUGUAGCACUUACCAUUUGCAGCUCCCGAUCGUACGACUAGAAGAUGAUUGAUUGGGAUUGUGGGAUUUCCAAUUUUGUGGUUGUUCUUCAAUCUCUUUAUAACUCAUCAACUAGGCCACUUCUUUGUGGCAAGCAACUGUGUGUUGUGUGUGUGGACUUGACUACAAUGUGUACGCACAUUUCAUGCAAAAAUAUUGGGGCCACAAUGUUUCGGAUCCUCGCGUAGAAACUAGCUGGAUUGGUUAUUUUUGGAAAAGUAAUUAGGUUCAUUAAAUUGGCGGAAGAAACCCGGCCUUAGGGUCCAUUCUACAGUAUGGUACAAUAAUUGGCUUCACUCCAAUCAUUUGGAUGAUCGGGUUCUCUUCUCUGGUGUACCAAUCUCACCAUUGUUUUCAUCUUUGUCCAUUUUCUCAACAGCUCCUUGCCCGAGAGUCGCACAAGAAAAGAAACGUCUAGAAUCAGAUUGGAAACCAUACAUGCCUUAUAUUACUAGUCAUGAGAGGCUGGGUGAUUAGAUAGCCUUGCUGGUCACGAUUGGUUAGUGCAAUUAUACGACAUUUUCCCAACUGAUAAGUGUCGCUAUACCCUAAACCACAAAAAAGAAACUUAAGCAGAUAAAAGUAGCUUGUAAACACACAUGUCACGAAAAUAAUUGAUUGUCCUGCUACUGCAUAAUAUGCUUGUGGCCGAUGUGAGGCCAUACUGUCUGUCAUGGUAUCUGAUUAAUAACAUGGCACGAAAUGAACUAUGAUUCAAAGCUUCAGGGCAUGCAUAUAAAUUAAUUAGCCUUGAACAUACAUGCGAUCGGGGGAUAUUUCGAUAUGAAUGAACUAUAGAUAUCUUUUACUAUCUACCUAGGGUCGAUAUUUCUUUUUCUAUGGUAGCAAUUUUACACAGAAGAAGGGAUCAUCUACGUAUUUGAUCUCUCAUUUUAUCGAAACUCAAGCACUUAUACGAGACAUCGGCCAAUUGUUUAGAUUGCCAUGUUUUCUCAAAAUAUUUACGUUUUUUAUGAAUACGUUUUUUUAAUCGUCUCUUUAUUUUACAUGCAUAAAAUCGUUAUAAUUUAUUUUUUACAAAAAAUUCAGAAAAUAACAAUCAAAACGGAUUGACCAUAACCUAUACUAACUUUUAGUAAUUGAAGUUGCACGCAAGCACGAUGAUGGCCGGAUAUGCUAGGGGGGGAAAAAAAGGCAUAAACAGUUGAAUUUGGAACUUAACAAAAUGAACUUUCCCUACGUACCACGAGAAGUUUCCAGAUGUACUACCAAUUAAUGAACUUCGGUGGAAAGUUAAAACUGCAUUGUGGGACUCGAUUUCUAAAUUAGGAAGCCAACCAACGAGCUUAUAUUCAAAUCCUUGCUCCUCAAUCAAAUGUAAAUUCAAACCAAAUAAGAUGUUGAAGAUAAAUGUGUAAAACUUCUUCUUCCUUUGGCUUGGCAUAUCUUAACAGGGAUGCUUUCGUUUUAGAGGGCGUGGAAAAAAUUACAUGGACGACGAUGCUGAACAAAAGUAGAUAAGGGCCCAUCUAGAUUUCGUGUAAAUGAGUUUCCACGUGUCUAGGAUGAUGACGUCACCAAUAGUUUGACACAGCCGCAUUAAUUACAUGGAAGGACAAAAAGGACAAAAAACACCACAAGCGGCACGCCAUGAUUUGCAAUAAAGCCAUCUGCAAUAAUUAAAAAUCCUUUUCCCGAGUGGUCCCCACUACAUUAUCCACCGCUGGCACUUUGACACGUGCAGUAUUUAGUCAACGCUUUACAUAGCCCAGCCAAGCAAGAAAAUGAAAAUCUUUAGUUUAUUACUACGUGAACUGACAGUUAUCGUACAGGUGGCGCCAAGCCCUGCGACGCUCCCAUUCUCAGGCCGAAUUCGGCGGCGGUGUCGCCGGAAUCUGACUGCUGGGAUCUGUGAAACACCCUCCGCUAGAUUUUAUCUUUCUACUUUUAGUUUUAGAUCAUGAUUGGCCUUUUUGCUUAACUUCAGCAAAAGGAAAGGUCUGCAUGGGAGCUUUUACUUAAAUGUAUUGCUGAACAGAACUAUCGGUUUUAAUAUGUUGUCGGAUCAUUGUUGGAAAGCUUCUGGUAUGAUGAUGGCAUACGUUUCAAUGUUUUUUUAAUCCAUGCAAUUAUUUUUUUUUCUUACUUAUGUCAACUGAACAACCUUAUUUUACGUGAAUAUGUGUCGUACUAACACGUAUGCAAAUAAAGUAACACGCUUUUUUUUUUAUGUUAAUCCUAUAGGAUACAUAAUUACGUACCAGUAACGUAUAAUUUCGGUAACGGACCGAAGAGUUCUUGAUUUGGAUUACUCGUGUUUGUCCAUCAAUAAGGGAAAGACAACCAUACGAUAAUGUUAUCAACGAUGAAAAAAAACCACGAAAGGACAUUAUACGAGAAAAUUGAUCAGUUAACUUGAUCGGACAAUUUCAACAAAUUCUUAGUAGUAGGAAAUUAUACAAGAAAGAACAAGCUGUAUGACAAACCCCCCAGAGCACUUAAAAAGGCCUCUCUAAUUAAUCUCUGAUCCUUACAAUUUUACAUGAAUUGAUCAACAUCCAAAAGCUCUGGGAUUUCGUACUUCAAGAUGUUGCUGCAAUAGCUUUCCCUUUCGUCUUCAGUAGUGGUAGUACUGCAGCUGUUGAUGUAAGUUGAAUUUGAUUGCAAUGGUGUAGGGCUUGACGAAGGCGUCGAUAAAGUUGACAAAACGGAUUGGAAGCUGAAACUGUUGCUGUUGUUGGAUUGGAAAGUUGAAGUAGUCUCAGAUGGAGCUGUGUCCAAAACGGAUUGGUUGUCGGAGCCAUAGCAACCGUAAUGCUGUAGAGGUACAUAAUAAUCUUCUGAGAAAUUGGGAGGCAAGAAUUCGCUGUUUUGCCACUCGUUAAGUUCGCAACUUUGUUGUGAAUUAAUGAAGUCGGAGAGAUUUGCUGAUGAGAAUUGCUCCGCAUUGGGUUGCAUGAGUUGUGCUUGAUCACAAGAAAAUGGAACGCAGGAAGUACUUGUCCUCAAGCUUGUGCCCAGGUUGUCGGAUGUAGGGAUAUCUUGAACUGAGGUCUGAAAUUCGCUGGGCUGUAUUAAUGGGGGCAAUUGGUUUUGCACUUGGGGGGCAGUGUAGACUACUUGAUUUUCUUGAACAUCAUUUUGGGUCGGGAUAUCUUGAUGAUUUUUCUUUUGGGAGGAGAAAAGAGAGGUGGCUAGCCUUAGGAGUUCUGGAUUAACCAUGGGUUGCACCCCUAAUAACCUGGAAAGGUUGAUUUGCUGAGAUGAAGAGUAGUAGAUUGACGAGUUUAGAAUUGAGGAAAGAUCAAGAAGAUCAAGUCGAGGACUAUGAGUAACCGGAUCAAUUCCCAUUCGAAGAAGCCUUUUCCUAAUGUGUGUGUUCCAAUAGUUCUUGAUUUCAUUGUCAGUUCUUCCUGGCAACCGAGCAGCAAUUGCAGACCACCUAAGGCACAAGAAAUCAGUUCAAUAUGAACCACAAAAGGCACAGGCCAUAGAGAAAAAGAGAAAGAAACGAAAUAAACAACUUCUUACUUGUUUCCUAGUAUGCUGUGCAGUUGAAUGAUUGUCUCUUCUUCUUCAAAUGAGAAUCGUCCUCUCUUGAUGUCAGGCCUCAAGUAAUUUGUCCAACGAAGUCGGCAACUUUUUCCACAUCUUUGAAGCCCUGUACACAAAAGUCAAGAAAAUUGGCCGCAUAGGCGCCCAUAAGCUUUAAUUCUCGCAAGAAUUCCUACUACUACUAUUUAUCUAAUUCAAAUACAUAUGUUUAAACGAGAUGCAUGCUACGAAGAACAACGGAAUUAGCUAGCUUACCAGCAUUCUUUGGAAGUGUUCUCCAGUUUCCAUAGCCAUGCUUCUGAAUAUAAUCAAUAAGUUUCUGGUCUUCUUCAGGUGUCCAUGGCCCCUUUUUGAGUCCAUUUUUGUCACAACAUGGUGAUCUUCCCAUGAUAAUAUAGUUGUACAAUGGAGAGAUGAUCGACACUGAAGUGAACCUUGUUUGAUUUGGGUGGAGUAGUCCGGUCGCUGAGAAACUUUUGGGAGCAGAAGAAAAUGAACAGAGAGACAGAAGAGAUGCAAGGUCCGUAAGGAAAAUACCAAGGUAUAUAUAUAGCUGGGAUGAAGGGUUAACGACAAGUCAAAGGGAUUCGGUGCCGUCCUCUUUUUAUCGCGAACGCGACGUGUCCCCUCUUUUUGAAGAAAGUGUGAAUUCAACUCCCUCCCCCCCUCCCCUCCUUUCUUUCUCCUUCCUCUUUUUUGUGUGUGUGUGUGUGUGUGUGUAAUGUCCCUCUCUUUUCUCUUUAGACGAUUAAAUCAUGAUGCUGAAUUACUAGAAUCAGUUAAAAAGCCAUGAAGGAAGAUGGACCAGCAGACAACAAACUCUGAUGUUUUAGUAAAGGUAAGCAAUUGAACAAAGAAGGAUUGUUCUUUAAAUUUUAGAUUGGAGGAGGAAGGAGCAAAGAAAAAGCAUCGAGGUAAAGCGAUAUUUUGACAGUAAAUGAUACACUUGUUUUAUGGAUUGUUUGAUAUCUCAAUUCUAAACUUAAAUUAUUUAAUGGAUUCACAUUUUAACAUAUUUAGAUGCAUUUAAUAGCAAAAAAUAAGACAUCUGAAUUAAUUACAUGACACUAAAUUUUUUGAGUAAAACUUGCUCUAAAAAUAGGUGCUAAACUAUUCACUUGUCACUUAAUAUGAUAUACGCUUACUUAAAUAUAUCAGAUUUAGUGCUUCAUAAUUCAAUAUAUUUUAACGGAUUCAAAUUUCAGACUUCAAUUUUAUCAAACAUAUCAUUAAUAUUAAGGAAAAAAAAAACUUUGAAAAGUGACUUGUCGUCAUAGUAGUAGGAAAGAGUUCUCAUGCACUUGUUUAGUUUACCACUAAUCCACAUUCAUCAUAUAAAAAAUGCAAAUAAACAUUAAACUAAUCAAUCAUAAAAUCUCGUGGUAAUUCUUAAAUAGUUUCCUCUCACAUGUAAUUAUCUGUUUGUAAAAUGUAAAGUACAACUCAGGCAUUUCCAUUUUCCAAGAAAAAAAAAAUAAAGGAACUACAACCUAAGGUCAUUUUCCAGUUGGGGCGUGAGCAAUCUUGCUUCCUGGAAUCAGAUUAGCUGUCAUCGACAUGAAAUAGGGACACGUAUAACCCAGGGAUCUCCUUACCUGGACCUUCGUGUCGCAAAAGCGUGACUAAAGUCCUGCUACUUCACGGCGUUUCGUCUUUGUGCAUGGCUUGAAUUCAAGCCGACUUGAGCCAUGUGGAAUGCGGAGCCGAGCUGGUCAGGCAAGUAGGGUUUCUAUAUAGCGGACAUUACGUAUUAAUCUAGGUGUUUCAUACGUAAUUAUUACUGUAUGUUAAUAUAUCUCAACCAUUUUUACAAUUAGUGGCAAAAGUUUUUUUUUUUUUUUUUUGCAAAGCAUUAUUUAGCCAAAUGGAAAGGCUUCGUUAGUUCAAUCAUACAGGGGGAUUGUUUAUUAUAUAAAAUAGUGUAGUUAAUAAAACGCUCCACCUAUGAUCGAUAAAUUACGAGUUCGAAUCAUCAAAGGAUAAGUAAGGAACUAUCAUUAAAAAAAAGAGAAAAAAAUACAGGGGAUGGUUAGCAUUCCUAUUUUAAUUGGAUAAAACAAAAGAUGGUAAUCCAAAAUAUUAGAGGUGUUGACAUCAAAAAAUUUCUUGUUCAAAAAAAAAAAAAUCAAGAAUAUAUGAUUUGGAAUGAUGCGGCCGUCUAGCGUUUAGUUGGACUCAUAAAUGCUCAUUUCAUCAUUUUGGACUGAGACAAAACGAAAAGGGAAAUAAUAAUUGGAUAGGGGUUUGAACGUUGAAGGGAGAGCAUUCAAUUCAAGGCGACAAUAAUAGAGUUUGGGAAGUGCCGAAAUAUAAGCAGGAGCAUUUAUUGAACAUGAGAUUAAUUACGGGAGUUGAGACCAAACAAGUUCAUAAAAACUCAUGGGAGGGCAAGGCUUUUUCUAACCACCGAAUCUUCUUCUCCACCGCUGUCCCCCCCCCCCCCCCCCCCCCCCCCCCAAAAAAAAAAAAAAAAAAAGUGGUACAGGGGAAGAAUUUCACCUUUGCCUUCUGUAAGAAAUCAAGAAUCCUUGGUUAACCCUAAAAAGAAGGGAAAAAAAUAAAAAUACAUUUUUGUGGUUUUGCGGCCCCGGAACCGCUUAAAUUAAAUAAGGAAAUGAUGAUUAUAUUUAAGCCUUGGUCAAAUAUGAAAAGAAAUCAAGAAGUGAAAAUGACAUUUGAUGGAAAUUGUGGACGGGAGGUGAUAAAUAUAUAUGGAACAAAUGCAAGCAGAGUUAGGCGUAUUACCCACUAAUUCAACUUAUGUCUUUGUCUGUUUUCAGAGAUGAACAGCUUCUUGCAAGGGCCUUGUAUUUCCACAUGGAGAAUUGACCAAAGCAAAUGAAUUGCCGUCAUAUCUGGCAUCAUCCGUGAAGAAAUAAGAUCAAUUAAACAUGUAGUCAACAUUUCUAAUUAGUAAAUUAAAAUGCUGAAAAUUUCACAGGCUCCGUACAUAUAUAGGGAGAAAAAACUGCAAUUUCUUAUCAUAUAUGAGUACUUUUUUCUUGCAGUACUAUAGUCUACGGCUCUAUAUAUAUAUAUAUAUAUGUGUGUGUGAAGAUCAAAUCUUCAGCAGCAUGGUCUUGAAAGAUGAAUGUAGAACUUAUUAGUGAUGACCAAUUGGAUGCUUGGUAUUAGUGAUUUAUAAUGUCAAACAUUUUCAAAUUCGAUUAUUGACUUUAUAUAGCAAUCAGCAUCCAAAGUAUGAGUAGACUGCCAAUGAUUAACGAACUCCUCCGCAUGCUAGCUAGAUCCCAUAAAUCACCUCCGCAAAUUUUUGUACCCUAUGACCUUCUCUGCAUUCGUGUUGAUCGAUCUCCCACCCUCUCCCGUCUCAUUUCAGAGGCGAAAUUAAGCACUGGCCGGCGGUUUGAACAAGCUGGAAAUUCAAGAUCAUUUCUUGAAUGUAUGCGUACAGACACCUAUACAUAUAUAAUACAUGCACUAUUGCAAUUUUCGUAUGUGGAGCCUUUUCCAUUUUAUUAAAAUUAUAUAUAUAUAUAGAGGAUAUGGUAGGUGAAACAUCCCACACCUAGAAUUGAAGCAUGCAGAGAUAUCAGUACUCUUCAAAGGGUUCACUUCAUAAUCAAAAAAAGUGCAAGAAUUUUACAUUCUUGAUAUCUUGGGACGUGACAUGGAAACAGGAAAAAAAAAAAAAAAUGGGGCAUGAUUAGAGUUGAUGAUUAUAUCGGCUACUUGGCUGAAACAGUAGCUUUGUUGUGCCAUGUUAGGAGGACAUCUUUUAGCCUAGCCUAGCCAAAUUCAACACUAGUAUUAUGAGUAUUGCAUUAACCUUCUGACGACAGUCAAUCUGACUACCAUCAACUCUUCCAAAUUUAUCUGUGAUUGUUCCUAUUAAUUUAAUGAAUGCUUAAGAUGGAAUGGAAACAUUAUUAUUGUCAUUAAGGAGAAUGCUUAUGGCGGGUAUGACAAAAACCUAAAACACCUGGUACGUGGCUCUAUGCAAUACCCUAACAAUCCCCUUCUUGGAGGGACCGCACCAUGAAAAACUGGGACUCUCCGGCCCAUCAAGAAUGGGACACGUCUACACCAAGUGAUGUAACAUCAAUGCCGUACUUUUUGAGGUCUGAUUAAGAGUUAUUUAGACCAAAUUAGGAGCAUCAUUCUACUGCAUUGACGAACGCAGUUGUCACGUACUUAUCAGUGUGCUAAUAUUUGAUUAGUGGACAUCGUGUCAUAGCCUUUACUUUUUCUUUUCUAGCUUGAUUUCUUAAUUUCAGUAAAAGAAUCAAACUCUUAAUUUUAUCUUCUUUUUUUUUUUUGACCAAAUUGAUUUGGAAUUAAUUUAUAACCAAUAUAUACUUUUGAAUUGUUACUGUCAAGUUGCAGACACAAAAAUCCCGGAUGCACCGCACCAUACGUAGAAUGAAAGUUUGAUCCCAUAUACCUUGGAUAUUGAUUCCAUUAGUGAUCUUGAGAAAAUAAAGUCUGGAUCAGCGGAAUUGUGACAUUGAUCCUUUUUCUUUAAAAAAAAUGAAAGCGUAAUCCUAGGGUACAAAUCUACGGUUGUUAGGUCAAGUGAUAAAGAAGCUAAUGUCCCUUAAACAAGAUUUUGGUUCAAUUCUUAUGAACGGAGAAAAUAAAAUCGGGAGAAUCAGCCGUGAAAAGUGUUUAACAGUGCUUAAUUCUGAAUUAAUUAUUUAGGGUCCAAUACUCUAUAAAGUUUACACACAGACAAAAAAAAAAAAAAAAGGAGCCCUAAGGUACGAAAAGAGGCAAGAGUCGUUUAUCCUUUAUUAUUGAAACCUGGAAAAUUAGGAUGGAAAGAGAGCAUUUGCAAGAGAAAGUCAAACGCCUUCGCAGUUAACUGGUUACGUUUGGACGCGUAUACGGAUUCUACAUUUUAUUUCUUUUCCUUUUUCCUGUGCAAAAGUAAAUUCAUGUGAAGCUGAGUUUGCAGAAACAGUGAAAAUCAUGUGCAAAAGUGUCUGAUUAUCGUCCCACUUUAUUGCUUUGCUCAGAUGGUCAAAUAUUAUUUUAUUUGUCUACUUGCUGCAUAUGCUUUAGGUUCUUUUCUUAUGUACAACUUUGACCAAACCCCAUACAGCUUGCUUGCUUCCGUGCCCUUCCUCUUCUUUCUCUGAUUGAGAAAGCUGACAUGAAAUCUAGAAAAUUUUCGCUCCCUUCUAUGUUUUUUUUUUUCAUGGAAGAUUGACCUCAACGAAUCAAACUAUGGCAGCUAGCUCUAUCGCACAUAUUACAAUUUCAUAAACUUGGGUUAAUUAAUGUCUCCGUGCUUGCUGUCAUGACUAAGGCACUCACAGCAUAAAAAGAGUCGCAAAUGCUUACAACUUUUUCUAUAACAGAAGAAGAGACAACAAUUUGUCCAAAUCCGGGAUUUUCUUCCGCGAUGUUAUGCGUAAGUUUCCAAAUCGACCGGCCUACGCAUAGCAUAGAUAUUAGGUGGAAAUACAUCAUCGAAAAAUGCAAUGAGUUUCUGUUUUGAGCUGCUCAAUUGCUCCCAACAAACCCUCCUGAAUUCUAAAUCAAGCUCAUGUAAUUUUCUAUUUGUUGCCAUAUCUCCAGUUGUGGGCGAGACUUCAUGAUUUGUUUAGAACUAUUUUGAGGUGUAUGGAGUUUAAGGAUACUAUUUCAAGAAAUCCCGUGCAUAUUGUUUAAGCUAUAGGUGUGGAUGGCGUUUUCAUGCAUUUGACUUGGGUGGGAUUCAGUCACCAUUACAUGUGGAUGGAGUCUGUGUUAAUGGAGAAUACUCUAAUGGGAUGAUCAGAACGUGGUGACAUAUUACAAGGAAGAAGAAGAUUACCUGGCUGUAAUUGAAAUUCGAGACCAUUCCCUGAAAAGAUCAAAGAUUAAAUUAAAGGAGUAAUGGAGGGAUACGUGGGAGCUUCAAGCAAGAUGAUAAAUAAUUAAACGGGAGCAGAGCGUGUCAUCACAGGAUUAUCAUGGCAGAAUGCUUAAUCUACACCAUGAAUUUUAUAUAUAUAUAUAUAUAUAUAUAUAUAUAUAUAUAUAUAUAAAGAGCUGCUAAUGUUGAACAAGCUACGAUGUUAGGUUGAAUUUAACUGAAGCCAAAAGGAACCCCAAAUUUUAAACUUGUUGUGGUAAGUAAUAAUGGAGACUCUGAUGAGAAGGGACAAAUGGAAGAUUUCUUAUGGUAUCUAAUUGGCCACAAGACCAGUGAACUGUUCAAUUUUUAUAACACCCCAAGUAGAUUACAAAAUUAGAUUAAUUUUGCACUCUAGGAAGAGGAAAUUUUAGUUUAUGUAGUUUUAGUAUUUCAUUAUGAAAAGCCAAUUUUGAUACUUGCUGUUUUGUCAAUUGCAAUAUUGCAAACUUACCGUUUUUAUACGAGAGCCUCGAAGAUUAGGGGAGCAACAAUUUGUGUUUGAUGAACAAAGUAUGCGAGAAAUAUGCCAUCCAUAUAACAAAGACAAAGCCAGGGAAAAAGUCCGCAGAGGCUUUUGCAGUAAUAGAUUGUUUCAUCGGAAAUUGCAAGCAUCCUAAACUAAUUUGUUACCCUUGGAUGGAAUUGAAGCGCUUACAGAGAACGUCUUGCUCUCUCAUUAGACUUUCGACAGACAAUAAUUCAAACAAAGGACUUUUGACAUUAGAACACUAAACCAGACUAAUAAAUACUAGUUCUUCUGUUCACCAGGAAGUUUGUUAUUGACUUAAAAGCCAAUUCAUGGGGUUCAAUUUCAAGAACUUGGACGACUAAACGCACACAAAAAGAAAAAAGGGGACAAAAAGCCUGUACUUAGUACGAAAAGACGUACAGAUUACCAGAAAAGGCUCUCAUGUACGACAGGAGAAAACAUUGACAACGAGCCUACAAACUUGAAUGAGAUUAGCGUCAAGUAUUUGCCAAACUAAUGCAAACUUUUGGAGUUGAUAAUGUACUCAGAGCAGCCUAGCUGGUUAGCAAUAGCAACAAAUGCUGGCAAAUAAAUAUCACAAACAGCACGAAAACGAGUCUUCAAGAUAGUCUGGUGGAACGGACAUCUAAUCCUGGUAGCUUAAGACAAGUCGAAUAUUCUCAUUUAAUAAACCAUAUCAAUAUCCAGAGAGAGAGCUACCUCAAGUUCAAAAGUGUCUGAAAAUCAUACAAACAAAAAAUAUCUGAUGAAUAAUAUGAACGAGAGUAGCUUCAGAACCUCUUACAAAUAAUGAACCCUUACUACUUGCAACAACUUCCUCUGCGGUCUGCAAUUUUAUUGCAUGAUGAUUCAUAACAUCUGUUUCUGCACCAAUGAACCUCAGUAUGGUAAAACAAGGUAUUUGGUACAAUAGCAGGAAUCUGAAAGAAUGAAGCCAUCAAGGGCACAUAAAUGUAGAAAUCAAUGUGAAACAGGCACCAAAAAAAAAGGGAAUGAAGGAUGUUGUCAAAAGAGGUCUCAAGUGCCUUGUACUAUGAAUCCACCAAUGAACCUGAUGAUAUGAUCUCUAGUAUAGCUCGGUGUAAGCUGUCGUUUGUCACAAGAACACCACCUGACGGAAAUAUGAUUCUCCUUUUGACUUGAUCUGCUGCAAAAUCAAGUUCACUCCCUCUCCAGUCAGUCACCUGUUAACAAGCCAAUCCUUUCCAUCUUUCACCAACAAUAAAGUAGAACUGUAUAAAAUGCAGAUUUAUACUUGUGGACCUAUGAAUUCUGCAUCAGGAAAAUAACCAACUUUUCUUCUGUACAGCACAUAAUCAAAUGAAAGAGAAUAAAAGCUUCUUUCCAAGCGUACAAGUAGACUACCUUAAUUGACAAAGAUACUACCAUAUUGGCAUGAAAGAACAACAAAAGGUAGGAAAAGUUGAAGGUUCCAAGUACAACCUCAACAAAGCAGCCCACACUGAGGCUAAUGGAAUAUGAAAAAAUAGUUCGCUUUAAAUGUUUGCCAUGCAUUUGCAUGUCCGUUCUCCUGGUGCAUGUAUGCAGCAGAACUAAGUUUCAGGUUCCAAUCCCUUCUGUAUCUUUUCAAAAUUUUCCCCUUUUUUAAAAAAAAAUAAGUAAGAAUGUUGUUCCACUAUAUGCUGCAACAGAUUCAUUCAAAUACAAUCACCAAUGUAGAUUUCACAAUCUUUCAGGUGCGGAGUUUCAUGAAUUAGCUAUUCAGUCCGAUGGGGUAAACUAGUACACACAGAAAAAGAAAUGAAGUUGGGUAGUGUACCUUUCCCCCUGCUUCAUGGACACAAAUAAUACCAACUGCAUGAUCCCAAGCCUGCAUUUUCAAUGUAACGACAUCAAUGAUGUUACUGAAAUCACUCUUAACAAUGGCUUGAAGCUGUUGUAAUACCUUUAUAGCUUUUCCAGCUUUUGCACCUUGGAUGAAAACAGAUGCCCUCCCUGAAGCCACCAUCAGAUACUUGCACAAACUGUACACAGGAAAUAAAGACCAUCUGUUUAACUAUGAAAUUAUUAUUAAACAUCUCAUCAAAUUGUUUACACAUUCUACUCAUCUUUUUAUUUUUCUGGAAUAGAUUUGAAGAACUCACUGAACUGAGGAGAAUAUACAAGUUUAGAGGUUAUUUGAUCACUAAAGGGACAACAAAGGAGGUUGAAUUAGAUCAUGUGCCAUGUUUUAUUGACAACUCCAGAUUGCCCACAGAAACAGAGAAACCAGGGGAAUAUGCAUUGGACGGAUGAGGACAGAGAAAAACACGUCUGACACUAGAAAACUGGACAAAGAAGUAAAGAUCUUGUGGUGCCAUUGUGAAAUUCUCAUGCUUGAGAUUGAUUGUGACAUCUGACAGAACCCCAAGGAAUAGGGAAAAGACUAUGGUGAGAUGUAUGAAACGGUCAAAGAACAGAACAAAGAAUGAUGGUAGAUUAUAUAUAGCACUUGAUAUAACGGACCACAAGUAAAUGAUGCUGCGCAAAAUUUUUGUUACAUCACAGAUCCAUAUUAUCCUUGAGAAAACGCUACUUCAGGUUGGAAAUGGUGUAGUGGAGCUCACAGCAGAACAAUCAGACCAAGGAUUGACUAGGCAAGGGAAAAUUCCAAGAUCUGAUGCACUGAGUUCUUUCGAGGUAGACAUAGAACUAGGCAUUUUAGUGGAACAUUAGCAAACUAACAAGAAUCCUUACAAAGUAGCGUCUGAAAUGAAAGUACAUGCCGAACCUUCUGAUACAUCCAAUAAAAUUAUAAGAUAUCCAAAAAGAAGACAUGAGAAUUUGCUCCCCGCUCAUCCAAUGACAGGAUAAAACCAAUUGAGUUCACAGCUUUAAGCUAUUUCAAGUAAAUCAAAUAAUUGAAGAAUGCCAUUCUAAUAAUCCAUGAGAUAAAAUCAAACCUUCCACAGCAAGCAGGUAGAAGGAGAACCUCCUUACUCCCAACAUACUCAGCUUCAGUUGUUGCAUUAUAUAAAAGCGAUAAUGGCAGUGAUUCCCAUGUUUGACUAUCAGGAAUACAAAAGCGUGCUUCAUGAACUAUCUGACAAUCAUCAACAAAGCAUCUGAUCCAAUUAUCUAGUAAUCCACCCAUCAUAUUGGUUGUUUCCCACAAAGUGUUUCUCCAUGUUCCACACCCUAUGUGUGAGAUCAUAAUUAUUCCAGACAUGGAGACAGCAUUUUCAUUUUCCUGGUUUUUUGAGCUAGACUUGUCAGGGUGGCUCUCCUGCCAGUUAGGGCAGCCCAUGACUCCUAAAACAAUCUCUCCAUCAACUACAAGAGCCAAGCCUACCUGAAAAUUCAGUUCACGUGCUUACCUCAAUUUGAAAAAGAGAACAAUUGAAAUAAUUGGAAAUUCUACUCCAAGUGAUUGCGGAGCGUAUAAACUAUUCGAAUUGGCACGAAAAAUGCAUAAAGGUAGGUGCUACUAAGAAAGUGAAGUCAAAGAGUUGACUAUUUAUAUCUUGCACAGAAAAUACAUUAGCAGAACACUGGAUUGUAAGCAACCCUACUAUUAUCUAUAAGAUGUUGUCUCAAUAGAUGGAGAACCACUCGAGCAAAGCACAACUUACCACAUAAAGAGCCUCACUACCUCUUACAAAUCCUCUGGUACCAUCUAUGGGAUCCAAUACCUAAAACAUGUCAUUGACAGUAAUCAUUAGGAGAAGGCUAUGAGAAAGAAACUAUAACAUCAAAUGUAAAACAACAUUCAUAUCAUUUUCACGUGCAGGGAAGUAAUUGGAUAUGUUAUACACAUUUCAACAUUGUCAGAGGAUCCGCCAUCAAUCACACAUGCAGAGAGACACAAGGACAAAUUAACUGACAUAUUUGGGAGUUAAAGGCUCAGGUUAACAGCUAAAGAGAAGCUCUGCAGCCAAUUCUAUUAUUUCAGCCUUAAACACUAUUUAAAUACCAAUUUUCUCCUUCCUCAAGCCAACUCUUGUUUGUAACUACCUCUAUCUUCUGUCUAAAAGUUUUCACUCAGUUCUGAUUUUUGUUUUAAAUAUGUUAUACACAUUUUCGAGAACAAUCUCGUCCGCAAAACAAAACAAUGAAAAGCAUAACAGCUAUUUAUGGUAUCAACAUAGCUGUUCUGGGUUCAUUGAAUAAGAAUUUAAAAAGUCAAAAUAACUCACCCAAUAAGUGGCUGGCUUAGGUCCAAAAGCAUAGGCAUCCUUGCCCCCUCGGUCAAUUGCCUCUAAAACAUCAUCUUGUGUCAGUUUAUCUCUGGAAGUUGCUAUAUCAGCAAGCACAUCAACCACAGCAUCAACCAGAUUGUUCGUACGCAGAAACAUGGAGUCCUCUUCUGCUACCAGAGGAAUAGAAGGAAAUAAUUUGCUCAUUUCUACAAAAGCAAGGGGAUAAAAAGUCAUAAAUACCAGACAGAGAGGAGCAGUUGACGUAAAUCAUUUUCCAUGGACAAACACGAAGUUUCUGUUUCAAGAUUUAUUGUAUAACUCGACAAAUUUGUUUAAAAAUGAGUUUCCAGAACUGGCUCCCUGAAAAUCUUACUUUAAAUGAAGCAAGCCAUGAAGCAUAAACAGUGCUAAACCCAAUAAAGCAGACGGAAUCUGUUAUUCAUCACUAUGCAAGUCUUGGUGAUUCUAUGAUUAGCUGUAGCACUACGCCCAAUUCUCUUGUCAAUGCAGUUCAGUAACAAUGAUGUAUCCGAUAAAAGAAAUUUGGCAAAAGUCACUUUAUUAGUCAUCUAGGCAUUUAUAACAUGGACUAAAAUGUUAAAAGAAUGGGCUAAAGAAGUUUCAAUGACUAACAAAAGGAAGCUCUGAGUAAUCUUGUACACCAUUCGUGAAUGCAGCCUCUGGAAAACUCUUACUCCUAUGUGUACUGAAGACAGUUUUCAAUCGGGUCAGGAGGUUGUAAAGUACAUAUCUUCUUGCAAUAUAUCUCAUGACUCUAAUGUGGAUAGAGUACAUAUUUGUUGUACUUAUCUGUUGCUAAUCAGCACCAGAACCACAAACUCACAAGAAUUGUGAAGUGCAGUACUGCACCAAAACUCGCAAACUUUUAUAUAACAACUAAAACUUUAGAUCUGCUAUAGAUGCAAUAUCCUGUUAAAAAGACGAAUGUGGUGGUACUCAUGCAAAGGAGCUUAGUAAAAUGCAAUAAUUUCACCACCAUGGCUGGAGGGCAGGAGAAAAGACAUUAUUACCUAAGCUAACAAGAGCCUGCACCCCAAAAUCUGCAAUUGUCACAGGGGUUUGAUCAUUUUUCUCGAGGAUACUUCCAUCACUCGAGAACAAAGAUUUUUUCACCUAAACGAUUUGACACAAUCCCAUGUUCUCAAUAAAACAAAAAUGAAAUCAUUUUUUUUUUCCACCAAUAGAACCAACUGCUAACUUGACGAAUGAACUUAUAACAAAAAUAAUCAAGAUAAGUACUGUAUUUUUUUUCUGGGCUCAUGAUGUCAAGAAAUCAUAAAAUGAUAAAAUAGAUAAACUAGUUUGAAAAGAUAUGCGUAUUUCCAGAAAAGAUUUGAAACUAAAUUUUUUUCUACGGAAGGAUCCAUUUGACUGUGAUAUUGAACACAUGAUUUUCCAUGCACUUUCUUCAACUAGUUAUUUUAUUAUCUCACAAAUACGCUUGUGUCCGAAAUGCAACAGUGAAACUUUUUUGUAAAACUCUUCUAAGAAAUACCAUCCAAAAGUAACCUAAAUUUUGGGGAAAAAAAUUAAUAUUCUGCUCCAAAGCUUUAAUUACACUAUCCAUAGUAUAAAUAACAAUGAAGCUAUGAAAGCAAAAAUGAAGUCUUAAUUUUGUCUCAAUAAAUUAAAUACCUGGAAAAAAUAGGUUCACAAAUUGAAUAUGAAUAUCUCAGCUAGCAAAAUGAAAAACAGUAAUCAUAUACAAGCAUCCGAAAAUUAAAGAAAGGUAGGGAAAGUAAAAGGUCAUAUUACUAUAAAAUAAAGACCAUAGUUAUUAAAAUUGAAAAAAAAAAAAAAAAGAGUUGCAGAGAUUACAUGGACGCAGAGACGACAAGCUCUGUCGACGACGUCGACUGCAGCUUCAAGAUGCUUGUAAUACACUGCUUUCUCCUCCGAGAAAGGUAGACUCAAGCUCGACCUGAUGAAGGUAAAAUUUCAAAAUGUAAUUUAAUUCACAGAAUUAACUCUGAAAAUCUAGAAAAUGUGCCAAAUUUCAGAAAUGAGAAAAGAAGAGUGGUGAUAUUAAACCUGACUGUGAAAGAGCGUCGACGAAGAGGUGCAGGGAAGUUAAGGUGAGGAUUAGCCGUAGGUAAUCGGGAGAUUGAGUAGCGGAGGAGAUCCAUGAGGUGCCUCAAUUACAAGAAAGAUGGAUUUGGAUUUUAUUUUGCCUUUAAUUGGUGGCCCGCCGGUGAUGUACAACACCUGAUGCCCGCGUUACUUGAAUUAUUGGCGGAGGUUUACUCAGGAUAGGAGCCGCAGCGCGGGCGAGGACGGCCAGUUUGUGCGUGUUGGUUGCCUGGUUGGUGUCCGGACUUUUCAGACUUCAACA
RNAcentral lists this long non-coding RNA (107345 nucleotides) under Coffea arabica (coffee). Its description in RNAcentral is "long non-coding RNA (CARA_LNC000974)". Lineage: Eukaryota; Viridiplantae; Streptophyta; Magnoliopsida; Gentianales; Rubiaceae. The record is from RNAcentral.